CCUGCCCUACAACCUUGUGUAUGAAAAAGUUAACAAUAGAUGAAUGGACAUCUCCAAGACUAACUCAUGUUAUACAACAGAAAUGCUAAAUGAAUCAGGCAAAAAGAAUCCACGGAAACAAUAACAAAGAAACAACGGUUAUCUGUUGUUGGAUUACUUUCUCGAUUUCUUCCUGGAAGAUUUGGAUGAAGCCUUUGAUUGCACUGCAUUCUGAGAGGCUCCUUUUGGAUUAGCUGGCUGGUUUGACUUCGUAUCACUACUGCUCGCUGCCUCUUUAGCCACUGCACCUUGAGAACCUCUAAUUUGAGCUGCUCUCUUAUCCUUUCUCUUUGGUCUGUAACUAGACCUCUCCCUCUUGGGAAGCCACCUCUCUGGAUCAGGUGGAGGUCCUGGAUUAGCUGGGUCAAAGCCCUUUGGAUAUUUUGGCUUUCUCUUCCUCUUUUUCUUCACCUUAUCCUUACACUUCCCUUCGUAUGUUUCAGUGGCACCAGCAUUUGGACCUUUCUCGGCUUGCUUGGCACCAGAAGUUUUCUCCAAAUUGUCGACGUCUAUUGCUUUCAAACCAAGUAGUGGUGUUAACUGCUUCUCAUAAGCUUCUGCUUUCUCAAUGUCAGCAUGGGCUGCAGUCUGGAUUAAUCCAACUAAAGCCUCAAUACUUCCAUGGCUUUUCACUAGCUGUUCAUAAAGGCGUGCUGCCUCCUCUUUCCUUCCAUGCCUGAGCUUGAAAGCAGCAGCCUCCUGCAUGAUGGUAUUGAGCUUAUUGUCUUCAGUCAUGGCAUUUGACCACCACUUGAUUGCGGAAUCAAACACAUCAUCGGCACCAUCAGUAUCUCCAGCCCGUUCCUUGAGAGAGACAAUAGUGGAAACAGUUGCAGGCUUGUGUUGAAUGUCAGGAUUUCGCCAAGGAAUCAGCUGCAAUCUGUGGAUGGCCAGCAGCUGCAGCAACCUGAGCCCUUGCAAGCAGGAUAACCUUGGACCUGUCAGGAAACUUAUCUGCAUACUGUCCAAGUAUUUCUUCAGCUUUAGCAGCCUUGUUCUCUCUCACAUGUACAGCAGCUUGAAGAAGUACAGGCAUCAAGCUACCAGGGAACAUCCCAGGUAGAGCGCCAACAAGUUCUCUAGCCUGUAACAAUCCAAUGACAAAAAUAAACAUUGGAAAAAGACUCGGGGAAUAAACAGUAGCAAUUGGAUGUCUAUUAAUGGGUCCCCUUGUUUCUAAUGCAUCAAAUGUUCAAAGGAGAACCAUUACAAACACAUGUAAUCUUACAGAUAAUAUACCUGAUCCAUCUUACUAGAAUGAAGUAGCAGCAGCACCCUAUUGGUAUAUAUUGCUUCCCUUUGCUUCUGUGAGAGCUUCAAGUCCAGUCCACGAGCAAGUUGGAACUUCUCUGGUCCAUCACUUUUCUCUAUUAGCUUAUCAAGUUUCCUUAGGCCAUCAGAGACAUCUUUAGGACCCUUUAAAGCAAUGAGAUUAUUUACUGCCACCGCAAGUGAAGACUCGUCGGCCAAAUUUCUUUUGACAAGAUCAGUAUAAGAUGCAACGGCCUCUUGGGUGUUCCCUAGAAUCUGGAGUGAGAAAAAAACAAUUUGCAUCAUUGCAACUUAUCAAAGCAAAAGAAGACUACUCAAACUCGUGUCAUAAGAUAAUUUACCUGUUGUACAUAUGCAAUUUGAACAACUAUAGGUGCCAAUUCAAUUUCAACAUCAUCAUCAGCUAAAUUCUCUUCCAUUUAGUGUUUCCUGACCAAUUCUGUAAUUCCAUUGUCCACAAUAAGAUAUUCAUCUUUCUUUUAUAUUUUCAUUUCAUUCAUGCAAAAAACUGGGAGUUUCACAGAGAAUUGCAAAGAAGUGGAAGAUUUUACCACAUUUGAUUUGACACUUCUAAAAAUGCAUGAAGUUUAAAAAGACAAAGGAGAGAAAAUAUCAAUCUACGAUUGUUCCAAAUGAAUAGACCAGAAUGCAGUUUGUCCCUUGUAACAUCUCAUAAAUAGAUGUUCCAGUUUACCCUAUGAUCUCUGGCAUCAAAUAACAAACAACAUUCAAUUGUCUACAAGAUAUAAAGAGGAAAUCAUCCUACAAAACACAACUUAUAAUUUACAGUUUCAUAUAAACAUGCCCCCUAUUUAAUAACCCCCCGCCCCCCCAAACCAAACCAAACCAUAUCAAAGAGAAGACAUUAAGACUUAAAACAAAAAGGCAAGUGACAAUUAUAACCAAUCAAAGACACAGAAGCAUUAUUUGCAUGAUCCUCAUCUUGGGUGCCCGAGGCCGAUAGGAUAUCUCGAUAUCCUCAUAUCUUCCCCCCGUCUAGCUUGAGGUAUUUAGUCCCUCAUGGUUUACUCCUUUGGUGUCAUGUGUCUUAGAUAUUCCCAUGAUUUUCUCAUUUGUGCAUGUUCAUGAAAAAGAUUAAAUAUUUUGGGAAAAAGAAAAAUAAUAAGUUAGCUGAUUGACUUCUUCAUGUUUAUGUGCAUUUGAGUAUGAGUUGCAUAUAGACCUUAUGAGAUGAUGUUUUGAAUAUGUUUUGGCUUGGAGUUGAUUUUCCUCCUCGGAUAAGUGCAUUUACGUGAUUGCAUUCAUGUUGGGCUGUCUCAAUGGUGCAAAGAAUAAAACAUAAUACAAUUAAGCUAAACUCCCAAUGCAUAAUGCAUUGCACCACAUAAAAGUGAAAUUAUUAAUGAAAUAUAAUUACAUAAAUACUCUACAUUUAAGAUUAUUAUAUUGCUCCCAUAAAUGUUCUAUUAAUGCAUUACGAAGUUCAAAAUGAACAUUUUUACCCUUAAUUAUUUUAUGUCUAGCUAAAGAUUGUUCUAAUCCGAGAUUUUCAUGCAACAAGAACAACUACAAAUAAUUGAAAAAAGAAAUCAACAAGCACAUCCANNNNNNNNNNNNNNNNNNNNNNNNNNNNNNNNNNNNNNNNNNNNNNNNNNNNNNNNNNNNNNNNNNNNNNNNNNNNNNNNNNNNNNNNNNNNNNNNNNNNNNNNNNNNNNNNNNAGAUAAGUGUUUAGACUUCCGCUUUACUUUUAUAAAACUCUUGAACUUGAAAUGUUGUUCUUUACCUCUCUUCAUUCUAUGUCUUAUGUUAUGAAUGCUAAGUGGCUUGUAUGGGGCCUUUCGGGAUCCUAUACGCCAUGUUAUGCCUAGGGGGUACCUUGGGUCGUGACAAAAGAUAUCUCAACUAGUGCUAUUCAUGGAUAUAAUAUAAUUAUAAUGUCUUAGUUCCUUGACCAAUUCCUCACAUUUGUGACAUAGUGCUAUUCGUGGAUAUAAUAAUUGAAUAUCCUUAAAAGUAACCAGGAUGGGAUAAAUCAUUGGGUUUUAACAGAUUGUUAGAAUGAGAACUUACUAAUACAAAUAGGCUGCACCUCCAAGAAUUAUGCACAACAAAAUGAUGUCAACACAGAAGUUUCAGCUAGAUCUCAGUUGAAAAAGGAAAAGACUUGUUAAAUCUGGUAACAUCAAAAGAUAGAAGUACUAUCCUGCAAACUGCCUAAACUUACAGAGAAUGACAUAAUAUAGUGGAAGCUCAAUUUACCUGGUUAAUCGUGUCCUUAAGCCUAACAUUCGUAUUCUUAAGGUCAGAUGUAGCCUUGUCGAUCUGUCCACAAAUUAAACGUAACCAGGAUUGUUAGAAUGAGAACUUACUAAUACAAACUAAGGGCUGCACCGUCCAAGAAUUAUGCACAACAAAAUGAUGUCAAUACAGAAGUUUCAGCUAGAUCUCAGUUGAAAAAGGAAAGACUUGUUAAAUCUGGUAACAUCAAAAGAUAGAAGUACUAUCCUGCAAACUGCCUGAACUUACAGAGAAUGACAUAAUAUAGUGGUAGCUCAAUUUACCUGGUUAAUUGUGUCCUUAAGCCUAACAUUCGUAUUCUUAAGGUCACAUGUAGCCUUGUGGAUCUGUCCACAAAUUAAAGCAAAUUAGCACAAGUUUUGAACUCUUUCCUUUAAACUGACUAAGUAAUUACAAUAAGAUUUUAUGACCUUAGACUCAAUCUCAUCCAUCAGAGGACUUGCCUAUCCAACUCCUUCAUAGAUUGGAUAAUCAUUAAUAUCCACAAUAUAGAAGGAGCAAAACAGACCACACAAAAAAAAUCCCAGACCUCAUUCAUAUCACUGACCAUGUUUUUCAAAGUAUCAAAACUUUCUGAUAUGACCUCCAAACCUUGAUCCUAUGAGAAGUCGAAACAAAACCAUACAUCGGUAUUUAGGAACCAACAAGCCAGCAAUAAGAUGCAAUAAAAGGCAAAAAACUUCUGAUGAUUCAUGAACAAGACCUUAAAUAUUCCAAAAAAAUACAUGCAUGUUACAUUUUGAAAAAUUCAUAUUCUUGUUGGAAUUGACUUGAUUCUUCAGUUUACUUUAUAACCUAAAUCAAAUUUAAUUUCUGCACGAGAACCUGAACCUCCCCAUCCACCAGAUUGUUUGGGUGUAGUGCACCGUCUGAAAUUGCAGUUAUCCUAUUGGGCAGUGCAAGUAUCAAAUCAUUACAUACAACAAAUUCUUUGCUUGAAAGCCCUUUAACCUGCGAGAGGAAGUAUUGUUAGUUGACAAAACAAACCCACUGAAAAUAGGUUAUUUCUUGUGAUGCAUGGGCAAACACUGGAGGAAAACAGUCCUAAAGAAAUCCAAAUAAUAUAAUAACAGAGAAAGGAGUGUAUGAGAGCCAGUGACAAGAACCAACUGCACAGACUAAUGUCACGUCCCGCCACUUCACAAUCAAAUUUUGCAGUCGGAUAGGGGCGGAAGAGUCUAGAGUUAUGGAGAGGUUUAUAGAGAACUCUAGAAGCCCUUAGAGUUUUCAAGAAGGCUUAGAAAUCCCUAGGUCCUCCCUUAGAAUUCUCUAGAAUGCCUUAGAUAUUUUCUUGGAAACCUUAGAAAUUCCUAGAAAGUGUAGAGAUUUCUAGAGAGGGACCAAAGUGUAAUUAUUAGAGGGACGUGUAAAGUAAUUUUUAUUUGCACUUAGGCCCUUAGAAAGUAGUAUAAAUAGAAGGGCCUCUCAUUUGUAAAUCAUCCAACAAAGUGUAAGCAAUAUAAAGCCUUCUUCCAAAUCUUUCUAAGUCUUUCUUUACACUCUUAGCGAUCUUAGUUUCAAAGAGCUUACUUGAGCUUACAAGAUCUUGAAAGACUAGUGAGUAAGUUGUCAAGUGCCGCACGGAGUUUUAGUAAGACUCUAAGUUCGUGGCACUAAGCUCUUAAGUAACAUUAUACUUCUAUAGCUAUUUGUCAUACUAAAUAGAGAAGGCUUGCUGCCAUCACUACAUUAGGUUCUAACAAAUUGUUAGAAUGAGAACUUAUUAAUACAAAUAGGCUGCACGUCCAAGAUUUAUGCACAACAAAAUGAUGUCAAUACAGAAAUUUCAGCUAGAUCUCAGUUGAAAAAGGAAAAGACUUGCUAAAUUCUUGAUAGUUGACAGAGUUACUAAGUCUUCUCGCUUUUUGGUUGUCAAGACUACAGAUUUGGCGGACUAGUGUUUCCUGACCAAUUCUGUAAUUCCAUUGUCCACAAUAAGAUAUUCAUCUUUCUUUUAUAAUUUCAUUUCAUUCAUGCAAAAACUGGAAGUUUCACAGAGAAUUGAAAAGAAGUGGAAGAUUAUCCACAUUUGAUUUGACACUUGUAAAAAUGCAUAAAGUUUAAAAAGACAAAGGAGAGAAAAUAUCAAUAUACGAUUGUUUCAAAUGAAUAGACCAGAAUGCAGUUUGUCCCUUGUAACAUCUCAUAAAUAGAUAUUCUAGUUUACCCUAUGAUCUCUGGCAUCAGAUAACAAACUGCAUUCAAUUGUCUACAAGAUAUAAAGAGGAAAUCAUCCUACAAAACGCAACUUAUAAUUUACAGCCUCGUAUAAACAUGCCCCCUAUUUAAUAACCCCCCGUCCCCCCAAACCAAACCAAAUCAUAUCAAAGAGAAGACAUUAAGACUUAAAACAAAAAGGCAAGUGACAAUUAUAACCAAUCAAAGACACAAAAGCAUUAUUUACAUGAUCCUCAAAAUUAGAAUGGCUAAAAAAAACUUUCUUUCUUGUAUAAAGAACCGUAAACUCCAAUUUACAUACAACAAAUAAGAAGAUAUAGCAACUUUGCAGAUAUUUUAACCCCCAACAUACAUGCACUUUUGACUGUAAUGGCACAUCUUUUCAAUUAGACUAGUUCUAAAUUGUUAGUCUAUCAUUACUAAGGGUUAACAAACCAACAAAAAGUUAAACCCAAAUAAGAAAAUAAAAGAUGCUUAAGAUUCUCCUUAAGUUCAUAGAGACAAGAAUAUAUCAAUUGCUAAAGUAAGUACAUCUUGAUGACAACUUAACCCUCCAAAAUAACUUCCAAGCGAGGAAAUAUCUGAUGCUUUUUUACUAGUCAUAGAUUGUGCAUCAUCAAGUGUUAAGAAAAUGGAUAAAAGUCGUACAAAUAAAGCAAGUCAGGACUAACUGAAUCUAAUUUUUUCAUGAUGUUAUGAAGAGCUUGGUAGAGUCAAACUUGCCUUCGAGCUGACAAUAACAGUUGUUCUGCAUCUUUGUAUUUCUCCCUUUCAAUUAAAGAGCAGGCAGUAUUGUAACCCAAUUCAAAACUGCUAGUUGCUUUAACUCUCAGUGAAUCCAAGGUUCCUUGCACUUCAGAAGACCUUCCAGUUGAAACCAGACCAGCAACAAGAUUUAUCUCCAAGAUUUAUUGGUUGAAUAUGGGUAUCAACCCAUAUUUUACCUAUGUAAAAAGUCAAUCACCCAACCCAUUAAAAUAUGGGUGGGUUACCAAAAUAUGGACUCAUUUUGCCGGCACUAUGUGUACUUAUAGAUGUGCUGGUCCGUAGGUGUGAAACUAUGGUAAGUGAAGAUGUUAAAAAGGGACCGGGUAGACCUAAAAUCACAUAGAAGAAAGUAAUCCCAAAAGACCUGGUAUAAAUAUAGACUUAGCUAAAGAUAGGGCACAAUGGAAGAAAAGAUCUUAAGGUGAUAGCCAUUAGUUGAGGAUAUAUUUUACACUCGUAUGAACCUUAUUUGUUAUGAUGAUGAUAUGAUAUGAGCUUAAAUGAAGAAAUCAGGAUUCAUAUAGCCAAUCCCAACUUGUUUGGGACUGAGGCGUAGUUUUUGUUGAUUCAAAGUAUUUAAUGUGUUUGGUUGUUAAGAUUAAAAAGUAAAAGCUAGUGCGUUUUAAUCACCGAAAGAUUUGAAAUUUGUGAUUUUAGAUAUAAUUUUAAAGCUAAUGCUUGCAAGUAUUUAGUAUGUUUGGUUGUUUUAUUUGAUGUAGGAUGGAUAGGGUUUGCAUAUAUAUUGCUUACAAUGGCAAAUGGACUACAAAUAACAAAUUUGGAUCAUGAGAUCAAGCUACUUCUUGUGAAUGAUGGGAUAACAUUUGAAGGUCUCGCCAAGAAGAUUUUUCAGGUUCUAAAACUGAAAGUGGGUGAGAUUAAAGCAAAUAUUUGGUUUGACUCGAAUUUAGAAACAAGGAAAGGAAUGCAAGUAACAAAUGAUGAGGAAGUUACUACUUGCAUCUACUUGUUGAAAAAUGAUCCAAAUUUCAAGACUUCCUGUUUCAUUGUUGAUAUUGCGGAAAAUAAUUCUUUGUCCGCAGUCAAUAUUGUACAACAUGAGGAAAUGCAGAUUGAAAGAGAUGAGACAUCGAUACCAAUUGAGCCAAUAUCAGAGUUUGAACCUCUGGAAACAAAAUCAUCUCAUGGUAUGAAAGAGAGAAAAAGGGCCCAGAACAGAAAAGUAUCAAAAAAAAAGAAAAAGAUGGAGUAAAAGAGACGAUUUGUCAGGUGUGAUUUUGAGAGAAGAUGCUUCAUUGGAUGAAAUAUUUGUGGGAUCUUUGUUUGCGAACAAAGAAUGUUUAAAUAUUUUGGGAGCUUUUGAUAAAUAUCAACAGAUGCACCCAUCUUUCCUAAAUGAUACAAAAUCUGAGAAAUCAACAGCAUUGACUCAAUACUUCCUUCUUUCCCUUUCAAGGACUCUAAAGCCUCCUCCAAUUUAUUUUGCCGAUAUAAGCAAUAUCCCUUUUCAAAGAAAGCAUGACAAUGAAAAAGGGGAAAUGUUAGUGAGAAACAAAAUCUAGAAUUGAAGAGAAAGGAACUUAUUUUUCUUUUCAUUAAGUAGAUGAGAUACACUGUAAACACAAGGCAAGUAUAUGUAAAUAAUUUGCAUAAAGAUGGGUCUGGAAGGAUCCAAAGCUAACUUGGCACUGAAAAGAAGCAUAUGAAAUUGUUAACUAUCCCCUGUAGGAAUAAUAAGGGACUGAUGACUGCUCGUAUAUUUCCUAUUAUACUUCCUACUUCUUAGUUGGAAUUGCCCAUGGGAGGAAGCCAUAAGGAUGUUUCAGUUCUAAUCAUAUCACUCAGGUUAUACAAUACGAGACUAUCAUAUGAAAAAAUUGUUGUCUCGAACAUCCUGGAGAUUCGACCUUUGGUAUGAGUAUCCUAACUAAGUUAACAACAUACGUUGUAGUUUCUUCUCUUUUUCCUCUUCCCAACCGUAGAUCACUGACAGUUAUUUCUUAAGGGUAUUUGAGUCUUUUUCUAUGCAUUUAGUACAUAUACUAUGUCGUUUUGACCCUAAAUCUAAGUCCUAUAACAACCUUUCUAUCCCUAGUUCUACCCGAACCCUCUUAUUCUCUCAAAUUCCCAAAUCCCAUCCAAGUUCAUCUUCCCCAAUUCUCUCUCAAAUUCAAGGAAGAAACUAGGGUUCAAGCUUCAAGUCUCCUUUUUCCUCCAUUGCUUUUGGGCUUUGAUCAUCAAGGUAUGUGAGAAUUCACCAAUGGUGUAACACCUCGAAAACCAGACCCAGAAAAUUUUUGCAGAAAUAUACCUGAAGCAGUGAACCACGACAGGGUUCACAGACCAUGAAAGGGCCCACGAUUCGUAGACCUGCCCGUGGUCUUGACAUGGAAGUCACUAGGCCCAGACAUCAGACCACGAGCAACCUCACUAUCCGUGGUCUUGAUGACGGGCCAUGGUGGCGCCCGUAUAGUCGAGGCAGUGAACCUUCCUAGCCAGCCUCUUAGACCCCUACGCCUAAGUGAGGACCACGAGGACCUUCACACGGCCCGUGGGAGCGUCCGUGGAGCCUUACCAGUAAGCCCCCUAGCUAGUCCCUCCAGACCACAGCCCAGGUGGAGACCACAAACACUUUCACGGUCCGUGGUCCUUCACACGGGCCGUGGUAGGGCUCGUGGACUCAGACCCUCAGCUAGUAGUCACCAAGUCUAGACCUUGACUGACUUCACGGUCCGUGGUCUCUUUCACGGUUUGUGAAGGUGGCCGUGGUCAGCCUAUCUGCAGUUUAAGUCAGGGUUAUUUCGGUCUUUUCCUUAUUCGUUGGACACCUAAACUACGUCGUUUUAACCCUAAAUUAUGAGGUUUUUAGUCAGUUUAAGCCUAGGAACAUAACUAGAACUUACCUAAGUUAGAUCAUUAAUCAAAACCUAGAAAAAUUAGAGUGUAAGAGGAGAAGAGAAGUCAAGAACCCUAGUUCAAGAACGCAACAAGUUUCCUCCAGUUCCAACCCUGAAAUCGAAGGAUUUCUCCGUGGAAUUCGUCACCAGGUAUGUGGGAUUUCACUAGUGGGUUCCUUUCACCCAUUAGGUCCCUAACUUUCAGUCAGUUUCUUGAUUCCCUUAUUAUAACUAGACAUAGGGUUUCUUGAAUGAUAGAAUUAUUGGGUUCUUAGCUGUUAGAAUGAUACAAAUCAGAUUAGUAUGUCAAUAUUCAGUUUAUUCCAUGAAUUCCAGAACCAUAUCUAUGUAUUUUUCUAGUUCUUGAAUUACACAUGCUAGGUAAGAUAUUUCAGUUAUACAUGCCCUAGUUAUUAAUGCAUCAAUAUCAGUUUAAUUGUUGCAUACUCAGUUUGCAUGUUCAGUUUGAGCUAUCCAGCAGUUUACAGAAAUUCAGUCAUAAUGUGUUAAUUACUUAAUCCAUUGGGAGUAGCAUAAUACCGAGUUGGACUAGGGUUCAGCGUACCCAAAUAGUCCCAGAACUACUAGCCACGUAGGUUGUAAAUCCCCUCUGUGGGCAUCAUUUCAGUAAUCACGCCAGCACGCCUCUAUACCUCUAGCAGAGUAUAUUGGGGUCCUCUCGAUGGGGCGUAUACAUCGAACUUCACAUUUAGCUUAUGUGGUUUUAUUAUCGGUUAUUAGCAGCUCCCACAGUUCAGUCAGAUUCUAUUGCAUUGACCAUGUAUCAGUAUAUUCAGUAUUCAGUCUCAUCAUGUUAUAAAUUGGUCAUUGUCAUUUAGUUAGCUCAGUAUUCAGUAUCUAUAUCAUGUUUAGAUUAUUAUUAUUGUCUUAUUUUCUUUGUUCAGUUAUAUGUUAUUUCAGCUUAUUCUAUCCUGCAUGCUCAGUACCUUUCAAGUACUGACGCAUACUCUGCACUUACAUCUUCUCGUGAUGUAGGUUCAGGUUCUCAACAUCCAAAUCACGCUUAGAUCACUUCCCGAUCGUUAGUUCAGCAAAAUCAGUGGUGAGUCCUCAUUCUUCGAGGACCAGUGUCAUGUUUAUCUUUUCAGUACUUUUAGUCCUUUUGUUUCAGUUUUGCUAGAUCUAGUUGGGGCAUGUCCCAACAUUUCUAGUCAGUUUAGAGGCUUAUUUUAGACAUAGUUAGAUUCAAUUUAGAAUUGAGUUAAUAUCUUCUUUGUAUUAAACAGAUCAAUUUUCAUAUAUCUCAGUUAUAGUAUAUGGUAUUCCCCAUUUUUUUUCAUAUUUAUUUAUGAUUAUAGCUUCCGCUUCAGUUUAUUAUUCAACUUAUCUUAGUAUGCUCAUGAUCAUGCCAGCAAGAUUAGCUUGGGAUCACUUGUGGUCCUAGGUCCCGUGUCCGCGUCUCGGGGGUAGUCUCGGGGCGUGACAAACUUGGUAUAGAGCCUUAGGUUUAAGAGUCCUAGAAUGUCUGAAAAGCCGCACUAAGUAGAGUCCUUUUCAUGGGUGUGAAGUGCACCACAUCUAAUGAGAGGGAGGCUACGAAGUGAUUUAGGAAAACUUCAUUUUCUUGUUACUCUUAUCGUGCUUAAGGUAUGAUCUAAUUAUAUUUUAACUCGACGUUCUACGUUUCAGUGAUCAUGCUUCCUCGUAGAGCUAACUCCAGGAAUGUGAAUGCCAGGAAUGCAAACACAGCUCCUCCAGUCCCAGAUCAGGAAGUUUCUAAUGCAGAAUUCAAGAACGCCAUUUAGAUGUUGGCUCAGAGUGUGGCCAACCAGAACAAUCAGCGGGUUCCAGUUCAGGCAAAUGCCAAUGUUGGGUCAGCUGCAGACUUUGUUAGGAGGAAUCCACCAGAGUUCUUAGGAUCACAAGUUGGAGAAGAUCCUCAAAACUUCAUUGAUGAGGUCAAGAAGAUCUUUGAAGUGAUGUAGGUAACUGGGAAUGAUCGGGUUGAGUUAGCAUCGUAUCAACUGAAAGAUGUAGCUCAUAUCUAGUAUACUUAGUGGAAGGAGAAAAAGGGUACAAAUGCAGCUCAUAUUACUUGGGAUUAUUUCAGCGAAACCUUUCUGGACAGGUUUUUCCCCAUAGAGUUGAGAGAAGCAAGGGCCCAGGAAUUUAUGAACUUAAGGCAGGGUAACAUAACGGUCCAAGAGUAUGGGCUCAAGUUUAACCAACUCUCCAGGGAUGCUCCUCACAUGGUUGCUGAUUCCAAGGCUCAGAUGAAUAAGUUUCUGUAUGUCAGACUUAGUGAAGACAGAGUGCAGGAAUGCUAUGUUGUUGGGAGACAUGAACAUCUCUAGGCUCAUGACUCACGCUCAGCAGGUUGAGGGUGAUAAGCUUAGGAAACAGGCUAAGGAGAGUAAGAAAGCAAGAACAGGCAACUAUGACUACUCUCAACAGAAGUCGGGUGGUGGAAAUCGCUCGCUAUUUCAGCAGAAGUCUUCGACUCCAGCACCCUCAUCAGCUAGUGUGCCGUCUUACAAGAACAAGUAUGAUAAAAAAGGUGGAGUAUCAGGCUCUAAGUCUCAAGGUAGUAUUUCAGGCACCAAAACCUACCCAACUUGCCCCAAGUGUGGUAAGAAUCAUCCGGGCGAGUGUCUUGCAGGAAAAGAAGGAUGAUUUGGGUGUGGUUAGUCUGGUCACAGGUUGAGGGAUUGUCCUUCUAGACAGGGUCAAGCAGGUAAUAAUGGUAGAUCCCAGUUUACAACUUCAGCAGCACCAGCAGGUCGCCAGACUCAGCAGGGUAACUCAUCUGGUACAGGUGGCGGACAGUGCCAGAACAUGUUGUAUGCACUUCAGGUUCGCCAAGAUCAAGAAGAUUCUCCUGAUGUAGUCACUGGUACGUUGCGAGUCUUUGAUCUUGACGGUUAUGCAUUGUUAGAUCCAGGGGCUACUUUGUCAUUUGUAACUUCUUUUAUAGCGGUCAAAUUCAGUAUUAGUCCAGAAACUCUCCCAAAACCUUUCUCAGUCUCUGGUUCUCAGUCUCUACUCCAGUCGGUGACCCAAUUAUAGCUAGACGGGUAUGCAGAAAUUGCCUUGUCACAGUCUCCCAGAAAGUCACCUCAUCAGAUCUUGUAGAGUUAGAAAUGGUAGACUUCGAUAUCAUUCUAGGCAUGGAUUGGUUACAUUCCUGUUAUGCCUCAGUCAAUUGUAGAACUAGGGUUGUUCGUUUUCAGUUUCCAGAUGAACCAAUCUUAGAAUGGAAGGGUAGUAGCUUAGCGCCUAUGGGUCGAUUCAUUUCUUACCUUGAGGCCAGAAAGAUGAUCUCUAAGGGUUAUCUCUAUUAUCUAGUUCGGGUUAAGGAUUCAAGCUCCGAAACUCCAACUCUUGAGUCAGUUCCUGUGGUUAAUGGGUUUGGAGAAGAUCUUCCCGGAGUUCCUCCCGAUAGGGAAAUCGACUUUGGAAUUGAUCUCCUUCCAGAUACCCAGCCUAUCUCUAUUCCUCCUUACAGAAUGACUCCCGCUGAACUUAAGGAAUUGAAGGAGCAGUUGAAAGACCUUCUAGACAAAGGCUUCAUCAGACAUAGUAUUUCGCCAUGGGGUGCACCAGUGUUGUUCGUAAAGAAGAAAGAUGGUUCUCUCAGAAUGUGCAUUGACUAUAGGCAGUUGAACAAGGUUACAAUCAAGAAUAAGUAUCCCAUUCCCAGGAUAGAUGACUUGUUUGACCAACUUCAGGGUGCUAGUCAUUUCUCAAAGAUAGACCUCAGAUCGGGUUAUCAUCAGCUUAAAGUCAGAGAUAGUGACAUUCCAAAGAUAGCCUUCAGGACUCGGUAUGGUCAUUAUGAAUUAGUAGUUAUGUCAUUUGGACUAACCAAUGCUCCUGCAGCUUUCAUGGACUUGAUGAACAGAGUGUUCAAGCAGUACUUGGACUUGUUCGUUAUCGUUUUUAUUGAUGAUAUCCUCAUUUACUCUAGAAAUGAGGAAGAACUUGCGAGUCAUUUGAGAGUUUUUCUGGAGACUCUCAAAGAUCGCCAGUUAUUCACCAAAUUUAACAAGUGCGAGUUUUGGUUGCAGUCGGUUGCUUUUCUUGGGCAUAUAGUGUCUAGUGAAGGGAUUCAAGUAGAUUCCCAGAAAAUAGAGGCAGUGAAACAAUGGCCCAAACCUACCUCUCCUACCGAUAUCAGAAGUUUCAUGGGUCUAGCGGGUUAUUACAGAAGGUUCGUGGAAGGAUUUUCAUCCAUAGCCUCACCAUUGACUAGGUUGACUCAGAAGAUGGUCAAGUUUCAGUGGUCAGAUGAUUGUGAGAAAAGCUUCGCAGAAUUGAAAACUAGGUUGACUAACACUUCUGUUUUGACUCUACCAGAGGGUUUAGACGGUUAAGUGAUUUAUUGUGAUGCAUUCGGAGUCGGCCUAGGUUGUGUGUUGAUGCAGCGAGGUAAGGUUAUAGCUUAUGCUUCUAGACAACUUAAGGUACAUGAGAAGAAUUAUCUGACUCAUGACCUCGAGCUUGCAGCAGUGGUUUUUGCCCUAAAGAUUUAGAGACAUUACUUGUAUGGUGUUCAUGUAGAUGUGUUCACAGACCAUAAGAGCCUCCAGUAUGUAUUCACCCAGAAAGAGUUGAAUCUUCGCCAGAGAAGGUGGCUUGAGUUCCUCAAAGAUUAUGAUAUNNNNNNNNNNNNNNNNNNNNNNNNNNNNNNNNNNNNNNNNNNNNNNNNNNNNNNNNNNNNNNNNNNNNNNNNNNNNNNNNNNNNNNNNNNNNNNNNNNNNNNNNNNNNNNNNNNNNNNNNNNNNNNNNNNNNNNNNNNNNNNNNNNNNNNNNNNNNNNNNNNNNNNNNNNNNNNNNNNNNNNNNNNNNNNNNNNNNNNNNNNNNNNNNNNNNNNNNNNNNNNNNNNNNNNNNNNNNNNNNNNNNNNNNNAUGACUCAAGAGAUUGACAUUCCUACUUGGAAGUGGGAAGUGAUCAACAUGGACCUAAUCACAGGUUUAUCUCGUACUGGCAGACAACAUGACUCCAUUUGGGUGAUAGUUGACAGAGUUACUAAGUCUUCUCGCUUUUUGGUUGUCAAGACUACAGAUUUGGCGGACGACUACGCCAAGCUUUAUAUUAAUGAGAUUGUGAGGUUGCAUGAGGUUCCUUUGUCUAUCAUCUCAGAUAUAGGUCCUUAGUUUACCUCUCAUUUCUGGAAGUCAUUCCAGAAGGGUCUUGGUACUCAGGUUAACCUUAGCACAACAUUUCAUCCACAGACGGAUGGUCAGGCAGAGCGUACCAUUCAGACCUUAGAGGACAUGUUGAGAGCUUGUGUGAUCGAUUUCAAGGGUUGUUGGGAUGAUCACCUUCCUCUUAUUGAGUUCGCCUACAACAAUAGUUACUAGUCUAGCAUUCAGAUGGCCCCUUAUGAGGCAUUGUAUGGGCGUAGAUGCAGAUCUCUUGUUGGUUGGUUUGAAGUAGGUGAAGCAGCCUUGAUAGGGCCAAAUUCAGUCUUUUAUGCUAUGGAGAAAGUGCAACUCAUUAGAAAUAGACUUAAGACAACCCAGAGUCGCCAGAAGUCUUAUGCAGAUGUAAGGAAAAGGGAACUAGAGUUCCAAGUUGAUGAUUGGGUUUGCCUGAAGGUGUCACCUAUGAAGGGGGUGAUGAGGUUUGGCAAGAAAGGGGAGCUUAGUCCCGGAUAUGUAGGCCCAUACCAGAUGUUUGUACCGGCCGAGCUUAUGGGGGCUUGGUUAGGUUGUUGUUUUAUUAUUUUUGAUAAGUUAAGAUUUAGGAGUAGGUCGGUACACUUAUCGUAUCCUUGAUCUAUUUAUCAGAUUAUUCCAAUAUAUUAGGAUACCUACUCAUAGUCUAUGACCUUUCAUACUCUGUACAUUAUUUCGUAUUGACGCCCCAUUGCCUGGGGGCACUGCAUUCAUGCCUGCAGGUCCCGAUAGAUGACCCAGUGGACCUCCUCAGCAGCAGGAUUGACUUUUAUCCGGUUGGCUAUCCCCUUUCCUUCGGAUCUGCCAGAGUUUGGAGGUUUGUUAGCUUUUGUUGUAUAUAUUUUUAUUGGUAGGUUGGGGCCAUGUCCCGCCAAUUUGUACUACUCUUAGAGGCUUGUAGACUAGUGUGUGGGGUGUAUAGCUANNNNNNNNNNNNNNNNNNNNNNNNNNNNNNNNNNNNNNNNNNNNNNNNNNNNNNNNNNNNNNNNNNNNNNNNNNNNNNNNNNNNNNNNNNNNNNNNNNNNNNNNNNNNNNNNNNNNNNNNNNNNNNNNNNNNNNNNNNNNNNNNNNNNNNNNNNNNNNNNNNNNNNNNNNNNNNNNNNNNNNNNNNNNNNNNNNNNNNNNNNNNNNNNNNNNNNNNNNNNNNNNNNNNNNNNNNNNNNNNNNNNNNNNNNNNNNNNNNNNNNNNNNNNNNNNNNNNNNNNNNNNNNNNNNNNNNNNNNNNNNNNNNNNNNNNNNNNNNNNNNNNNNNNNNNNNNNNNNNNNNNNNNNNNNNNNNNNNNNNNNNNNNNNNNNNNNNNNNNNNNNNNNNNNNNNNNNNNNNNNNNNNNNNNNNNNNNNNNNNNNNNNNNNNNNNNNNNNNNNNNNNNNNNNNNNNNNNNNNNNNNNNNNNNNNNNNNNNNNNNNNNNNNNNNNNNNNNNNNNNNNNNNNNNNNNNNNNNNNNNNNNNNNNNNNNNNNNNNNNNNNNNNNNNNNNNNNNNNNNNNNNNNNNNNNNNNNNNNNNNNNNNNNNNNNNNNNNNNNNNNNNNNNNNNNNNNNNNNNNNNNNNNNNNNNNNNNNNNNNNNNNNNNNNNNNNNNNNNNNNNNNNNNNNNNNNNNNNNNNNNNNNNNNNNNNNNNNNNNNNNNNNNNNNNNNNNNNNNNNNNNNNNNNNNNNNNNNNNNNNNNNNNNNNNNNNNNNNNNNNNNNNNNNNNNNNNNNNNNNNNNNNNNNNNNNNNNNNNNNNNNNNNNNNNNNNNNNNNNNNNNNNNNNNNNNNNNNNNNNNNNNNNNNNNNNNNNNNNNNNNNNNNNNNNNNNNNNNNNNNNNNNNNNNNNNNNNNNNNNNNNNNNNNNNNNNNNNNNNNNNNNNNNNNNNNNNNNNNNNNNNNNNNNNNNNNNNNNNNNNNNNNNNNNNNNNNNNNNNNNNNNNNNNNNNNNNNNNNNNNNNNNNNNNNNNNNNNNNNNNNNNNNNNNNNNNNNNNNNNNNNNNNNNNNNNNNNNNNNNNNNNNNNNNNNNNNNNNNNNNNNNNNNNNNNNNNNNNNNNNNNNNNNNNNNNNNNNNNNNNNNNNNNNNNNNNNNNNNNNNNNNNNNNNNNNNNNNNNNNNNNNNNNNNNNNNNNNNNNNNNNNNNNNNNNNNNNNNNNNNNNNNNNNNNNNNNNNNNNNNNNNNNNNNNNNNNNNNNNNNNNNNNNNNNNNNNNNNNNNNNNNNNNNNNNNNNNNNNNNNNNNNNNNNNNNNNNNNNNNNNNNNNNNNNNNNNNNNNNNNNNNNNNNNNNNNNNNNNNNNNNNNNNNNNNNNNNNNNNNNNNNNNNNNNNNNNNNNNNNNNNNNNNNNNNNNNNNNNNNNNNNNNNNNNNNNNNNNNNNNNNNNNNNNNNNNNNNNNNNNNNNNNNNNNNNNNNNNNNNNNNNNNNNNNNNNNNNNNNNNNNNNNNNNNNNNNNNNNNNNNNNNNNNNNNNNNNNNNNNNNNNNNNNNNNNNNNNNNNNNNNNNNNNNNNNNNNNNNNNNNNNNNNNNNNNNNNNNNNNNNNNNNNNNNNNNNNNNNNNNNNNNNNNNNNNNNNNNNNNNNNNNNNNNNNNNNNNNNNNNNNNNNNNNNNNNNNNNNNNNNNNNNNNNNNNNNNNNNNNNNNNNNNNNNNNNNNNNNNNNNNNNNNNNNNNNNNNNNNNNNNNNNNNNNNNNNNNNNNNNNNNNNNNNNNNNNNNNNNNNNNNNNNNNNNNNNNNNNNNNNNNNNNNNNNNNNNNNNNNNNNNNNNNNNNNNNNNNNNNNNNNNNNNNNNNNNNNNNNNNNNNNNNNNNNNNNNNNNNNNNNNNNNNNNNNNNNNNNNNNNNUAGCUACGUUAUGGCCAUGCUGGCCUAGUUUGUUGGUUUGCUGAAGCUUGUGAGCUGUUUGAUGUAUUGUAUUGAUAUAUACCUGCUUUUAGUUUUGGUAUAGAUAUCAUGGUGGCCUCGACGGCCCAAUCAGGACUUCUAUGCUAGUUGGCUAUUUCUUUAUAUGAAUUCUUGGGAGUAGUUGUUUCGUUUAUAGAUCUAUUGAUAGAGGCCUUGCCGGCCGAAGGCUUAGUUUUAAGCCGAGAUAUACUUGUUUGUUUUCUUGAUUGUGUGUGGCUGCCAUGCGCUAGUAGCAGAUGGUUCAGCAAGGUCGGCUCGAGCCUGAGUUUUGGCAUUAGGAGCCCAUUCCGCCCUUGAGUUUGGGGCGUGACAAACUUGGUAUCAAAGCAAUGUCGUAUCCUAGGGAGUCUUCAAGCCGUGUCUAGUAGAGUCUUGUUUAUAAAUGUGUUGUGCACCACAUUCGAUAAGCAAGAAGCUACCGGGCAUGUUAGAAUGACUAUCCUUUUUUUGUUCACCUCAUGCUAUAGAGCAGUGUCUUAAGGGUUGAGGUUUCUGGCUUAUAAUUGAUAUUUGUAUGCAAAUAGAGAUGGCCGACACCAGACAGACCACUGCUAGCCAAGGGCUAGAUACAACUGUAGGCGAGGGUACCGACAAGGUACCACAGGUGAAGGGAGCCCAUUGUGAGACCCAGGGGAAGACAUCUUCUCAGCCCCCUAUAGGUUCUCCACAGCUUCAGGAGCCUCCGAGGGCUACAGGACCCCCAGCUCCACCAGCAGUACCACCUCUAGUUCCUCAUAUUCCAUCUGACCAGGAUUUCAAGAGUGCAGUAUGUAUGUUAGCACAAUUAGUAGUUGCACAGCGCCAACCAGUUGCGCCAGAUAUUGCUGGACCUUUUGAAGGGCCCGAAAGUUCAAUAGUUUGUGAAUUUCUUGCCUUGGAUCCUCCACAGUUUACAAGGAUAGAUCACAGAGAGGACCCUCAACACUUUGUUGAUCAGCUUCAUAGGAUAUUCAGAGUCAUGCACGCCUCAACGACUGAGUAAGUUGAGUUAGCAUCAUUUCGAUUGCGCAAUGUUGAAGUAUUGUGGUACAAAAGUUGGGAGAGAUCUAGGGGAAAAUAUGCAGCUCUACCCACUUAGGGAUGACCGGGUGGACCAGCUUUUGAACCUUUGACAGGGCAGCAUGAGUGUCCGAGAGUACGGGCUGAAAUUUAAUUCAUUGGCUAGAUAUGCACCAGCAUUUGUUGAUAAGAUACAUGACAGGGUGCGUAGAUUUGUGGGAGGGCUUGACUCAAACUAUAUUGACGUUUGUUCUACCACUGCACUAAAUGAUAAAUAUGGAUAUCUCGCGAAUUCAGGCCUUUGCACAAGAAAUAGAGGAUCGCCGACAUCUGCAGUAUAUGAGUGAGAGGGUCGAGAGAGAGAGACAGAAGAGGGCUAGGCCCGUUGUGUCACAUGGAGAUUUCCAGGUUAGUCCCAGACCCCGAUAUUCUAUUAGGCCACCUAGACCUCCACCACAGCAGUUCCUGGGUAGUAGAUUUGAUCGUCAGGGACAGUCAGGCCCAGGUGAGGGUUCACGAGCAUCAGGCUCUCAGCAGCAGAGGGGUUCAGACCAGGCUAGGACAGCCUCGUCGCGUUGCUCUACUUGCGGUAGGAUGCAUUUUAGGAGGUAUAGGUAGGGUUCCAUAUGUUGUUAUUCUUGUGGACAGGAGGGGCAUGGGUGGAGAAACUUCCCUACCAUAGGUCAGGGUGGUAUAGGUCAGUCGACCAGGUCAAUAGGUUCCUCCUCAUCAACACAGUCUACAGGGCGUUGACCCCAAACUCCAGCAGGUAGAGGUAGAGGUGGAGGAAGAGAGGGAACAUCUAGUUCUGGUAGUGGCCAAAACCGUAUAUAUUCACUAGCCGAUCGACAAGACUCAGAGUCAUCACCAGAUGUUGUGACAGGUAGAUUGAUUAUUUGCUCCCAUUGUGUUUAUGCUUUGAUAGAUCCUGGAUCUACUAUUUCUUAUGUUACUCUAUUUAUCGCGGGGAAGUUAUGUAUAGUAGCAGAGUCAUUAGAUCAACUUUUUAUGGUAUCUACACCAGUUGGUGAGUCUAUUAUUGCCAGGAGAGUCUAUCGAGGUUGCACGGUAGAAAUUUUAGACCGUCAGACCUCUGUAGACCUCAUAGAGUUAGAAAUGGUCAAUUUUGACGUUAGUAUGGGUAUGGACUGGUUAGCGUCUUGUUAUGCUAAUGUUGAGUGCCGAACAAAUAUUGUUAGAUUCCACUUUCCAGGAGAGGCAAUUCGGGAAUGGAAAGGCGAUACAACAAUGCCAAAAGGUAGGUUUAUUCCCUAUCUUAAGCCGAGGAGGAUGAUUACUAAGGGUUGCAUUUAUCAUCUUGUUCGCGUUCAUGUUAUAGAUGUAGAACCACCGACUCUUCAGUCUAUUCCGGUAGUUAAUGAGUUUCUAGAUGUAUUUCCAGAUGAGCUCCCUGGUAUCCCUCCAGAACGGGAAAUUGAUUUUGCUAUCGAUAUGCUACCAGGUACACAAACCAUAUCUAUCCCUCCUUAUAGAAUGGCUCAUGUUGAGCUAAAGGAGUUGAAGGAUCAGUUGAAAGACUUGUUGGAUAAAGGCUUUACCGACAGUUGAAUAAGGCGACUAUAAAGAAGAAGUAUCCCCUUUCGAGGAUCGAUGACUUGUUUGAUCAGUUACAAGGUGUUGAGUGCUUCUCAAAGAUUGAUUUAAGAUCAGGGUACCACCAGAUACGAGUUCGGGAGAAAGACGUUCCAAAGACAACUUUUAGAACCAGAUAUGGACACUUUUGAGUUCUUGGUAAUGUCUUUUGGAUUAACUAAUGCCCCAACAGUGUUCAUGGACCUAAUGAAUAGCAUAUUCAGGCCAUAUCUAGAUACAUUUGUGAGUGUAUUUAUUGAUGAUAUUUUGGUCUAUUCUCAUUCAAAAGCUGAGCAUGCAGAUCACUUGUGAGCAGUCCUUCAGGUUCUUCGAGAGCAGGAACUUUAUGCAAAUUUCUCUAAGUGUGAGUUCUGGUUGAGCUCUGUGGCUUUCCUAGGCCAUAUCAUAUCAGAUUCCGGCAUUAUGGUUGAUAUACAAAAGAUUGAGGCCAUAAAGACUUGGCCAAGACCCAUGACUCCGACUGAGGUUUGUAGUUUCUUAGGAUUAGCUGGGUACUACAUAAGGUUUGUAGAGAGGUUUUCUUCACUUUCAGCACCAUUAACGAAGUUGACUAAAAAAAUGGCUAAGUUCUAGUGGACUGAGGCUUGCGAGCAUAGUUUCCGGGAACUGAAGGACAUGUUGACAUCAUUACCAGUUCUAGCAUUGCCAGAGGGUUCAGAGGGCUAUGCUGUGUACUGUGAUGCCUCUGGUGUUAGGUUGGGAUGUGUUCUAAUGCAACAUGGUAAGGUUAUCACAUAUGCUUCAAAGUAGUUGAGGAAGCAUGAGAAGAACUAUCCAACCCACGAUUUAGAGUUGGUUGCAAUUGUGCAUGCGUUAAAGAUCUGGAGACACUAUUUGUAUGGCGUUGAUGUUGACAUUUUCACAGAUCAUAAAAGUCUUCAAUAUAUCUUUAGACAGAAGGAGUUAAAUCUACAACAACGUCGAUGGCUUGAAUUACUGAAAGACUACAACGUGGAUAUUUUAUAUCAUCCAGGAAAGGCAAAUGUGGUAGCGGAUGCCCUCAGUUGAAGAUCUAUAGGUAGUUUGUCCUAUUUAGGUGUUGACAAGCGGGAGCUAGCGCGAGAGCUUCAUCAGUUAGCUAGCUUGGGAGUCAGAUUGUUGCCCUUAGGGCUAUUGUAGUUAGCUGCAGGAAUGUGAUCUAUGCCUAGAAGGGCUAUGUUCUGCCUACGGGGCUAUAUGGAUGCCUAAGAGGGCUAUGAGUUGCCUAUGGGUCUAUAUUGAUGCCUACAAGGGCUAUGAGUUGCCUACAGGGCUAUAUUGACGCCUAAGAAGGUUAUGUGCUUCCUAUAGGGCCAUGUUGUUGCCUAAGAGGGCUAUGAGUUGUCUAUAAGCUAUGUUGAUGCCUAAGAGAGCUAUGUGCUGCCUACGGGGCUAUAUUAAUGCCUAAGAGGACUAUGUGACUGCCUAUGGAGCUAAGGGACUACCGAUAGGGGUAUAUAGACUGAUUGGCACCUUCCGGGCUUAUGGGGGCCUGAGUAGGUGGUCUUGUGUGCUGUUUGUACUAGCCGAGCUUAUGGGGGCUUGGUUAGGUUGUUGUUUUAUUAUUUUUGAUAAGUUAAGAUUUAGGAGUAGGUCGGUACAAUUAUCGUAUCCUUGAUCUAUUUAUCAGAUUAUUCCAGUAUAUUAGGAUACCUGCUCAUAGUCUAUGGCCUUUCAUACUCUGUACAUUAUUUCGUAGUGACGCCCCAUUGCCUGUCUCAUAUGAGUUGAUCAUCUUACUAAAAAUAAUUGUACCAUCUUAGUUGUCCACCUUACUAAAUCAAGAAAACAUUAAUUAAAACUUUUCUAUAUUACCCUUGUAAUUAAUUUUUUUUGAAAGUGUUCACAUUUAUUUGUAAAAUUUUCAAGAAGUUUUUUAAUGGGUAAAUUAGUAAAAUUAUUAUUUUUUAUUUAUGAUUUCUUAAUAUGUGUAUAAAAAAUGAUCAACUAAUAUGAGCCAGAGAGAGUAAUACAUAAUUAUUCAUAAUUAACGUCCAAACAUAUAAAAUGGCCACAACAACCCAAUAAAGCAAAUCAAGAAAAGGAUUAGCCCCAAACAAGCGGCCCAAACCCAACUUAGACAUAAACAAAAUAAAAAUAAAAAUUGCAAAUAUAGUUCCAAAAAGAGAAAGGCAUUGAAAAGGAAGGCAUACCGGCACCGUUUAAGAAUUAUAAAAAUAAAGUGAUUUUAAAAUGAAGCUAAAUUUUUUUAAUCAAAUUGUAUUGAUAUAAUUAACUUUUUAAGAAUAAACCGAUUGAAUGUAUCAUUAACAUGGAUCCGGCUCCUCUCCAUUUUAUGAGUUGAGAGUUAAAAUUGUAUUUUCCUCUUAAUUCAUUGCACAAAAAGAAGUUGAAAUAUACGAAUAUAAAAAUUAUCCGUACUUUAAAUUAUACUUAAAACAUUUAAAUAAUAUACUCUAUUAAAAUGAUUUUUUUUACUUUUUUCUUUCCUUAUAUUGUCCUCUUCUUAGGCAUCCUAAUUAGGAAUAAUACAGAUUUUCAAUAGUCUUUUUUAUAAUUUAUUUUUAAAUAAUCGUGGGACCUUUCAAUUCACAUGUCAAUUAAUAAACUGUAUCGCAUAAGUAAUGUUAAUUAUACGCCUAUGUUAUUUAUACGACUCAAAUUUCUCAAUGUUAUGAACUACGCUUAUUUAUUAUUUAUUAUCCUAAAAAUAAAAACAAUUGAUACUCCCUCUGUCCCAAUUUAUAUGACUUACUUUCCUUUUUAGUCAGUCCCAAAAAGAAUGACACAUUUCUAUUUUAAGUAACAAUUUGCCUAUAAAAUGUCUUUUUUACCCUUAAUGAAAUGAUUUACAACCACACAAAUUUCUAUCAUUCAUUUUGGACCACAAGUUUUAAAAGUCUUUCCAUUUUUCUUAAAGUUUGUGCCAAAUCAAAGUACAUCAUAUAAANNNNNACAACAAUUUUUAUUUUUUUUAUUUUUUUCGAUAAAUCCCGAAAAUUAGUACUCCCUCUGUCCCAAUUUAUAUGACUCACUUUCCUUUUUAGUCUGUUCCAAAAAGAAUGACACAUUUCUAUUUUAAGUAACAAUUUGCCUAUAAAAUGUCUUUUUUACCCUUAAUGAAAUGAUUUACAACCACACAAAUUUCUAUCAUUCAUUUUGGACCACAAGUUUUAAAAGUCUUUCCAUUUUUCUUAAAGUUUGUGCCAAAUCAAAGUACAUCAUAUAAAAUGGGACGGAGGGAGUAUUAGUUUUUCUCUUAAUAUGAUUAUGUUAUGCGUGAAUCUAGCAUAUGUAGAGAUUUAUUAGCUCAUAUUUUGUCGAACAUAGUUUUUUUUUUUUAUAAUUUUGUUGUAUUUAAACGGUAGGUGACGAGUUCUCCAAAAUUAUUCACAUAUAGUGAUUGAUGAAGUAAAUCGGGAUAUAAGGGUGUGUUUGAUAUGAAGGAAGAAAAUAUUUUUUAAUUUUUCAUGUUUGAUUGGCCUAAAUGUUUACCAAAUAACUUAUAUUUCUCAAAUUUAAGGAAAAUGACUUUCCUUCAAAAAAAAUUAAGAAAACAUUUUCCAAAACUCUCCUCCAACCUAAAAUUACAAUUUUCUUCUUACUCCACCCCAUCCUGACCCUUCCCCUCUAAAAAAAAAACUUAAAAUUUUAAAAUUUUCCUUUUAAAAAAAAAUUGUAUUUUUUUUACCCCUCUCCACAUUUAGUUAUUUUUUACCCUAUCCUACUCCUGACCACCCCUACCACUACCACCUCUACAAUUUUUUGUUUUUUAAAGUUCUUUAUUGAAAAAUAUUUCAAACUUUUUAGAAUUUAUUUUACCCCACCUCUACACCCCCCCCCCUCCCACAAAAUCAAAAAAAUUAUGAUUUUCAUUUUUUUUGCACCUCAUCCCUACCCCGGCCCCCUCCCAGCCCUCACCCCUCCCCCACAGAAUCAAUAACCAAAUCAAUAAGUUAUUUUUUAACGGUUUUGAUCUUUAACGGUUCGGUUUAACCAAUAAGAAAAUGCUUAUAAAACAAAUAUAUGACUUCUCUAAUAAAUUUAACGCGAUGCGACAAUAAUGUAACUAUAAAAAUGCUUAUGAAAUAGAAACAAUAAUAAUAAACAUGAAAAAAAUAAACUAUACAUGUGUAACACAAAGAUAAAUUAAGAGGAAUAGGGUUCUUACUUAAGGUUGUGACGAUUUGUAUAGUGUAAAGUUGUGAACUCAAAGUCACAGUGAAGUAUGAACUGAAGGCUAAUGACAAAGACAUAACUAUUGACAUAUUGAGAUUAAUAUUUAAUAUUUUUGUUUAGGUAAAAGUAGUAAAUUACUAUAGUCUUAAUGGGUUAUCAGUUUACCCAAUAACCUAAUAUUGAAAGUGAAAAUUUUAUAAAUGACAUUUAUGAGACUAAUAAUUUCAAGUUAUGACAGUAUAAUGAUUCUUUCAGGUUGUAACAAUAAAAAAAUUCAUGUUGUAACGGUUUAUAAAAAAAAAGGUUUUAAAUUAAUUAUAAAAAAAUGAUUUUGAAAAAAAUAAAAAGAUAAAAACGGAUAAAGGUGUAUUAAUUAAUUUGCAUACAGUGAUGAUAAUUGAUUAUUGCCAUAAAUUUAGGAGAUUCAAAACAAAAUAGGAAUAUUUAUUUUCCUUUUUUACUCAAAUCAGUUAACAGUAAUUCAAAAAGCAGAUUUUCUUCUUUUUGUUCAAAGUUUCUCUCUCUUAGAUUUUUUUUCCUGAAAUUGACGUCACUCACGAGUAGAUCCAAUUUUUUUGGUUGAAUAAUCUUCAUUUUAUUGUAAUGGACGACUUCUUAUCUAUUUUAAUUAAACAUGGUGGUAGAUGAAAUCUUUCUGGUUAGUAUUGUUUACGAUUUAUUAUUUGUAUUUGUAUAUAUUAAUGAAACGAAAAAAAAAGGAACGAUGAAACUUUAAAUAAUGACAUUUUUGUGUUUGUUUAUGUAUACUAUAUUUAAGUUGUUAUGAUUUUUGUAUGAACAUUAUUUUGUUCAUAAUACGUAAUUAUUUUUGUGAAAUUGGAAUAAAUGUUGGUACAAUUGUUUUUGUUAUUUUUUUUUUUGGUUAUUUUGUAUACUGUUUAUGCCAUGGGUGUGUGCGAUUUUGAAUUAAUGUCUGAAUGAUUUAAGUAUACUAUUUUCUUGAUAAAUGAAAAAUUAUGGAAUAUGAAUAGUGUUACCAUUAUAAAGUUAUGAAAUUUGUGACAAAAAAUGUAUGAAAUUUGUUGUAACAUUGAUAUGAAACUGGUAUAGUUUUAGUCAAUUUGAUAAUAAUAAUGAGAUUGAUUCGGUGUACUGUUUAAUAGUAUAAUAUGGGGUACUAUUUAAAAAAAAUAUAAAAAUAAAAUGUAGAGGUUGGAAUGAAUUUGGUAGAGUAUUAGGUAUGAAUAAUUAAUCAUUCUUGUGUAAAAAAUAUGAGCAAGUAGUAUGAUGUUUUGUAUGAAAUUUGAAUAUAAAUAAAACACAUGUAUUUUUUACUUCUGUGAUAUGAAAAACUGACUGUGAUUUCCUAAUGAAACAGGUAAAUAUGUUGAUUUUCAGAUGGAGAAAAUUAUUUUUGAGUCUUCAAGUCUAUAUUAUGGGCUAGUAAAUGCGAUAACUUUGCAACUUAGAAUAGAUGCUAAUAUUAAUGACAUUGAGAUCACAUAUAUUGUUAGCGAUCGAUGCCCACCUGUUUGUAUCCAUAAAUGAUGUGGGUGUGCAAGUAUUUUUGGAUCAAAAGAAAGUUAAUGUUGAUUUCUUUACAAAAUAUUUGUUGUGCAUAACUUUGAAGAAUACGACUCUGGAUAAUCCAGAAUCUAGUGUUUUUGUGGAUAGAAGAGAUUGUGAUGUUAGUAGACCACUAACAAAUGUGGAUUUAUACUCAAAUAAGUCAAUCCGCUUGAUAGAAUGAAUUCUGGUGGAGUUGUUGAUGAAAAUUAUGAUGAAGGACAUGAAGUAAUUAGUGACAUUACUUAUAUGGUGAUUACUGAAAAUCAAAUUUACAAAGAUAAGAAGACACUUAUACAAAGAUAAGAAGACACUUAUGGAGGUUAUGCGACAUUAUGAAGUUGUCCAGAAAUUUCAAUUUCUUAUGUCUCGUUCCAGUUCUACUUGGAAAUAAUAUAUUUGCUUAUUUGUAUGUGUAGUUAUUUUUGUAUGAAUUUGGUAUAUAAAUGUUUCAUUACUCUUCUUUAUUUUUAAACAACUAUUACCUGAAGUGUCCUUCUGAAAAUUGUUCCUGGUUAAUGAAUUCAUCAAGUUUGAAUCAGUCGGGGCUAUUCAAAAUCUGAAAAUACUGUGGGGAGCACACUUGUUCGGUUAGAGAUAGAGUUUAUGCAAGGCGUCAAGGAAUCACUGACGUUGUAGCUGUUAUGAUAUUAGAUAAAUUUGUUGAUUCAGUUACUGUAUACACUCCGAAAGAUAUAGCCAAAGACAUGUUGAAAUUACAUGAUAUUUCGCUAACAUACAUGCAGGCUUGGCGAGUUAAAGAAAAAGCACUAAAAUUGUUGCGUGGAGAUCCGACUGAAUCAUGCGCUAAACUACGAGGUUUUUUCUGAAUUUAUAUUUUUAGUUUACUUUAUCUCUAAUAGAUAUCAAAUUGUAAUUUAAUAGUGGAACUAAAUUGGUAUGCAUUUUAGCAAAGCAAAAAAAUGGUAGUCAUUUUGGCAUGCAGUUUGUUUCCAGAUUGGUAUCCAUUAUGUAUCCAAUUGGUUUCCAUUGUGUAUCCAAUUGAUAUCCAUAUUGUAUCCAAUUUUGAAUCUAAUUGGUAUCCAUUUUGUAACCAGUUAAUAUAUUGUUGUGUUGUGAUAUUUAGUUAUCAAAUUGUAAAAAUAAUUGUAACAAUUCAAAAAUUUCCAGGUUAUCUAUACAUAUUGGAGCAGAUCUAUCCUGGUUCUGUUUUGAGCUUGAAAAGAAAAGAAGGUGAGAGCUUCUUAUAUGCAUUUGUUGCAUUGAAAGCAUGUAUUAGAGGUUGGGAGUAUUGUUGGCCAGUUGUAGUGGUUGAUGGGGCAGCCUUAAGAGGUGCAUAUGGUGGUACAAUGUUGACUGCAAGCACUAUGGAUCCAUGAGGUAUUACUUGAAUCUUUAUAUUUAUAUGCAAAUAUAAUUAUGAUAUAAGUUGUCUUUCCAAUCUGUAUGAUUUUUUUAAAAUAAUGCAUUAUGUCACAUACUUCCACUUACUUACGCUAUGGUGGAUUCUGAGAAUGAUGCAUCGUGGAUCUGGUUCUUUGAACGUUUUAAGGACACAUAUGGAGAAAGGGAACACAUGUGUUUUAUGACAUAUAGAAAUGAGAGAAUAUGGAAAGGAACUGCAAGAGUAUAUCCUGGAUUGGAACAUUAUGCUUGCAUAUUACACUUAUGCUGCAAUGUUUUGAAGAACUUCCAUAGGAAUAUUGAAGAUUUGAAGAAGCUUUUCUUUUUCAUGGCAAAGGCAUAUACAAUACAACAAUUCGAGGAGUUUAUGUCAAGAAUAGACCAGAUAGACCCAAAGGAUAAGAGGAUAUUUAUUCGAUAUCGGGUAUAGCAAGUUGUCAAGUACUCAUCAAAAAUGUAAGCGGACAUGGACCAUGACUUCAAACAUAGCCGAAUCUUUAAAUAAUGUUAACAGGUUAGCAAGGAGGUUGCCAGUCGUAUCACUUCUUGAUUUAUGAGGAUAACAAUUCAAACAUGGAUUCAUAAGCACAAUGAGAAGGCUGGAAAAAUUAGAUCAGACAAAAAAAUAUGAUCUUAAGCUCCAGAAAAGUGCUGCUUUGUCUAACAGCAUGAGGGUAUGAUUUUUCCUUUAUUAAUUAUGCUGGAUAAAUUUGAACAUUUUUUAUGUUUAAAACCAAUUAUUUUGUGUGUUAGGUAAUACCAUCAACGAUUUAUUUGCAUGUUGUUGUCGAUGGACCAAAGUGGUACAUAGUGUGCAUAAGAACCAAUAAAUGUAGUUGCGGACGAUUUCAAAAUGAUGAGAUACCAUGCGGGAAUGGAAUGACAGUUCUUAGGUACAGAAGAUUGCAUGAAACAAAUUACUGCUCUCCUUUUUAUAGCUUGAAGAAUUUUGAAGAUGCAUAUGCGAUCCCUGUUGAACCUCUCCCAUGAGAGAGUACAUGGGAUAUACCAAGUUAUGUUUCUGAGCCAAAAUUGAUGCCGCCUAGUUCAAAGAGAACUGUAAGAAGACCGCAACUUGAAUGCUGGAAGGGGUUUGCUGAUGUGAAAUUUAAAAGGUCUAAAGUUACUUGCAGUACAUGUCAUCAAGUGGGCCACAACAGGAAGACAUGUUCAAAUUACCAUGUGCCCAAAAAAAACAUAGUUUAUUUGUUUAAACUAUAAAAAAAUAUAUUUUAUUUUGUCUUUUAGACUCAUGUUUUGUUUUGAUUGUGACAAUGUAUUCAUUGUUUUCCAAUAAUAUUUAUUGAGUAAUUUAUUAGAUAAUUAUGGUAUGCAUUUGGUAUCCAUUUGUUAUGCAACUGAAUAACCACUGAUAUUAUUCAAUGUAAUUUACCAUGAGUAUUAAUUUGGUAUCCAACUGGUGUCCUCUAAAUCAAAAUAAAACAAGAUGUAAUUGAUGUCUGUGCAAAAUUUAAUGAUUGUUAUUUUAAAUUGUCAGAUUCAUUUCAUACCAAUAUUUUUACAGAAUGUAUACCAACUUCAUACAUCUUUAAAAUAUUUAAUCCACACUUGUUAAGACAAUAUAAUCUACAUUUAGUAUUAAUUUGGUAUCCAUAAGGUGUCCAAACUUGAAAAAUCAUAAAACAUGAUGUAAUUGAGGUUGGUACAAAAUAUAAUGAUCACUAUUUUACAUUGUCAAAAUCAUUUAUUCAAGGUAUUUAUACAGGUUGGAUACCAACUUCAUACAUUUUUUUUUGUUUUUAUUUUUUGUCUUAGAUUAUGAAGUAAAAAAUACCAAUCAUGUAUGAAUUUGGAUGCCAAAAGUAUACAAUUUGGAUACCAAUUAUAAGACAAUGUUAGUUCAUGAACUCUAAAUUGGUGUUCAUUUUGUUUCAGUUAAUAAGACAAUGUUAGUUCAUGAACUCUAAAUGUUGAAUCCAAUUGGUAUGUAGUUUGUAUAUAACUAUUAGCCCGAAAAUUAUUAUACUCAAUGUGUAAUUUAUCUUUUGAAUGGUGUAUCCAAUUGGUUUGUAGUCUGUAUAUAACUAGUAUCCUGGAAUUAUAAUAGUUAAUCUGUAAUUCAUAUGUAGUUGGUAUCUGACUGGAAGAAAACUGUAUCAAAUACUUAAAACUGUAUCAAAUACUUAAAAUAUCGUCAAAUACUUAAAACUGUAUCAAAUAUAAAAAUAUCAUCUAAAAGUUAAAAAAACUUGUAAUACUAAAAUGUCUAAGCUGCAAUCAACUAUCUCAAAUUUGAUCUUCGUGGUCUUGGUGUAGGAUAAUUGCUGGUAUCCGGAGUAUGUUAUUUUGCUAUCUGGGGUCCACCAAAUUUGCAAGCAACAGUUCUUAUUACUUCACUCACACUGAUCGCGCCAUCAUUGUUCUUUUUUUUCCCCAUAAUGCCAUAUGAUUGUGGCAUAUCUUUGACGGUGGUACUUUGUAUCGAUAUCAAUGGAACGCAUAUCAAAAACUCCAUUUCUGAUGUAUUCAACAAAUAGAUAUGUGUACAUACCAUAAUCACUGGAAAAAAAUUGGAAGAAAAAUAAUUUUAAAAAAUAAAUUGAGUUAGCUUUUCUGAUGAAAUCACUAAAGUAUAGAAAUACGUACUUUGAAGUUUCAUCUUGUUGAGGCAGAUUCGUCAUAUGUUUGACUGCAACUGGGUCACAUUGAGACUUGUCAAUAUAUUCAGGGAGUUUAUUGGCAUACAGAUCAAGCCUUUUACCAUAAAAACUUGUGCUCGUUAAAAAUAGUGGUAUCAUUGUGGCAAGUUUGUCAACAACUAUAUUCACACUCUUGUCAUGAAGAGCUCCUCCCAUCAUCGAAUCAUAUAUAUGUAGACAUCUAAGCUUGAUUCGGAAGACAAUAAAAAACCAGUGAAAUGAGGUACUAACAUUGACAGGAAUAAUGACAUCGUCAACACUGUCCCAAAAAAUGUUGGCAAGCAGUUUGAAACCUUUAAUGCACUGUCCAACAUCGUGGUCGAGAGAAAUGGAUCCCAUGUCGUAAUUGGAAUCUCUUCACUAUUUCUCAAUGUUAUCAACUGAUGUACCGUGAGUUUAAGAUACUAUUGAUACGUUUCACUUAGGAUUUGUGAAUGUCUAAGGCAUUUUGGUGUUAGUUUUAUGUGUUUUUUGUUGUAAUUUCAGAAAAUAAACUCAGGCGUGAAAAGAUGAAGAUGUAGUUGAGGCAAGUGCUAAAAAGAGUCACCUACGGAGGCACCUACGAACCGUAGGAUGAGUGACGCCUCAUAGAUAAGGGUCCUGGGACGACCAGACAUGGCAAGAUUGAAGCUCAUGGAAAUCUGACCAAGUGUGGAACCACGGUGGGGAUUGACGGACCGUCGAAUGACUUACGGUUUGUCCUGCAGCUCCGUAGAAGUGAUUAAAGGAGUGGUUCUAGUACCUGAGUUGAAAUAAUCUAAUAUAGAGCGACGGAGGUGACUGACGGUCUGUCGUCUCACUGACGGACCGUGCUGCUGGUUCGUGGAAGCUGAAUGAGAGAGGUGGAUUUGUGAAGAUUUCAAAUCGGCUAAGUAUGGAGCCACGGAAGAGACCUAUGGACCGUCAUUCGACUUACAGACCGUUUGUCAGCCUCAUGGAAUGGAGAUGCGUCCUACAGUUUUAUUUCCUUAUUUUGUUUCCUCGUUUUUAGAGGUUAGAUUUUAUUACUUUUAUUCUAGUUCUUGACUUUGGAGAAUAACUUGCAACUUUAGCAAUUCUUAAUUUCCUAAGUUCGUUUUGAAGAUUUUGGUGUUGCANNNNNNNNNNNNNNNNNNNNNNNNNNNNNNNNNNNNNNNNNNNNNNNNNNNNNNNNNNNNNNNNNNNNNNNNNNNNNNNNNNNNNNNNNNNNNNNNNNNNNNNNNNNNNNNNNNNNNNNNNNNNNNNNNNNNNNNNNNNNNNNNNNNNNNNNNNNNNNNNNNNNNNNNNNNNNNNNNNNNNNNNNNNNNNNNNNNNNNNNNNNNNNNNNNNNNNNNNNNNNNNNNNNNNNNNNNNNNNNNNNNNNNNNNNNNNNNNNNNNNNNNNNNNNNNNNNNNNNNNNNNNNNNNNNNNNNNNNNNNNNNNNNNNNNNNNNNNNNNNNNNNNNNNNNNNNNNNNNNNNNNNNNNNNNNNNNNNNNNNNNNNNNNNNNNNNNNNNNNNNNNNNNNNNNNNNNNNNNNNNNNNNNNNNNNNNNNNNNNNNNNNNNNNNNNNNNNNNNNNNNNNNNNNNNNNNNNNNNNNNNNNNNNNNNNNNNNNNNNNNNNNNNNNNNNNNNNNNNNNNNNNNNNNNNNNNNNNNNNNNNNNNNNNNNNNNNNNNNNNNNNNNNNNNNNNNNNNNNNNNNNNNNNNNNNNNNNNNNNNNNNNNNNNNNNNNNNNNNNNNNNNNNNNNNNNNNNNNNNNNNNNNNNNNNNNNNNNNNNNNNNNNNNNNNNNNNNNNNNNNNNNCCUUUUAAUUACUUGUUUCUGAAAGUAAGUUAACUAAAUGAUUUCCUCGUGGGAUCGACCCUAAACUACAGGUUGGAUUCUUUACUUGAUAACGAUAGCAUAUGCUUCUUUAAGAAUGUGUAAUUUGAGCAUAUCAAAUUUUGGCGCCGCUGCCGGGGAAUUUGGCCUUUUGAUUUAUUUUAACUACAUUAUUGAACUUUAGUCAAAUAUUUCCUAAUUUUAGUUUUUCUUUUUGUUUUUGUCUCUAGUUUAUGCCAAGUACAUAGAGCCAGGGUGAACCACUUACUCCUUACGAUCCAGAGUUGAACCGAACUUUGUGAAGAAUGAACAAUCAAGGAGUUCAAGUUAAUCCUAUCGGAGGCAAUCUAGGUGAUGAAGUUGAGUUGCAACCUCCGAGGGUAGUUAGUGGAGACAACCAGGUUUUAGUUGAAAAUUAAUUGGGAGAUGCAGUGAGGGUGCAUGGUCCACCAGGCCCACAACUGCAUGACAACUAUAGGGGCAACAUCAAUAUUGCUGACUCUGAUGGACCUCUUGUCCUACCCCCUUUGCCUCCGGGGCACACAUUUGUAGUGACCAGUAGAUUGAUGUAGAUGCUUACAACGAGGGGCUUGUUCUCGGGUCGCCAUCGGAGGACCCACAUGCUCACAUAGCCAAGCUAAGGGUGGUUUGCAAAAGCUAUGUAGGUCGACCAUACUUGGAUAUGGAUGUCAUCGGAUUGCGAGUGUUCCCUCUAUCACUGACAGGCGAUGCUGCUGUAUGGUUUACUGAGCUCCCUUAUUACUCAAUCUAUACAUGGGACCAACUGAAAGAUGUGUUCUUAACAAGAUAUUAUCCAGUGUCCAUGAAGCUCAAUCACAAAGAUAAGUUCAACAAUUUUGUGGCAUAACCUGGAGUGUCUGUGAGUAGUUCUUAGGACAGAUUCAUUGCGUUUGUAAGAGGUGUUCCGAAUCACCGUAUUGAUAAUGAGUCGCUGAAGGAAUAUUUCUAUCGAGGUUAGGAUGAAAGCAAUAAAGCAGUGCUUGAUACUAUUGCUGGAGGAUCAUAUGGUGAGUUCACAUGCGCGCAGAUUGCAGAAAAACUGGAGAAGAUCUCUCGCAACAAUAAAUCAUGGAGCACUAGGAGGUCGGAUACUGGGAGAAACACAUUUUCCGUUCAUAUAACAAACAACCAGUCUGCGGAUGAGAUUCGUGAGGAGAUGGCUCAGAUGAGGACCGAGUUGGGGUUGGUAUUGAAGCAUGUGAGCGGAAGUGCAGAAAAGGUAAAUGUUGUGAACUACUUGACUAGAACUCUACGACUAGUUGAAGAGUGUUACUAUGAAGAGGAUGCUUAUGCGGUGAAUGAUUAGACGGGGGGUUUUCGACCAAGAGCCCAAGGAUCCAACACGGAAAAUUGGCGCCAAGGUCAAGGAAACCAAGGUGAGAUGUAUGGCAAUUACAACCGAAAAGGUCAAUAUGUCCGGGAUGGGAACUUCAAUCGCGACAACAACUACAACCGGAAAAACUAUGGCAACAUAAAUGAUCGGGUUGGACCUUAUGUUCCCCCUAAAAAUCGGGAAUCUGGUACUAGGGAAGUUGGAUGCAAUAUGGUGCGUAUUGAAGAUAUGAUGCAGAAGAUGAUGAGAAGGUUUGAUGCAAUUGCUUGAGAAUGUGAAGGAGAUGAGAAACGACUUGUCUGGUAUUGGUAAAAAGGUUCAUGCCCAUGCAGUCUCAAUAAAACAUCUAGAGCAGCAGAUGACUCAGUUGUCUGCUACAGUGAACCCACGUCAACCUGGCACUCUUCCUAGCAACACCAUUCAUAAUCCAAAAAAAUGAUGGUCAUUGUAUGACAGUUACUACUCGAGGGGGUAAGCAAGCCAUUGAUCUACCUAUGCCGUCUGUGGUGGAUGUUGAGAUUAGAAAAGAAAAUGAUGUGAUAAAGGUUAGAGAAGAGUGCUCCAUAAUGUGCCAGUAAAAGUGGAGUCCUUCAUCUUUCCAGUGGAUUUUUUUAUUCUUGACUGUGAGGUUGAUUUUGAGGUUCCCAUCAUCCUUGGGAGACCAUUUCUUGCCACAGGGCGUGCGUUGGUUGAUAUGGAAAAGGGGCAGAUGAAGUUCAGACUGAAUAAUGAAGAAGCAGCUUUCAAUAUGUAUAGGUCCAUGAAGCAGAGUGGUGAGCUCCAAACGAUAUCUGCUAUAACUUACAGAGUUGAGAGUGGAACAAAAGUGCAAAUUAAAGAGCAACUCAGUGUUGAGGCACUAGCAACAAUUAUGAUGAAUUUCGAUAGUGAUGGUAUUGAAGAGUAUGAUGAGUUGGUAGCUGCACUCGAUAGGUGUGAAUAUCGGUCAAAACCAAAGAAAUAUGAGUUAGACAUGAAGAAUCGUGAGUCUCCACCCGUGAGACCAUCUAUUGUGGAGGCACCGAAAUGGGAGCUUAAGGCUAUACCACCACAUUUGAGGUAUGUAUUCUUGGGUAGAGAUAAUACUUUGCCGGUCAUCAUUGCGGCAGAUUUAAAUGCGAGACAAGUAGAGUGCUUGGUGACUGUGUGAAAGAGGUUCAAGCGAGCUAUUGGGUGGACUAUUGCGGAUAUUAUUGGGAUUCCUCCCGGUAUUUGUUCCCACAAAAUCCAACUCAUGCCAGAUCACAAACCUAGUAUUGAGCACCAAAGAAGAUUAAAUCCGCCUAUGCAAGAGGUAGUUAAAAAGAAGAUCAUCAAGUGGUUGGAUGUUGGGGUUAUCUAUCCCAUUGCAGAUAGUAGUUGGGUAUGUCCUGUUCAAUGUGUACCCAAGAAAGGUGGGAUUAAUGUGGUUCCUAAUGAGAGAAACGAGCUUGUUCCGAUGCGGCCGGUGACUGGAUGGAGAGUCUGCAUGGACUAUCGGAAGCUAAAUGCUUAGACAAAAAAUGACCAUUUCCCUAUGCAUUCAUGGAUCAGAUGUUGGAUAGACUUGUUGGUAAAGGUUGGUAUUGUUUUCUUGAUGGUUAUUCAGGCUACAAUCAGAUUUCUAUAGCUCCGGAGGACCAAGAGAAGACCACUUUCACUUGCCCUUAUGGGACUUUCGCCUUUAAACGAAUGCCCUUUGGGUUGUGCAAUGCUCCAGCGACCUUCCAGCGUUGUAUGAUGUCAAUAUUCUCUGAUAUGGUGGAGGACACUAUUGAGGUAUUUAUGGAUGAUUUCUCUGUGGUAGGUGACUCUUUUGAUCGAUGUCUGAAUCAUUUGGCUGAGGUGCUUAAAAGGUGUGAAUAUUGCAAUCUGGUGCUGAAUUGGGAGAAGUGCCACUUUAUGGUGAAAGAAGGGAUAGUUCUAGGUCAUCAAAUUUUUGAGAAGGGCAUUGAGGUAGAUAAAGCGAAAGUUGAGGUAAUAGAGAAACUUCCUCCACCUAUCUCUGUAAAAUGUGUUAGGAUUUUUCUUGGGCAUGCAGGUUUUUAUAGGAGGUUCAUCAAAUAUUUCUCAAAAAUUGCACAUCCUUUGUGCAAACUGCUCGAGAAGGAGUGUAAGAUCCAUUUUGAUGAUGCUUGUCUAAGAGCACUUGGAGAGUUGAAGGAGAAGUUAGUCACUGCAUCUAUCAUUAUUUCACUGGAUUGGGGACAACCGUUAGAGGUAAUGUGUGAUGUGAGUGAAGUAGCGCUUGGUGUGGUAUUGGGACAGAGGCGAGAGAAAAUUCUCCAUCCUAUUUACUAUGCUAGCAAAGCUCUAAAUGUGGCCCAGAAGAAUUAUACUGUGACUGAACAAGAGCUUCUUGUGGUGGUGUUCGCAUUCAAAUUUUUUUGAUCCUAUCUGCUUGGUACUAAGGUCAUAGUGCAUACUGACCAUUCUGCAUUGAGGUAUUUGAUGGUGAAGAAAGAUGCAAAACCGAAGUUGAUUAGAUCGGUAUUGUUGCUGCAAGAGUUUGAUUUUGUGGUAAAAGAUAGAAAUGGACCGAAAAUCAAGUUGCCGAUCACUUGUCCAAAUUAGAGGAAAAGGCUAUGCUAAAGCUUGGUGAUAGGGAUGAAAUUAAUGCUACUUUUCCAGAUGAACAAGUAUUGGCUGCUUCUCAUGAUUUGAUUCAUGGUUCGCAGACUUUGCUAAUUAUUUGGCAAGCAAUAUUNNNNNNNNNNNNNNNNNNNNNNNNNNNNNNNNNNNNNNNNNNNNNNNNNNNNNNNNNNNNNNNNNNNNNNNNNNNNNNNNNNNNNNNNNNNNNNNNNNNNNNNNNNNNNNNNNNNNNNNNNNNNNNNNNNNNNNNNNNNNNNNNNNNNNNNNNNNNNNNNNNNNNNNNNNNNNNNNNNNNNNNNNNNNNNNNNNNNNNNNNNNNNNNNNNNNNNNNNNNNNNNNNNNNNNNNNNNNNNNNNNNNNNNNNNNNNNNNNNNNNNNNNNNNNNNNNNNNNNNNNNNNNNNNNNNNNNNNNNNNNNNNNNNNNNNNNNNNNNNNNNNNNNNNNNNNNNNNNNNNNNNNNNNNNNNNNNNNNNNNNNNNNNNNNNNNNNNNNNNNNNNNNNNNNNNNNNNNNNNNNNNNNNNNNNNNNNNNNNNNNNNNNNNNNNNNNNNNNNNNNNNNNNNNNNNNNNNNNNNNNNNNNNNNNNNNNNNNNNNNNNNNNGGUACACCGAGGGCUAUUAUUAGCGAUGGAGGUUCUCACUUUUGUAAUAAGUUGUUCAAGGCACUACUUGAGAAAUAUGGUGUCUGCCACAGUGUAGCCACUCCUUACCAUCCACAGACUAGCGGGCAAGUUGAAGUGUCCAAUAGAGAGAUCAAACAGAUUUUGGCGAAGACUGUGAAUGCUAAUAGAAUAGAUUGGUCAAGGAAGCUUGAUGAUGCUUUAUGGGCCUAUCGCACUACAUACAAGACCCCUAUAGGUAUGUCUCCUUACCAACUUGUAUAUGGGAAGUCUUGCCAUUUACCGGUAGAGCUAGAGCAUAAGGCUUUGUGGGCGAUGAAGAAGCUAUAUUUGGAUUGGGGCGCCACAUCUAAUCAAAGAAUGAAUGACUUGAAUAUGCUUGAUUAGUUUCACUUAAAAGCUUAUGAAAGUUCAGCCUUGAACAAAGAGAAGAUGAACAGGUAUCAUGAUCAAAGAAUUGAAAAGCGAGAAUUUGUUGUGGGUGAUCUUUUGCUUCUAUUCAACUCUAGGUUGCGCUUGUUUCCGGGCAAACUCAAAUCCAAAUGGACUGGGUCAUUUUUUCUCACAAAAGUGCUCCCCCAUGGAGCGGUUGAGCUUGUGAACAAUGAAGGAACAAGGUUCAUGGUUAACGGACAAAUGAUCAAUAUCUAUCUGGGAAAUGCAGAAAGUGUGUAAGAAGUUGUUGAGGCCUAUCAUCUUGAUGAAGUCUGAGUAAUCAAGAGGCCUGCGUCGUGCCGCGACGGUAAAUUAAGCGCUGCUUCGGAGGCAAUCUAAGAUGUAAAAUCUAGCCAACAAUAGGUCGUUUAGUAGUUGCUCCUCGGUACUCAUUUAGACAGUUGUUUUUGUUUUGUUUUAGUGUUGGCUAGAUAUAGCAUAGGGUCUGUGUCUAAAAAGUGUUCAGAAAAUGUAAAAAGAAAGGGCUAAUGGUUGCUACAUGUGAAGGGGCGAGAAGUAGAAUCUAUAGAAAAAUGUCUGGUGCAGCGGUCUACGGACCCCAUCGACAGUCCGUCGUUCACUCCACGGACCAUGAAUGACGUCCGUAGACCCCAGGUAAGUCCCUAAAUUUUUCUAAGUGUUGAGGUGAUCUACGGUCUCGACCUAUGGACCGUAGAUUUACCUAUAGACCGUAGAUCGACCUACCGACCGUAAACGGGGUCUCGUAGGUCGAAACCCUAGUCAACACGACCCGACCCAGACUUUCUCUAUUUAAAACCCCAAAGUUUAAAACAGUUCCCACUCUUUCCAAAACCCUCAUCCGAAGCCCCACACCCCAAAGUCCAAAAAUUCACUCCCUCACACCACCCUCCAUCAGAUCUCCCAAAGGAAUUCACCCUCAAAAUCCACAUAUUCACACCCUUCCCAUCUUUCCGGAAAAUUCCCAUCAUCAAGAGAGUUCGGUGUCCGGGUACAGUACAACAUUGGGUCAAAUUCACUCAGAGUCUAAGUCUCGGUACGCAAUCACACCACUCCUCAUUUCUUGUAAGGUAAUUGACUGUCCUCUCACUUUGAAUUACGAUUCAUAGCUUGAAUAGGGUAAGUCGGGAGUGGAUCUUGACCUUGGGUAGCUAAUCAUCCCUAAAUGCAUGUUAAAUAUGAAAUUUAGAUGCCCUUGGGACAAUGGUCAGUGAUUAUAGGUAAUUCUAACUUAAAACUAGUAGAACUACGAGUCUAAAUGUAAGUUCCGACUUAGGGUUCCAUAACUUGUAUGAAUGGCGUGCUUAACUGAAUUAUUGGACCCCCAAGAAUGACGAACUAACAUGUGGAGUGUUGAAAUGCAUGAUUAGACUUGCUUAGUGUUGUUGUUGAUCCUCUUGUAUGUCUAAUGAUAAGCACUGAUGCAUAAAAUUGGCCCAGACCCACCCACGAGACCCCGUCCACGGACCGUUAUUCAGUCGACCGACCGUUGAUCAGGUCCGUGGCAGGGGCACUUGGGAAAUUUCCCAAGUGUGACACGACAGAGGUGGACUACGGUCUGUGGAAUGACCCACAGACCGUUCUGCAUCUCCGUCGUUUCCAUCUGUGACUAUGCCCUGGUUACUUCUGACUUACGGUGCAGGUCCACGGACCGUAGGUUGACCUACGGACCGUCGGUUACCACUGUAGCUUAAUGUAAUUUUUUUUCAUUUUUUUUUUCCUUCUUGAUUUCAUUUGUUUAUGGUUCUUAAAUUCUUUCCACCAUGUUUAAUGCUUGUGUUGGGUACUAAUAUCUCAUCCGCAGGUACCAUGAUACCAAACAAGAAAGUCGUCAUCAACAUGGGCCGGUCAAAAUAAGUGGCGCCGUACUUACGACUUAUCGAUGAGGAUACCGACAGGCAAUGAGACCCAGAUUACUCACCCACACCUGCCCGGACUGCUCAGAACCAGUCCAAUAAGGUGCUCCUCAACGUAGUCACUGCCUCCCAGUCUGAUGAGGAGGAUACAUUGAUCGGGUCACCAACUAGAUCUGGGUCCGGUUCUGAGUCCAACUCUGCUGCCGGGUCUGGGUCCGGGUCCGCCACCGGUUCAAGUGCACAUGAAUCGGCUGCCUCGUCUGAUGAGGCAUCUAGCUCUGACGGGAUUAACAUCCCUCAAAAUGACCAACCGAAUCCUGUAGACGGAGGGCCGAAUAGGUGGUGCGUCGAGGGGCAGUGGCAGAUUUACCGUGACGCUAAGAUGAAAAAUGCCAAGGAAAAGAUGGCCCGUACAAUUACGGAGGAGCGCAAAGUUCUCACCGGGAGUCUCCACACUAUGCCAGAUAUCUACCAGCUUUCCUAAAUGCACAAGUGCGAGUGGAUGGCUCAUGAUCUGGGUACUUAUAGCGAGGAGAUUGUGCGGGAGUUUUACGCUUCCUAUGCUGCCACUUUCCGAGGGUGAAUUCACAAGAACACCAAGCCCGCAUCACAAGACCCCCUCACAUCCACCAUGGUCCGAGGUGUCUCGAUGGACUUAUCCCACACCACCAUCAGCCGGUUCCUUUAUGGACCUAACCCUCAUCACACAUGGGCAGCCUCCACCGCUAAAUUUGACUAUCAGUGGGAAAUUGUGCGAACAGGAGCCUUCGGCCGAAAUGCGGAUCAAAGGGAGGCAGUUAUAUCAUGGCUAGCUCGACAUCUGGCUUUGGAUGGAGAGAGAGAGAAAUGGGUUGCUGCGCCCUGGUUGGGUAUUCGGAAGGCCACCUUUACCUUGGCAGCCAAGUUUUUUUGGCUAUUGGUCCGAAAUAGUUUGUCACCAACAAUGGCCGAUAAUAUAGUCACAUGGGAUAGAGCAGUCAUGGUGGCUGCACUGGUUGCCAGAAUGGAUAUAAAUUUCCCCUGCCUGCUACUGGGAGAAUUACAUGAGAGGGAUUUCAAGCCCACCACCACCUACUAUUUCCCCUGUAUGAUCUUUCAGCUUUGCAGGGAUGCAGGAGUGCCUAUUUGGCACUGUGAUAAAUUGGUGCAUGCGACUGGGACCCUUGACAUUAGGUUGAUUCAGGAUGACACGAAUGUGGCAGCACCACGCAGAGGGCCUCGAGUCGAUGUACCUAUGGGCGAGGAUCUGAUACACACUAUGGGGCAGAUGCAGGGAGAUGGGCCCCCUACUACAGCUCCGUCUAAUGAGCACCCAACUUUCUCUUCUCAGACGGCCAGCCAGGUCCCGAGCUCAUCUCGAGCCACAUUACUCUCCGGAAUGACUAUGAUACCAUUGGCUCGAGGCCAGAAGUUGGAGGGUCAAAUGGCCACCUUGCUGCACCAAAUUAAGCCCUGGAUGCGGAAUUUGAUUGUUGAGUCCGAAGUAAGAGUAGAAAAGAGGAUGGAGGCAAAAACGGACCAAAAGGUCCAAGCAGUUCAUAAGCGGCUCGAUGCCUUCGAGUUGAGAGUUCUAGAGAGGCCAGCUCCUACUACUGAUAUGUCCUCUUUCCGGACCGAGCUAUCUAGUCUCCGGGCUGAUGUUGACGCCAUCCUAGCCACACCAGCUGUUAAGCCACAAGCUGCACUUUCUGCAUUAGGCGAUGAUACAGUCUUGGGUGCACUAUUCAGUGGAGAUGAUCUGGAGUAGCAGCCCGAGCCUUGCACGUGCCCGCGGUAAGAGGCACCGAUCUAGUCACAAAACUGAGCUCACGGAGGAGGAAAAGGCUAGCAAAAGGCAGCGCAGGUAGGAGAAGAACGCACGGAAAGCCUCCAUAAUAGAUGAGCAGCUGAGGGUGCAGUUAGAGUGACAUAUAGCACUAUUGAUGGUGACCCGAGUGUUGAUUUAGCGAGCUCCGGGAAACUGGACCCACCCGUUUGUUGAUGAUUCGUCGGCACUAUGCGCCACAGGUUUGUUUCACCCAUAUCCAUUACUUUUUACUAUUUUUUGUUGGGAGUGGGGUAAAUGGAUUGUGAGUGAUAGGGUGAAGUCUGAGUAACCCAACUUAUAAUCCUCUUUUGGGGUUUUCUUGCAUGUGUUCUUUUCCCCCAAGAUACUAUUUAAUUUCUGUUGAACCGGAAUGUGUUAGGAUCUUAUGUGUAGAAGCAUGAAAAAGAAUGAAGCAUGAUGGCUUAUGAAAAAUGAUACUCGUCCAAAUUUUGUGAUGUGUGCUAGAAUUUGUAGGCUAAGUUAAGUUGAAUGUGUCGGCUCUGAGUAUGACAUGAUAAUGAACCAACUUAAUGGCAUGACUUAAGCUAAAACUUGAAUUGGGUAAUCUGAUAAUGAAACUAUGUGACAAGAGUGUAUGAGAAUAGUUGAUUGUUCAAACAGUUUUGUGCCAAUCUAGAACGUACCCAGUUAGUCCUGCUAAGACAAUUUACUCUAGAGGCUAGGAAGUGAUCAUAGGCCCUUGUUCUGAUAAGUCCACAAAUUGCCUAUAAGAAGAAUACAACCAAAUGAAAUAAAUGCUCCCUUUGAUCUAAAUGCUUUGAGCCUAAAUUAGACCAUUUCUUUCUAAACCCCUAACUCACCUUCCCAUAAUCUGCUAUGUUGGCCCCAGUCCCUCCUUGGACAUGUGCACCUCGACUUAGGCCAAAAGCCUAAGUUGAGGGUGGCUAAUGUAAAGAGUAACUUCAAUCUUGGCCCUGUUCUGACAUCGGGUAUUGUGCAUAUCAACCAAUGGAAAAUCCAUAAGUUGAGGGUGGCUAUGAAAGAGGAAACCAAAAGAAAAAAGGGUAUGAAAAUAGUUUGAUGUUGAAAAAGAGAAAAAGAAAAGAGAAGAAAGGAUGUGACUUGUUGAAAGCUGAAGAAAAGAAUAAAUGCAAGAAAAAGAUGAAAGUGAAAAAUAAAGAGCUACAAAGUUUAAAUUCACAUCCAUGGUUGAAGAAAAUCAAGGGAAAGAAGGUAAAAAGGUAGGAUGUCAAAAAUAGGGCAAAAUGAGGUUGAAAGCCUAGUGUAAUGUCAAGGAAGGCAGAAAGUCACUAAGAAGUACCCAAAUGUACCACACCUACCCUACGUUACAAGCCAAGAAAGUCCUAUAGUGAUCCUAGAAUCUAGUUUGGAGAGUCAAAGCAGUGAAAUAAGGGCAAGCCUAUGGUAUUGAGCACUAACUAUACUUGAAGUUACUUCUGAGUGUGAGUGUUGAAUGAAUCCUUGUACUCAAAUUCAUAUUCAUUGUGUGAAAAGAGGGAUUUCGUUUGAAGUAAGGGCACUAGUUACAUUGUCGGAAAAUUGGUACCUUGGUGAUGUAAAAUAGUGUAUGUUUGUGUGUUGGUUAGUCGAUCUUUGUCAUGUUUUGAUUCGCACAAGUUAGCUUGUUGAGUCUAAGAGAACAAAGUCGCACUCAAAAUAAGAGUCGGGAUGAAGAGCCAUGUGAUUGCUUAGGCUGAAAUUGUUUGCUUCUGUACAAGUGUCAGUUAGAGUCAUAAUGUGUUGCUUGAGGACAAACAACAAUUUUAAGUUGAGGGUGUUGAUGUACCGUGAGUUUACGGUACUUUUGAUACGUUUCACUUAGGAUUUGUGAAUGUCUUAAGGCAUUUUUAUGUUAGUUUUAUGUGGUUUUUGUUGUAAUUUCAGGAAAUAAACUCAGGAGUGAAAAAAUGAAGAUGUAGCUGAGGCAAGUGCUGAGAAGAGUCACUUACGGACCAUAGGAUGAGUGACGCCUAGUAGAUAAGUGUCGUGGGACAAUCAGGCAUGGCAAGAUUGAGGCUCAUGGAAAUCUGACCAAGUGUGGAACCACAGUGGGGACUGACGGACCGUCGAAUGACUUACGGUCCGUCUUACAGCUCCGUAGAAGUGAUCAAAGGAGUGGUUCCAGUACCUGAGUUGAAAUAAUAUAAGUAUAGAGCGACAUAGGUGACUGACGGACCGUGUUGCUGGUUCGUGGAAGCUGACUGAGAGAGGUGGAUUUGUGAAGAUUUCAAAUCGGCUAAGUAUGGAGCCACGAAAGAGACCUACGGACCGUCAUUCAACUUAUGGACCGUAGGUUAGCCUCGUGGAAUGGAGACGCGUCCUGCAAUUUUAUUUCCUUAUUUUGUUUCCCUUUUAUUUUAGGAUUUGUUUUCUAUAAAUAGGGUAUGUAAACCUCAUUUUUGGAGGUUAGAUAUUAUUACUUUUAUUCUAGUUCUUGACUUUGGAGAAUAACUUGCAACUUUAGCAAUUCUUAAUUUCCUAAGUUCGUUUUGAAGAUUUUGGUGUUGCAAUUCAAGUUGAAUUUCUGGGUUUAUUCUUCUUCUUACGUAAGUUCAUAAUUCUUUCAUCUAAAACAAUGAAUUGUGUUCAUAUGAUUAUGGGUAACUAAACUCCACAACUAGGGUUGUGGGAACCAUGAGCGAUUAACAAAGUAUGAAUAGUAAAUAAGCAAUUCUUGAAUAGUGUUUUGCAUGCAUUGAUAAUUCUUUCGUUUANNNNNNNNNNNNNNNNNNNNNNNNNNNNNNNNNNNNNNNNNNNNNNNNNNNNNNNNNNNNNNNNNNNNNNNNNNNNNNNNNNNNNNNNNNNNNNNNNNNNNNNNNNNNNNNNNNNNNNNNNNNNNNNNNNNNNNNNNNNNNNNNNNNNNNNNNNNNNNNNNNNNNNNNNNNNNNNNNNNNNNNNNNNNNNNNNNNNNNNNNNNNNNNNNNNNNNNNNNNNNNNNNNNNNNNNNNNNNNNNNNNNNNNNNNNNNNNNNNNNNNNNNNNNNNNNNNNNNNNNNNNNNNNNNNNNNNNNNNNNNNNNNNNNNNNNNNNNNNNNNNNNNNNNNUGCGUUAUGAGCUUGUGGGGAACACGUAUAUCCUAGUUAAUUCUCUCAUCUUGAUAACAACCAAAAUUGACUUUUGCUUACUAAUUACUUAUUGAAUUCUUACAAUUUGUUUCACAAAUUCGCCCCCCCCCCUUUAAUUACUUGUUUCUGGAAGUAAUUUGACUAAACGAAUAUAAUUGUUGGUUAAAGUGAAGUCUAAAUCAUUUUCCUCGUGGAUCGACCCCAACCUACAAGUUGGGUUCUUUACUUGAAACGAUCGCUUAUUCUUCUUUAGGGAGGUGUGAUUUGAGCGUAUCAUCAACCCAUGACACAAACCGACAAUCGACUGUACUGUAUGAUAGUGAUUAUGGAGAAUACUUUGCCUUCUUCCGUAGAUAAUACAUAAUGAUAUUAACAUGCUUUUACAAAAAAACAAGCCACAAAAAAGGUUUUAAAUAUAUACAGAAUGGAUAUCAAUUUCAUUCCAGCUACAUGUUUAAUAAACAAUUCAUGUAAUUCAGCAUUUUAUACCAAAUUCAUUCAGUAAUCAUGCCAAUUGCAUACAUGAUUGGAUAUCAAAUAUAUACAGAAUGGAUAUCAAAUGCAUUUCAGCUAAAUGUUUGCUAUAUUGUUCAUGUUUCAUACAAGAUUCACUCAUUAAUCAUACCAAUUGCAUAUAUGAAAACUGUUGGACAUCAAAUUCAUGCCAGUUUAAUAUAUAAGGUACUGUUCAUAUUAGUGGACAUUUUAUAAAAAAUUUAUUCAUAAAUCAUUCAAAAUGCAUACAUGAUGCUAUUGUAUAAUAAAGUUAUACGAAAUGGAUAUCAAUUUCAUGCCAACUAAAUAUGUAAAAUCUUAUUCAAAACAAGAUACAUUUCAUAACAUAUAUAAAAACAAAAACUCCAACAAUAAUUAGAAAAAUUUGGAAUAUGAGUUACAAAUUAACUAAUAAAAAAGUUAAUAGAUAUGACUUACCCCGUCUUCUCAUGGCCUGCCAGAUUUAACCAUUAUGUUGAAAAAAUCCAUUUCUGAAACUUUCACAACCCCAAAAUCCAUUUGAGGUUCAAACUUAUCUUUGGCCUUGGAAUAAGCAGAUUUCUUGUGUACAUUACAAAUAUAAAAUAAAAAACAUUGUAUACGAAUUGUUUGGAUAGUAUUUCAAAAAACUUGGCUUUGUUUACAUAUAUACCUGCCACGCCUAGAUGAAACAUCUUUGAAAACUCAUUUGCUAAACUCAUCGAUCAAAUCAUCUGAAACCUGAAACCCAUUGUGACUUUCAAAUGGAUGUUUGAUACGAGAGAAAAUAGAACCUUUUCUUACACUGCUUUCACCUUUCGAUAACCGAAUGUACGGAGAUGUGUCGUACUUGCCGUGGUUCCUAUUUCUUGGUUGCACAUCUGGAGUAGUUGUCACAUUGAGUAUUGGAUCAAGUUGAACAAUUUUUUUCAUGGUCAAAUCAAGAUAAUCAUCUAGGCUUGGUGGUUUUGAAGUUGAUGAUCCAGGUAUGUCAGCAUUAGAAACACCAUCGACUGUUUUUUCAAUUGGAUUUUGUGCUUCAGCUACAUUUUCAAAAAAGAAAAACUAAAGUUAAAAAAAAACUUUGUAAGUUAAUAUACACAUUAUAUUAGGAUUGGUUCUCAUACCAUCGGUGUUUGAAAUAUCUACAUAUUCCCUCAUUGAAACUAAUGGCGGAUCCAUUCCAACUUUUUCAGUUUCUUCAACAUGUUGAUGGGCAUCAUCCUAAUAUAUACAUUUAAAUAAAAUUUAUUCAUACAUCAUUUAAUAAUUUAUACAAAAAAUCAUGCAUAAAAACUGUCUCUUACAAAUUUAAUACAAGAUUAAUACCAAGUUUAAACCAACAACAAUAACCUGUCAUGAAUAAUGUCUCUAUCAAAUUUAAUACCAUAUUAAUACCAAAUUUAAACCAACAGAAAAUUAUCUAUAAUAACCACUUCAUACAAUAUUCAUACCAAGAUAAUACAAAUUUUAUGAUAGCACUUUCGAAAGAACAAUAAAAACAUGCAUAAGACCUACUUCAUUCAGUAUUCAUACCAACAUAAUAUCAAUAUUAAACAAACAUAAUACUGAAAAAUAAUGCAUAAGAAUUGACUCAUACAAUAUUCAUACCAAUACAAUACCAACUUCAAUCCAAAAUCAUACAUUAAAAAUUGCAUAAUUACUGGCUCAUACAAAAUUCAUACCAUGAUAAUAUCAAUUUCAAACCAAAAAUAGAUACACAACAAUUGAUCAGUUCUAAACUUUCUCAAACCCUUUAAUACCAAUUAUAUCAAAUUUCUGCGAAAUAGCUAUUAAAAAUUUACGAAGAUUGUGUAUGUGUAGUUUACCUCUUGGUGUGAUGUUUGUGUUGGUUGACUUCUUGACGACCUAAUCUCAUCGAUUCAACUUUGUCGAAGUAUUGACAUAUGCUUUCAAUUCGAUCAUGUGCCUGUCAACCUUCUCAACAUAUAUAUUAAAAAUUAAAAGAUUACAGAAUAAUAUGUAAUAUUAAUUAAUGGAAAAAGGAUUGAGAAAAUAAAAUUAUCCUUCAGUUCUUUCAACUCCUGCCGAACCUGUCAUGAAACAUUAAAGAGUGAAUAAAUUCUUUCAAAAAUGUAAAAAAAUAUAUUAAGUGGUAAUUUUUUUUUGUAUACUAACAUCUGCAAUUUCACUCUUCAAGUCAACAUACUUUUCUUCUGAGUCAACAUCGUUCCUUUCUGAUGUUGCUUGAUUUUCUGUCUUGUGGUGACUACAAGAUUCAUGUAAAUUGUUCGGAUCAAUGGCAUUCAUCUCUUCAAUCAUAAGCACUAUGUUUUUAAAUUUAAGCUGUAAUAACAAAAGAAGAUGGGAGAAUUAUAAAUUAUAAACAAAAAGAUAAUAAAUGAUAAUUAUUAAAAGACAAUAAAUAAAAAAUGACAUGAUUGCCAUAUGUUCUGAAAAUGAUAUUCUUUAAGUCCACGAAGAAAAUAAUUUUAUUCGAUGUCUUCCAGUUGAAAAUACGAGGUGUGCCAUUUGCAACACGGAUAACAAUUGUGUUGUCAAGACAACACUCAUAAAACCAGAUCUGCAAGGCUAAGUGGAAUCCCCUAAAUUUGAAUGAUGUAGGAUUAUUUCCCAACUUAUGACUGCAAGCUUUUAAAAUCAACCUGAAACAUUCAGUACCCCAUGGGAUGUUGACAUACUGACCGGUCUCAACCAAAUCAAAAUACAGUUUAGGUAUAGUUGUUUUGGAGGCCUCGAAACCUGUUAGAAAUAUAUUGUAACGAUCAGUUCCCAUCGUUAUAGAAAAGCCAAUGGGAAAUUUUUUUGGACCUAAAAGGUUUUUGGUAGUAUCUGGAAAUUUCCCAACCUAGUCCAAAUUUGGAUGAAAUUGGAGUCAGUGAGGCCUAGGGAAAUCUGGUAACAUUUAAGAGAUCUAAUUAUGAAUUUGAUCAUAUGAGUGGAUAGCUAAGACGUUAAGCAACCCAUACGACUUUAAAUAAUUGAAUCCAAGCAAGUAGAUCUCCCGAAAUUGAUCUUAGCAUGAACGGAUAUUUUCAGAGUGUCGUGGGAUGAAGGUGUGUUGUGAAAGGGGGGGUUUUAAAUUCUUAAAUUUCCUCACUUGUUUUGUGCAAGCCACUAAGACAGGAUUUUCCCGCCAGGGUGGGGCCGUUGUAGCGGGGUGAGUACUGUUGUGGGGGACAAUCGUGAUCUAAAUUGGAAAUAAACCCCAAAAACGUUUUAUUCUGCACUUUUCUACUUUGAGAGCUAAGCAACGACCCCAGGUGUUUUCUUGAUAGUUUUCCACCAUUCUUGAGGCUAAAUGUAAGAUUUUCACUCCCCGAAUCCAUUUUUUGAUCCGUAGAACUUCAUUUCUUGGGUGAUUAUCAUUGGGGUAGGGUUUUGUAACUGUUUGGAUGGUGGGAAAAACCCUAAUUUGGAUAUUGGGAUCAUGGGGUGAUCUAUAGUUGAUAGUGUUGAUUUAAAUUAGGGUAAUUAGACAUCGUUUAUUGAUUUCAAUGUUAUAUUGAUUGUUUGUAGACCAAGAACAUGCGGAAAGAAUUCGGAAAGGGAAGAAUCAAGUUUCUUAGGGGAUUCAAGCUUUGUUUGAGGUAGGUGAUGGUUGUGAUUUCAUGUUGUGUGAUAUAUGUUUGUUCUUGCUUCAUUAUGAUGCAUGUAUGUAUGCGAAUGUUGCAUUAUUGAUCACACUAAUCAUAAAUGAGGAUGAUUGAAUAAUUGUAUGCCAUGAAUCAUGAAUUGAUUGUAUGAUUAUGAGAAUGUACAUUGUGAUUGUGAUUGUGGCUUGUUAAAUGGAUCGGGUGUUGCGUUCCGACACACUAUCUGGGAUCGGUUGCCACGUACCGGUAUAAACUUUGGAACGGGUGUCAAGAUCCGACACACUAACUUGGAACGGGUACCAUGUACCGGUACACUAACAGUUUGGAUAUGGUUCCAUGAGAGGACCAUUGACUUGACAUAAAUGUAUAUCUUGAGAAUUGUGAAAUUGUACGUUGUUCGUAAAUGAUGUUGAUAUUGUAUAUAUUCGGUGUAUUCAUGUUAUUAUUAUGUUGUAAUGACUUAUGUCUGUUGCACUUAGUGGGAUAGUCGCGUGAUCCUACCAGUACACUGUGGUUGUGUACUGAUACUGCACUUGCUCUUUCUUUGUUGAGUACAGGGUAUCUUCAAGCGGCUACUGACAGACCUCGUUUAGAAGAUCAAUGAUCGUCAUAGAAUUCAAGGGUGAGUUAGUUUUUUCGGUUGCCAUGAGUUCUCUUUUCGUUUAUGUCCCCAUUUCGGACUUAGACUAGUACAUUAGUAUUUUCUUAUGUUUAAUUGAGUUGCACCCAUUUUCUUAGACUUGUUGAACUUUAGAGGUUUUGGUACACUGACUUUCAGGUUCUAGGUAUUAUUCCGCAUUUGUUUGAUUAAACUUUUGGAGUUUAUGGGAACUCUAUAUUUCCUUUAGCAUUUAAACCUGCUUCCGUAACUUUAAAUGCGUAGUUUUAUGGUUAGUUGGGUUGUAGUAAUGAUUCUCCCACUGGAGGGUUAGUGUGGGUACCAAUCACGACGGUGUGGGUCGUGACAAAGUUGGUAUCAGAGCCCUAGGUUCGUUGAUCUCGAUGUACCAAAACGAGUCUAGUAGAGUCUUGCGAAACGGUACAGAGACGUCUGUACUUUUCUUCGAGAGGCUAUAGGAAUUUAGCAAAUCUCUCUAUUUUCUGUUGUCUCUUUUCGUGCUAUAACUUGGUUCCAACUGGCAUCUGGUGGUCCAAAUUGGUAUCUAAUCUCCUUCACUCUUCUAUCCGCAGAUGGUUAACACUAGGUUCAAUGGCAUCAGGUCCAUAUCUCCCUUCAAUGCACCAGCUGAGGAAUCCGCAACAAGAGGUCGCGGUCGAGGCAGGGGUAGAGGAAGAGCUAGAGGUAGAGGAAGAGCUAGAGGUAGAGGCCGAGGAAGGGUUGUGCCUACUGAUUUGACGUUUCAAAGACACUUCACCUAAUUCUAAGUGUCAACGAUCGCUAGUUAGUAUAUAACCCAACUAAAUGAGUUAGGGUCGAAUCCCAUAGGGAGUGAUACGUGUUUAAGAUUCAAUAGGAAAGUGUCAAUAUGGUUAAAAUUAGCCAUAUGAAUAGACAUUAUCGAAUAAAAACAUAAUUCAAAUCAGGGGGUGACACGAAUGUGAAAUAAGGGGGGUUUGUUUGAAAUUAUCAGCUACAACAACAGCACACAACACAAAAAUAACAAUAAUGAGACGGGUUCUUGGGAUGUGAUUCGAUUAUAGGCUAAUGUAGACAAAUGGGUAAUUGCAACUGUUGGGAAAUAACUGAAUAUCAGUGAAAAAUCUAGACUAUAGAGGAGGUAAACUUUCUCUCGAACAAUUUACCCCGAAUCAAAUUGAUUUCUCUCGAACAUCAACAGGGGUGCAAAAUAAGAACAACCUACACUUUAGUCCAUUCACUCUCUCGAGCUGAAUGUGUGGAAAAGGGUUUAGGAUGCACACUCUCGACCUGAACCCAUGACAACCCAAUACCCACAUACCAUCAAUCAAUAAUUUUGGUUUUAAAACCACUCUCUCGAGCUAGCCAAAAAUACAGAGGUAGAACUGCAUUUGAAACUAUAAUUCUUAAAUUAAACCACAAUUAAUGAUUGAACUCACUUCUAAGCAGCAUUUCAACUAAUAAUUUACAAUAUCCAUAAACUAAAUCAGCCCAUAAUCACACCCCAAGAAUUGGGGUUUUAGCUAGACAUCAUAAAAAGAUAAAAAUCGUUACCAAAUUGCGUUUCCAUCAACUGGGUAAGAUUAAUUUCAUCCUUACAAUGGUCCAAAUUGAAGAAUAUCAAAGACCCACUUCCAAUUUCUCAAAAAUGAAAAACUUCAAUUCUUCAAAGCUUAGAAAAAACUUGUCUCAAUACUCAGAAUUCGAUAUAUUAAAAAUAUGAAACUUGUUAAUUGAUAAAAAGAUACUAAACUAAAUGUUUAAAACUGUAGUUAUAGUCGCCAAAAAUAUGUUGCGAAGAGCCAUUCAAUGCAGUAAGUCAGGCUCGCCGAUCAACUCGACGAUCCACCCUUUGAUCAAUAUUCUCGCCCUUUUGCAUUGGCCUUCAGAUUCCUCAAGCUCUGUAACUUUGGGUGUUCCAACACUGCAUUGCGGAACCACUCGACGAUCUGCCGACUGCUCCUUUCUCUUGCCUACUUGAUUUUCUCCUUUAGGGCUUGGCACACUGGAAAUUUAGGCGGUCAAGAGGCCGUUCGGCUACUCGCCAAGUGGACUUGGCGAUCACCAGGCGUACUUUUCUUCAUUCUUUCAGCUCGCUUUGUUUCUUUUUGCAAAUUAGUGUCCUUGCUUUGUUUCUCAAUCCAUAUACCUGGAAAUCAAGGGUUUUACAUCAGUUAUUGGCACAAAAUAAGCAUUUGAGGAAACUAAAUCUAUACAAAUAAAGCCCUAAAUGAGUCCAAAUCUUGGACUCAUCACCUACUAGGGAUGAGCACCAGUUGAGAAUGCUCCUAGAAAUGAGGCCCCUCCUGUGCAUCAUGAAGAGGUAGAAGAGAAUGUAGAGGUUGAGAAUGACGAGAAUGUUGGACAAGUGGAAGAGGUGCAUGAUGUGAGGCCAAAAAUAUAUAUUUUUAAUCAUUAUUUACCUCACAUUUAUUAUUUAUAUUUUUCCUUUUUGAGCAUUAAUUUUAUGGAUUGUGCUAAAUAGUGUAUUUUAUUUGUAGGAGUAAAUUGACAUAAGGUUGAAGAAGUUUGGAUGUAAAACAAAUUAAAGAUGAAAGAUUAUAGAAGGAAAUCAAGCAAGCAACUUAAUGGAUAAAAUUGAAUAUAAUAAUAUAUAAAAUUAUAUGCUGCAAAGUGCACAUCCAAUUGGAAACUUGAAAGGAGCAUAUUGUUGCCAGCCGCGUGGCAGAUUCGGAAGGCAGUGGCCAAUUCAGGAGCUGCGCACAAUCUUGAAGGCGGCGGACAAAACGCGUACAACAAUUCCAACUCAAUUUUAGUUUUGGUUUCCUCGUUUGUUUUGGUCCAAGUUAUUUUAUUUAGGGGUUUCUACAUCUUUAAAUAGUCUACAGAAAUAAUUAUUAGGCAACCAAUAUAGAGUAAGGAGGAGGCACUUUUGAAGGGAAAGUCGUUAAAACCUUUUAGAGUUCUUUUCUUCUUCUUAUUUUCUUAGAGAUUAGUGGCUAAAGUCCUUGUUCUGGGGUUGUAGCCACGAAUCGAAUGUUGAUUAUUUAAGGUUUAUGAAUUAAUUUUCGGUUGUCAAUACAAGUUACUUCUAUAUUCUUGUUUUAGUAUUUUAUGCUUGCGCACCAUAAGAUAAAUCUAUUGUCUAAUCUUAAAAUCGAGAGAGGAGAGGUUAGAUAGACCAGAGAAUAUAGAGAUCUCAGUUCACCCAUUAAAUUGAGGUGAUUAGUGUUCAGGAGUGACGCCCAGACGAACACCUUGCGUUGUUACGAAAUAGGAUGAAAUAUAAAUGCUCGCCAGUUAGUCUAUUUAUCGCCUCUCAACGAUGUAGUUAGAUAGCUAACUGGGGUAGGCGACGAGAGGCGUAUAACCCGGAUUAUAUCAUCAACCCUAUAUACCAGUAACUUGACAACUGAAAUUAAUUCUAAGCCUAUAAUAUGAUACAUGAGAUUCAAUACAUGCUGCAGGGAUUUUCCAACUAUUGUAUGUAAUCCUAUUAUUUUAUUCCUACAUUCUUUUUUAUUUGACACUCUUAAAUAAAUAAUUAGACCAAUAUAAUUUAGUAAAAAUAGUUAAUUGACAAGUCCUUUGGGUUCGAUAUUCUGGUUCUUUGAAGAGCCACUAUAUUACUUGCGCGACCACGUACACUUGCGUGUGUAAUUGGGAGCAACAAGUUUUUCGCUCCGCUGCCGAGGACUUAGAAAUUAACUAUUUGUCUAAGUUAUAUUUUUUCUUUUUAUUUAUUUAAGUUUUGUUUUUAUAAGUUUUUUAUUUUUAGUUUUUUUUCUUAACAAAUAUUUAUUUAUUUUUUUGAAUAAUUUGAUACUCUUAUUGAUAUGGAUGAUUGGGAUAAAUCGUGGUUGGUUGAUGAAUGUCCUUUAUGUGAUAUAUGUGAUCGUCAAUAAAUUCAUUGGAAUGGUUGUCCUAAAUCUUAUUCCCUUCCCCCGAACCCCUAUUAUGAUUCUUCUAUUAUUUGUGAUGUUGGUAGGGGCGAUGAAGUGGAGAAUGCAAAACAAGAGGCGCGCAAUGUGAAUUCACUUAUGGAAUGUACGGACAUGCUGGACAAAGUUAAUUCAAAAAUCGCUGAACAAAUGUUUGAAUGUGUGGAAGAGAAAAAAAUAAUCACAAAACUGCGAGAUGCGCUUGACGCUAUUCAAUUAGAAAUUACUGUCCUAGAGAUUGCAGCCCAACAAAGAGAAAGCUAUGAAGAAGCAGAGAUAGUGAGCCAAUCUUGGCUACAAGAACAAACUCAACUUCUAAAGUUUCAUGAGUCUAUCUGUGAUGAUCUACAUUCAUGACAAGCCAACUGAUUGAAGGAAAAGUUGAGCUCACACAAGAAAUAGAUCAAUUUGGCUCAGAUAUUCAUGACUUGGAGACUCACUUUGAACAAAAAGAUUGAGGCGUCUGAUGCCCAAUUAUCAAUUGUCGUGGAUGAUGAUCAAACAAGUGGAGCAAAAAGAGGAAUUUCAACCAUUAAACUACACCUUAUUCCUUAAUAUCGAUGUUGAGAAAGAGUACAAAAGUGAGAAUGUUGUAAUAAUGUUGCUUUGGAGUUGCGGCAAUUUGAAUCUCAUUCAAAACACUUUUCUAUAAAAUCUGAACUAAUGGAUGAGUGUAUUGAUGAGGAACAAAACCUCUACAUUCUAAGGCUUUUUAGUCCACGUAGACAAAACAACAUUCCUCACCUAAGGGCCAAGAAGUGCAAGAUGCGACAUAUAUUACUUGGUUCCUUUAUCUUUAUACCACCACCCCUUGAGAGGAGUAGAAAAAUUGAUGCUAAGUUAGGGGUAAAAUUCAUAAGUUCAAAGUGGAAAGAAAAGUAGUGAANNNNNNNNNNNNNNNNNNNNNNNNNNNNNNNNNNNNNNNNNNNNNNNNNNNNNNNNNNNNNNNNNNNNNNNNNNNNNNNNNNNNNNNNNNNNNNNNNNNNNNNNNNNNNNNNNNNNNNNNNNNNNNNNNNNNNNNNNNNNNNNNNNNNNNNNNNNNNNNNNNNNNNNNNNNNNNNNNNNNNNNNNNNNNNNNUCUUUUUAAGUGUGGGGUGGAGGAAUAAAUUCCUAGUUUUUAUUAUUUUAUUGAGUAUUUUAUUUUAGUUUUAAAUUAUUUGAUGCUUUGGGGACAUAUCAUCUUUUUAAGUGUGGGGUGGAGGAAUGAAUUCCUAGUUUCUACUAUUUUAUUGAGUUUUUUAUUUUUUAGGAUGAGUUCCUUGGCUUUUGUUUUCAGUUCUUUUCCUUGAGGAUAGUCCCUUUGAACCGAGUGCCUUUUAUUUUUUUAGGAAUAAGUUUUCUUUUAAUGUUUUUUUGAGAAAAAAGAAAAGACCCUUUUGAGUGGUGUAAUACUUGCUAUUUAGGCCUAAUAUUUUGAGUAGUAUUUUCUUGUGAAUGCUUGAUUAAUAAGAAAAUUACAGACUCUUUGACAUCUAAAUUCAUGGUUGUGACUUUGUAUAUAGCUUAUUUUAUUUUGUAUUUUGUUAUGGCCCUGUCUCUCUUAGAAGUGGAAUUGAUCCAUCUUGAUUGAUACUUGUGCCAUAUGUGGUGAGAAUUUCUUUAUUCCAUGUUUUGCAUUUUAGUAUAGAACUUGCCCUGCAUGUUAUUGAAGCGAAAUAAAAAAGUGUUNNNNNNNNNNNNNNNNNNNNNNNNNNNNNNNNNNNNNNNNNNNNNNNNNNNNNNNNNNNNNNNNNNNNNNNNNNNNNNNNNNNNNNNNNNNNNNNNNNNNNNNNNNNNNNNNNNNNNNNNNNNNNNNNNNNNNNNNNNNNNNNNNNNNNNNNNNNNNNNNNNNNNNNNNNNNNNNNNNNNNNNNNNNNNNNNNNNNNNNNNNNNNNNNNNNNNNNNNNNNNNNNNNNNNNNNNNNNNNNNNNNNNNNNNNNNNNNNNNNNNNNNNNNNNNNNNNNNNNNNNNNNNNNNNNNNNNNNNNNNNNNNNNNNNNNNNNNNNNNNNNNNNNNNNNNNNNNNNNNNNNNNNNNNNNNNNNNNNNNNNNNNNNNNNNNNNNNNNNNNNNNNNNNNNNNNNNNNNNNNNNNNNNNNNNNNNNNNNNNNNNNNNNNNNNNNNNNNNNNNNNNNNNNNNNNNNNNNNNNNNNNNNNNNNNNNNNNNNNNNNNNNNNNNNNNNNNNNNNNNNNNNNNNNNNNNNNNNNNNNNNNNNNNNNNNNNNNNAGUUGUUCUUUGAUGCUAAGUCCUUAAUUUAUAUUCAAUCUUUUGAAUUGAGUGUGUGGACUAAUUCUUUUUGUAGGGCACUUGUUUCAUGAUAGAUAUGUGAUUUUAUUUGCUUUCUUUGAUGAGAGUAGGUGAGCAAGCUUAAAUUUGAUGAGUUCAAAGUCUUUCCUUGAGGUAGGAGGUUAGAGGUUUGUUGUUUAUUUGGAUGUCUUGCAUAAUUAUUGAGAAGAGUACUUGGUGUUUUGAAAUUGGUAUAUGGACUAAUUGUUUGUAUUAACCCAAGUGAUGACAUUCCUAGUAUGAUUUUUGAGAUGUUCUUUAAUGUUUGCUCGAGGACGAACAAAAGUUUAAGUGUGGGGUGUUGAUGUGAGGCCAAAUAUAUAUAUUUUUAAUCAUUAUUUGCCUCACAUUUAUUAUUUUUAUUCUGUCCUUUUUUGAGCAUUAAUUUUAUGGAUUGUGCUAAAUAGUGUAUUUUUAUUUGUAGGAGUGAAUUGACGUAAAGUUGAAGAAGUUUGAAGCUAAAACGAAUUAAAGAUGAAAGAUUAUAGAAGGAAAUCAAGCAUGCAGCUUAAUGGAUUAAAUUGAAUAUAAUAAUAUAUAAAAUUAUAUGCUACAAAGUGCACAUUCGAUUGGAAACUUGAAAGGAGAAUAUUGCUGCCAGCCACGUGGCAGAUUCGGAAGGCAGUGGCCAAUUGAGGAGUUGCGCACAAUCUUGAAGGUGGCGGACAGAACGCGUACAACAAUUCCAACUCAGUUUUGGUUUUGGUUUCCUCGUUUGUUUUGGUCCCAGUUAUUUUAUUUAGAAGUUUCUACAUCUAUAAAUAGUCCAUAGAAAUAAUUAUUGGACAACCAAUAUAGAGUAAGGAGGAUGCACUUUUGAAGGGAAAGUCGUCAAUACUUUUUAGGGUUCUUUUCUUCUUCUUAUUUUCUUAGAGAUUAGUGCCUAAAUUCCUUGUUCUGGGGCUGUAGCCACGAAUCAAAUGUUGAUUACUUAAGGUUUAUGAAUUAAUUUUUGUUUGUCAAUACAAGUUACUUCUAUAUUCUUGUUUUAGUAUUUUAUGCUUGUGCACCAUAAGAUAAAUCUAUUGUCUAAUCUUAAAAUUGAGAGAGAAGAGGUUAGAUAGACCAGAGAAUAUAGAGAGCUCGGUUCACCCAUUAAAAUUGAGGUGAUUAGUGUUCAGGAGUGACGCCCAGACGAACACCUUGCUUGGUUACAAAAUAGGAUGAAAUAUAAAUGCUCGUCAGUUAGUCUAUUUAUCCCCGCUCAAUGAUAUAGUUAAAUAUCUAACUGGGGUAGGCGAUGAGAGACGUAUAACCCGGAUCAUAUCAUCAACCCUAUAUACCAGUAACUUGACAACUGAAAUUAAUUUUAAGCCUAUAAUAUGAUACAUGAAAGUCAAUACAUGCUGCAGCCCUGGGAUUUUCCAACUAUUGUAAGUAAUCUUAUUAUUUUAUUUUUACAUUCUUUUUUAUUUGACACUCUUAAAUAUAUAAUUAGACCAAUAUAAUUUAGUAAAAAUAGUUAAUUGACAAGUCCUUUGGGUUCUAUAAUCUGGUUCUUUUAAGAGCCACUAUAUUACUUGCGCGACCACGUACACUUGCGUGUGCAAUUGGGAGCAACAGUGCAGGCUGAGACUAUAUGUAUUCCUCCCUUAGACCCAGUGUUAGCUCAACAGAUUAUGUCGUUUCAGAAAGGAUUGGUUGGUCCUGGAGUGCUUCCCUCUGUUCAAGCAACUCAAGCUCCCGCCAAUUCCCCUAUUGCUAUCACUGUCCCCAAGGUGGGUGGAACUGUAAGUAAUGAUGCUUUCUUCCAUCCUUUGUUGGGUCCUGCUAUGACUGUUAAUGAGCAUGAGUUGUUGACUAAGUUCUUGAAGUUGAAACCGUCUGUGUUCCAUUGUUCUGAGAGUGAGGAUGCCUAUGAGUUCAUUCUAGAUUGUUAUGAGAGGCUUCAUAAGUUGGGAAUUGUUCAUCAGCAUGGAGUAGAGUUUGUGACCUUCCAACUUCGGGGUGAGGCAAAGCAGUGGUGAAAAACUUAUGUGGAAUGCAAAUCUUCAGCUUUACCCCCACUUACUUGGACCCGGUUUCAUGCUCUGUUCUUGGAAAAGUAUGUGCCUCAGACAUUGAGAGAUCGUAAGAAGGAUAAGUUCAUGGCUUUGGAACAAGGUGGUAUGACUGUGGCUACUUAUGAGGCUAAGUUUCAUGUCUUGUCUAGAUAUGCUACGCAAUUGGUGACUACUGAGGAAGAGAGGAUCCGCCUAUUUGUUAAGGGACUAAAUUCUAAAUUGCAAGUAUUGUCUGUUCAUAUGACCUCUGCAGGAAAAAGCUUCAAUGAAGUAACAUAUUUUGUGAAGAAAGUAGAAUGGGUGAGGUGAGACGGUCAACCCAAGGCAUUGGCUAAGAAAGCUAAGAAUACAGGUAACUUUUAGGGUUCCUCCUCUAGAGGUUCAGGUAGGCCAACACUUGCAGCCCGGCCAAUUCAGUUCGCCAUGCCCGCUUCUAUAGGUAAUUAUUCAGAAACUUCACCUUAGAAUUUGAUUCAGGAUAGCCAGGGAGCAGCACCUUCGGCGGGCCGCAGGCUAUCUUUUGAUCGCACUUGUUACAACUGUGGAGAACCUGGGCAUAUGAGGAGAGACUGUCCCCACCGGCGCAUGAUGGAUUUUGCACAUCAACAGACUAGAGCAGUGGUACCCGCGGGAAAUGGUAAUAAUGGUCGUGGGCAUCUACAAGGUGGGCGAGGAGGAAAUCAGUGAGGCCGUGGAGGUAGGGGAAAUGGUAACGCAGGCAGAGGUACAGUGCAGCCAGGCAGGAAAGUCUCCCGUCAUGAUGACAGGGCUCAUUGUUACGCCUUUCCGGGCAAGACCAAGGCGGAGGCGUCCGACGUAGUGAUCACAUGUACUAUUCUUGUCUGUGACCGGAUGGUUAAUGUGUUAUUUGAUCUGGGUUCUACUUAUUCUUAUGUAUCCGUGCGAUUUGCCUCAUAGUUUGAUAUGAUUUGUGAUAUACUUGAUGCACCCAUCCAUGUUUCUACCCCCGUUGGAGAAUCUGUCAUAGUAACCCAUGUCUAUCGUGCUUGUCCUAUCUUGUUUAUGGGUUUUCAGACUUGGGAUGAUUUGGUUAUUUUGGAUAUGAUUGACUUUGAUAUAAUUUAGGCAUGACUUCCUGGAAAUUUCCCAACCUAGUCCAGAUUUGGACGAAAUCAGAGUCAGUGAGGUCUAGGAAAAUUUGGUAAAAAUUGGGAGAUCUAAUUAAGGAACCCGUACAAAUUUAUAGAACUGAAUUCGGGCGAGUAGAACUCCCGAAAUUGAUCUUAGCAUGAAUAGGUAUUUUCUGAGUGUCGUAGGAUGAAGGUGUGUUGUGAAAUGGGGGUUUGAAAUUCUUAAAUUUGCUCACUGGUUCCGUGCAAACAGCUAAGGCGGGAUUUUUCCGCCAGGACGAGGCCACUGUAGCGGGGUGAGUACCGUUGUGGCGGGACAGUCGUGAAUUAAAUCAGAAAUAAACCCCAAAAACAUUUUAUUAUGUACUUUUCAGCGUUGAGAGCUAAGGAAUGACCCCAUGUGUUUUCUUGACAGUUUUUCUCCAUUCUUGACGCUAAAGGUAAGGUUUUCACUCCUCGAAUCCAUUUCUCGAUCCGUAAAACUUAGUUUCUUGGGUGAUUAUCAUUGGGGCAGGCUUUUGGAACUGUUUGGAUGGUGGGAAAAGCGCUAUUUUGGAUAUUGGGAUCAUGGAGUGAUCUAGGGUUGAUAGUUGAUGAGUCUACAAAUUGGACUCAUUUAGGGCUUUAUUUUGAUAAGAAUAGUGUCCUCGAAUGCUUAUUUUGUCUAAAUAUCUAAUGAAAACUCUUAAAUUUAAGGUAUUUGAAGUUUUAGUGAAAGCAUGGACACUUAGGCGCAAAAAAAUGAACAAAAGGGCUGAAAAGAACGACGAAGCUAAAGCCCGAGAAUCGCCAAGCACACUUGGCGAUUCGCCGAAAGGAUUUACUCCACCUUUUGUUCCAGUACGCGAAUCCCUGAAGGAGAAGGAUCAAAAAGGCGAUGAAAGGAGCAGUCUGCGCUUCGCCGAAUAGUUCCGCGAAGCAGUACUAUACUGCCCAAUGGUCCAGAACGUGAAGGUACUGAAGGCAAGCACGAAACUGCGAUGAGACAGACGAAGGACGAGUCGCCGAAAGCAUUUGGCGACAUCAACUAACUUCGCCGAAAGAUCUGCCAGCGCUAUUUUCUGAAGUCUAUAAAACUGAACUUAUUAUUAUUUUUAGGAGUCGAACUUUUAUUUUAAUUUCCAGAAUAGAAUAGUACUUUUUAGAUAUUUUCUCUCAAGUUUGGAGAGGGUUUUUGGGAACUUGAAGAAAGGAGUUCAUCUUCCCCAAGUUGGAAGUGGGUCUUCUCUAUUAUUCUUCCUUUGCUUAAAUUAAGGUUUAAUUUCUUAUACCCAUUUGAUUUUACUAUCAUUUUAGGUGUAUUUUGUUAUNNNNNNNNNNNNNNNNNNNNNNNNNNNNNNNNNNNNNNNNNNNNNNNNNNNNNNNNNNNNNNNNNNNNNNNNNNNNNNNNNNNNNNNNNNNNNNNNNNNNNNNNNNNNNNNNNNNNNNNNNNNNNNNNNNNNNNNNNNNNNNNNNNNNNNNNNNNNNNNNNNNNNNNNNNNNNNNNNNNNNNNNNNNNNNNNNNNNNNNNNNNNNNNNNNNNNNNNNNNNNNNNNNNNNNNNNNNNNNNNNNNNNNNNNNNNNNNNNNNNNNNNNNNNNNNNNNNNNNNNNNNNNNNNNNNNNNNNNNNNNNNNNNNNNNNNNNNNNNNNNNNNNNNNNNNNNNNNNNNNNNNNNNNNNNNNNNNNNNNNNNNNNNNNNNNNNNNNNNNNNNNNNNNNNNNNNNNNNNNNNNNNNNNNNNNNNACACCCCAAGAACAUUUCCCCAUACUUGAUUUUCUUGUUAAUUUUUGCUAUUUUUACUAAUUGUGACAAAAACCCCAAAUCGAUAUUUGACACUUUCGUGUCACCCCCUUUUUUUACCAUGUUUUUGUUCGUUAAUGUCUUUAGCUACGACUAGUUAAAGCUUAACUUUAUUUUUCUAUCAAUUCUCAAAACAACUCCCUUGGUACAUGACCGCAACCUUUAGUUGGGUUACUAUACUAUCGACGAUCGUAGACACUCAUUCCGUAGGUUAAUGUCGAUGGUCACGAUAAGCAAUAAUAGUGUUGAUUUAAAUCCGGGUAAUUAGACAUCGUUUAUUGAUUUUCGUGUUAUAUUGAUUGUUUGUAGACCAAGAACAAGCGAAAAGAAUCCGAAAGGGAAGAAUCUAGUUUCUUAGGGGAUUCAAGCUUUGUUUGAGGUAGGUGAUGAUUGUGAUUUCAUGUUGUGUGAUAUAUGUUUGUUUUUGCUUCAUUAUGAUGCAUGUAUUUAUGCGAAUGUUGCAUUAUUGAUCACACUAAUCGUAAAUGAGGAUGAUUGAAUAAUUGUAUGCCAUGGAUCAUGACUUGAUUGUAUGAUUAUGAGAAUGUACAUUGUGAUUGUAAUUGUGGCUUGUUGAAUGGAUCGUGUGUUGCGUUCCGACACACUAACUGGGAUCGAUUGCCACGUAUCGGCAUAAACUUUGGAAUGGGUGUCAUGAUACGACGCACUAACUUGGAACGGGUACCACAUACCGGUACACUAACAGUUUAGGUGUGGGUUCCAUGAGAGGACCAUUGACUUGACAUAACUAUAUAUCUUGAGAAUUGUGAAAUUGUACGUUGUUCGUAAAUGAUGUUAAUAUUGUAUAUAUUCGGUGUAUGCAUGUUAUUAUUAUGUUGUAAUGGCUUAUGUAUGUUGCACUUAGUGGGAUAGCCGUGUGAUCCUACUAGUACACUGUGGUUGUGUACUGAUACUGCACUUGCUCUUUCUUUGUUGAGUACAUGACAGCUUCAAGCGGCUACUGACAGACCUCGUUUAGAAGAUCAGUGAUCGUCAUCGAAUUCAAGGGUGAGCCAGUUAUUCCAGGCUGCCAUGAGUUCUCUUUUCGUUUAUGUCCCCAUUUCGGACUUAGACUAGUACAUUAGGAUUUUCUUAUGUUUGAUUGGGUUGUACCCAUUUUCUUAAACUUGUUGAACUUUUGAGGUUUUGGUACAUUGACUUUCAGGUUCUAGGUAUUAUUCCCCAUUUGUUUGAUUAGACUUUUGGAGUUUAUGGGAACUCUAUCUUUCCUUUAGCAUUUAAAUCUGCUUCUGUAACUUUGAAUGCGUAGUUUUAUGGUUAGUUGGGUUGUAGUAAUGGUUCGUCCACCGGAGGGUUAGUGUGGGUGCCAAUCAUGACGGUCUGGGUCGUGACAUGUACUAAUGAAGUACAAAAUACCAAUUUUAAAACGGUCUCCGGGCUCAAAGAAAUUAGCCUCUUUAAACUUAUUCAAGAAGUCUAACUUAGGGACUUUUGUCAUUUUACCAUAAUACUUUUGAAUAAGCCUAUUUGGAAUAGAUGGAUUUGAAAUAAAGUCGCUAAGGAGUCCACAUUUGAGACCAGUAACUGCUGCGAAUUCCUUAAUCCCAAAACGUAGUACUGUAUCGUUUAUUUUGAAUAUGAACAUGUCGUCCCUAACGUUUUCGGUUUCAAAAAGUAGCAAAUGGCGCAAUAACUAACAUUGAAUCUUUAUGAGGGGUAGCUCGUUAAAUACACCAAAUGGUUUUUCCAAAUUUUGUUGAAACCUCUCUUGUCCGACGAAUGUCAACAGGUCUUUGAAACCAUUCAUGUUUGUGCAUGAAGCCCAAUAUGUGUAUGGCUUCCUUGCCUAUAAAAUAAAAUUAUUUAUAAUUAGUUAUAAUUAAAUUAAAUCACAGAAUUCAUAUCAAAAUUAGAUCAAUUUCAUACCACAUUCGUAAACCAUAUAGACAGUCGGUUCAUACCAAAAUUAUUUAUAUAUCAUUCCACAUUCAUAGACAUAAAUUUUAUUAAAACAUCAUACCAUAUUUGAAAAAGUUUCACACCAAUAAAGUAUAUAAGUAGUUAUAAUUAAAUUAUAUCACAGAAUUCAUACCAAAAUUAAAUCAAUAUCAUACCAAAAUAAAACAUACUUCAUACCACAUUCAUAAACCAAUAUUAUUCAUGUUUCAUUCCACAUUCAUAGACAUAAAUUUUAGUAAUACAUCAUACAUGAUUUGAAAAAGUUUCACUCCAAUAUUAUUGAUACAUCAUACUAGGUUCAUGUGCACUGUGACAUUUAACAAGCUAUUUUCAUAAAUAUAUACAACUACAAUCAAAAUAAUUUUCAAAACAACAUUUAAUAUCAAUGUAUGCCAAUUUCAUACCAAUGUUAAAAACUGAAAUACAUAAUAGGAGAAACUAUUAGGAAAAAUAUCAAUUUCAUACCAAUAUUAGUCAUGCUUCAUACAAAAAAUAGUAACUUUUUUUCCAGUUUCAUACCAUAUUCAUACCAUUGGGCUACUGAUAUCAAACCAAUUUCAUACCAUAAUCAUAAAUCAUAUAUUAAGUGAGAUUCAUACCAAUAUUAUUCCUAUUUCGUACAAGUUUCACACCAAAUACAAGUUCCGUACCAACAAUACGCAUAAUAUAAAUAUAUAUAUAUAUAUAUAUACUUAAAACCACUAAUUUGAAUAAUUUUAAAAUAAAUUAAAUAUAAUAUUUACCCUAACCACUUUUUUGCCUUUUGUGGAUAUUGGGAUUUCUGAGUCCUGCUUCGUUGUUGCUCCUCUUCGUGAUGGUUUUGAAGACUGAGUCAUUUCAACAUUUGUUGCUUUUAUUGUUUUUUUUUUCUUCUUUUUCUCACUUACAAGAUCAGAAUCCGAAUCAGAAUGGGUUUCUACCAUUUUCCCCUUCCUCUUUUGUUCCUUUUGAUUUGCAGGACUUACCGUUUUCUUUGCUUGACUAUUUUUCUCCUUUUAUGUAAUUUGAUUCUUCGAUUGAGAAGAACCACCCUUUGCCGGAAUUUCAUUCUUUUUUGGCGGUUGGAAUUGAGUCAAUAAGUUGAAUGUUGGAGCAUGUAUUUCAUCAGUAGAAGUUGCUUCUACUAGUCGAGGACUCUUUCGAAGCGUUUGAACAGGUUACUUCGACAUGAAGAAGAUGAGAAACGGAAUGGAGUAUGUUUGAGAGAGAUGGGAGAGAUAAAUUUGUGAUUUCUGAAGGUGGGGUAGUAGGGUGGGUGGUGUGCUGUAUAGGAUAGGUGUGGGGCGUGGGAUUCAGUGGCGGAGCUACAGUGUCCCGAGGAUGUCCAAUUGGACAACCUUCGUCGGAAAAUUAUACCGUAUAUAUAAGUAAAAUACUACUUGAAACGGUUAAAUCUAAUACUUUGGACGCCCUCAACACAAUAAGACUCUACGGCCUAGUGGUGUGAGGCUCUCCUGUUGAGCUCAUAGGCGUGAGUUCGAAUCCCUGCAAUUGCAUUUGUUAUAUUUAUAAUCAUUUUUAAUAGAACUCUCCUAUUUUAUUAUUACUCUAAGUUAUUAACUUGCUCCUUUAAUUGUCUAAGGUAAUUAAAUUAAUUUCUAAAUAAUAGUUAUUAAAUUUGUUAUUUUUUAUUAAAAUGAUUCUUAAUUAGAAAUCUACACUUAGUAGCCAAUUGAAUUUUCAAUGAAUUUGACUUUUUAUUUCAUUUCAUUAAAAUUUGAAAUAAAACUUAGAUGUAAUUAUUUAAUUUAAAGUUAAUAAAAAAAAUUCUAAACUAUUUCUAUAAAGCUACUAAAAGCGAACAAAAGAACACCUCGUUUGAUUGUGCUUCCACUAUUCAUGUCUCAUUAUUGUUAUCAUCACCAAAGUUUAGUGAAAGCUUGAAAUGUAGAAAUGAUUUCAUUUUAAGCUAACCCCCCCCCCCCCCUUUUCAUUGUUCGUUCACUUCAUAUUAAAUUAAACACAAAUAUUAAAGCAAAAUAUUAUGCAGUUUGAUUUUUAAAAAUUUGGAACAUUUAUUCCUAAAAAAAAGUAAUAUUAAUAUUACGUACUUCAAUUUUAAAUUUUUCAGUGCAUCCAUUCAUCAAAAAAAUAAUUGUUUAUGUAAUACUUGGACACCCUUAGUAAAAUUGCUAGCUCCGCCACUGGUGGGAUUUACGUGGUAGGGGGGGGGGGUGUGGCGUGUAACUUUAAAAAAGGAAUGGUAAUCAAUAUAAAUCCCUAAAAUUGUGUAAAAGAUAAUUAUGGUGUAAUCUUUAAUUAAAUAAAUUAUUAAUAGUAUAAAAUUAUAAAAAUAUUAAUUAUUUAAUAAAGUAAAUUUAAUUAAUUUUUAAAUAAAGUUAAAUUUAAUCGAUAUAUUAUAACCCGUAAUUAAACUGUUAUAAGCAAGAAUUUUUCAAAAGUAAGUUUAAAACCCAUAAUAUUGUCUCUUAAAUGUGUAUAGGGUGUGAUUUUUCCAUAUUGAAAACCAAUACCGAAUCGAUAACCCAAUAAUAUUUUUUUAUAAAACCAUUAAAACACCGUUAACCCAAUAACCCAAUAGCAAUAAAUCAUUAAUAUUUUUUUUCGGUUCGGUUUUUGCACACCCCUAGAGUGGGGUGUGGUCGGAUUUCAAUUUGAAAGUCGAGCUAGAAUAUAUAUACUAGUUUUCAAACAUGUGUGUUGCACAUGUAUCCAUGUUAUAUAUAUACUAGUUUUUUGACACGUGCGUUGCACGUGAUUACCAAUUCAGAAAAUAUAUGUUAUAGUAAAUACAAUUGCUUAUUUAAGUGAAGAUUUGAAUAAUAAGCUUAACACAAAAUAAUAUUGCAGAUUAUUUUGUGAUUGUUCAAUGUGGAUCGUCAUAUAUAUUUCUUUUUCAUGCAAACCUAUGAAAAUGGUGAAUGAAAAAAAUUAUUAGUUAGAUGCAAUAAUGUGUAUAUUUAUUUUAAUUUGAUGAGGUUCAAUCAUGUAAUUAGUCGUAUCUCACUAAUAUAACGAUAUUUUUUGUGCAUUUUUCUUGUAAUCUAACCAGAUGUGCUAUGCACGUGUAUUCCACGUUAGUGUGUUUAGAUGUUGUAUGAAUAUGUGAAGAGAACAACUACAUUUUAUCUUUUAGAACUAUUAAUUUUUAUUUUAUAAUUUAUAACAUCAUAGGUGACGUUCUUGUUGUUGGCUCUCAUAUUUGACUUCUGAUUGGCUGUGUACGUAAAUCAAAGAUAGUUAUUUGGCUGUCCCUAGUUAACUAAGAAAUGUUUCCUUUUUUUUACCGGAAAAAACAUAAAAAUUAAAAUUAAAGAAUAUAUUUUAUCUGUGAAAACAUAUAUAUAAUCACUUGUUCGUCUUACACCCAACAAAGAUAUAGUUCAUAUACUUGUAAACGAUUUUUAAUAUAUUCAACAAAGCAUGAUUCGUCAAAGGAAAAAUAACAAAAUUGUGUUAUCACAUAUAUAGGAGUAUAAUAAUAUGAAAAAUUAUUGGUCAAAAGUUAAUAUAAGGAAAGAUGAAAUAUAGAAAUAAUUAAUAUAAUAACAAUGAAUCUAUAAUAUUAAAACUAAGAAUGUCAAAGAGUGUGAAUACCGUUUGCAAUAAUUAGUAAUAACUAAGAGUAAUUUAUAAUGUUAUAACUAAAGAUUAAUGUGCAGUUAGCUCAAUUUCUAAUAAAUUUUAUACUUACAUAAAUAAAUAGGAAUUUUAAUUAAUGUUACUAUUUUUUUUUAUAGUUAUUAGAUUUUUAAUUUAUUGUAGGGACAAAAUGUAAAUGUUUAUUCCAUAUUACUGAAUAUAAAAUUUAUUUUGUAAAAUGAUAAAUUUUAAAUGACUCAUAUAUAUUCACAUAUUUUUUACAUUUGUUGUGAGUUUUUUUUUAAAAAAAGAACUCCGAACAUUUUAAAAGAAUACAUUCGUGGCAUAUAUAAUACUUUAAUUUAAAUACCAAUACCUACCCAAAUAUAAAUAUAUAUUUGCAUUAAUGAAAAUAUUUAUCUCAUAAAAAUUAGCUAUUAAAUAAAUUAUAAAAAUUAAACUAAUACAAACAUCAACUAGCGUUAUGACAAGUCAUAUGAACUUUUCUUCGUCUAAAAUGCUAAAAUAUUAAGAAAUAGUAAAUAAGUAAAACAAAAGGGGAAUGUUUAUAUAGUAAUAACUAUUUUUAAGGAAACUUCCUGACAAUCUAAAUUACAUAAGUAGCAUUGAUAAAUAAAGUCAUUCUUUUGUCUACAGCAUGAAAAAAACAAAUCGUGAAAAUUCUCUAAAUUUUUGAAAAAGAUAUUUAGAAGCACAUAUCUACAUCACAUGAGAAAUUGUUCAUAAAAACAAAUGAAUUUAGACUACAUCAUGUUAACUUCAUAUAUUGGAACAUCACAUACUAAUGUAUAUAUUAUUAAAAAUAAUUAUGAUUAUAUCAUCAAAAUUAUUUUUCUCAAGUACUUGAGAUUAAGGAAUAUACUCUCUUAGGAUAGAAUGAUUUACUUCAUCAGAAUAGUGGUACAUCAUAUUCCACUAAGCUACGAACUCACUCAACGAAAAUAAAUCACAAAAAGAUUUCAAAAUGCAAGAAUAAGAAGAGUAGAAGAUUAAAAAAAAUGUUGUUGAAAAAUAGAGGAAGCCCCUCUAUUUAUAGUCAACAAAUAGUAGUAUGAACAAGUGUUUUUUGUGUCUUAUCUCAAAAAACAUGACCUUUUUGACAAGUCACAACCCUUUGAAAAAUUCACAACUAUUUUGAAAAUUCACAACUAAUCGAAAAAUCACAACCCCUUGAAAAAAGUCGCAACUUAUAGAAAAAUCACAACCCUUUGAAAAAAGUCACAAAUUAUUAUUAUUAUUAUUAUUAUUAUAAAUUAAAUAUAUUAUUAAGUGCGUGAUAUACUUUGUUAGAUAUUUUAAAUUAUAAAAUUAUUACAUUUUAAAUUAUCCGCGCAAUGCGCGGGCACGUAUACUAUUUAUACAGUGUACAAAGAAUUUUUAUUGCUUUUAAAAAAGAAUUAAAAGAAAUCUGUAAUCUAUAAUAAUUAAAUAAUUUAAUUAUUAUAAAGACAAGAAAAAACAUGAUAGUUGAAUCCUCAUCAAAUAUAAGUUUAUUUAUAAAAUAAUUGUUUGCCUUUUUAAAAAAAAUUACUUUUAUUCGAAUUUAUUAAGAUUGUUUAAUUAAUAUAUUUUUUCAAUUUACCAUAAGAAUUUCAUACUUCUUUUGUCGAAGACUAACUUUAAUUGUUUAUUUUUUAUGAAUUUCAGACUUUAUAAUGUUGAAUUAUAUAUGAAUGAUCAUCAUGAUCAUUACCUUGAAUGUAAUAGCGACAAAAAAUAUAAGAAUAUAAAUUUAUAUCUAUAUAUCUAUCUAUAUAUACUAGGAGAAGUAAAAAUUGUCAAAUGUAAGCACCACAAUUUUUUUCCAUUUUUUAGUUUUAAAACUAAAAUUUUCAAAUAAUUUUAAUUUGCAUUAGUUAUUAAAUUUAAAUUUAAAAUUUGUAAAAAAUCAAUAGAUAUUUUAAACGAUUUUAAAAAAAAUAAAAUAGAAAGUUACCACAAUUAAUAUAAUUCUUCUAUAUUCUUUUUUAUAUAAAAAAAAAAGGGGGUCCUACAUGUGGUUAAAAAAAAUUGGACUCUUAUUUUUAUUCUAAUUAGAAUAUUAUUUUUUAUCUCAUGUAUUUGUGAGUAUAAAAGGUUUAAUGGGAUAAUAUCGUGUAGUUAGCAAGUCUUCUCAAGAACUCACAAAGAAUACAUUGCAAGGGGUUUGGUCCCUGCAAGACUGCGUAUGUGAAAAAGACGACAAGACAACUAUCAGAAAAGCUUUCACCUCUGAUGUGGUAGGUGUACGUCUUUUUAAAGAAGCAGACUCUCAACCAAUGGGGACGUCUUAAGAGGUUUGUGUCCAUUUAAUAUAAUCUCUUCUCACAUGACACAAACUAAGAUUUGGCAAACAAACUUCAUAAGCUUACAAAGACAAGGUCAUCUUCAAGGAAGAACUCAAGCACAACAGAAGGACCUGAUAGACCAAAGAAGAUCAAUCUUUAUCCGCUGGUGUUGUUGAAUGCUUGUAAUGUGCUAAACUUGUAGGAUUCAUUUCACUCUUAUAAGAAAUGGUUCGAACCUUUGUGUGAGUUAGUAUAAGAACACUGUUAGAGUUAACUUUGUGUCUUACUGUUGAAGUCUAUAUUAAUUAGUGAUAGUUAAUAUAGUGGGCAAUGAAUGCAUUGCUUUGGCUCAGUAAGUAAUAUGUGUAUUACUUAGUGUGAGAUUAAGAGUUUAGUCUCAUUUGUGUAGUUGAAAUCUGUAUUCACUUUUGCUUGGAGAUUAGUGAAGGGAGUUGAAAAUCUUGUGUGACAAGUCGUGGUUUUAAUCCCUUUAGCAAGGAGGUUUCCAUGUAAAACUAUUGUGCAGGAUUUACAUUGUGCUAUUUAUUUCUCGCACUUUAAUUCUACCAGGGGACCUGGUCCUGUGAUCACUGGUGGACGCGUACAUUUAAACAAUAUGUAUCAGAGCAAGAGCUCUCUAUUUGGUUAACACCAAGAGAAAAGAUCCUGCAAGAAUGGCGGCUCCACCAAGUCUGGAAGAUGGUCCAUCUACCACACGCCCUCCUCGUUUCAACGGCCAGUUCUAUGGGUGGUGAAAGACCAGAAUGCACGAUUAUAUUAUGGCGGAAGAUAGCGAACUGUGGGAUGUAGUGUUUGAUGGUCCUUAUGUUCCUACCAAAGAUGUGAAGACAGAAAAAAAUUGAAAAAAAGUAUAAAGCAAAAAAGUUGUUGGUAUGUGCAAUAGGAGCAGACGAAUAUAACAGGAUUUCACCUGUGAAACGGCCAAAGAAAUAUGGGACUGCUUGAAGACAACCCAUGAAGGAACAACUCAAGUUAAGGAAUCAAAGGUGGACAUGCUCACUACUCAGUAUGAAAAUUUUAGUAUGAAUGAAGGUGAGACUAUUCAUGAAAUGCACUCUAGAUUCACCUCCAUCACUAACUAACUUUGAUGCCUUAGUGAACCCAUUCAUCCAGGGAAACAAGUUUGAAAAAUCCUUCGAGUUCUUCCCAAAUCAUGGGAAAGCAAAGUGAAUGACAUCACUGAAGCAAGAUAUCUGAAAACCUUACAAUGGAUGAGUUGAUAGGCAGCUUGCAGACCUGUAAGUCUAACAAACUACAAGAUUCAUCUAAGUGGGAAGGAAAGAAACAUAAUUUGUUGCAUUGAAGGCAUCUCAAAAUAAUGCUUCUGAAGAUGAGGAAGAGAUGGAUUAUUUGACUAGAAGGUUUCAAAAAAUAGUUAAAAAGCAUGGAGGAUUUCAGAGAAAGGGUAACUCCAGCAGAACAACAAAUGCAAAUGAUCUUUGCCACAAGUGUGGAAAUACAGGACACUUUAUGAGAGAUUGUUAGAGCCAUAAGCAUGAAUUUCAAGACUUCAAAGAAAGGUGAAGGGACCAGGUCCCUGACCAUGUUAAGAGAAAGGCUAAUGUUGAUCAAGUGGUGAAAAAUGCCUUUGCAGUAUGGGGAAACGCCUCUAGUGAUUUUGAAGAGGGAGAACACCAUGAAUAUGUCUCUAUGAUGGCAGUCAAGGAUGAUGAUGACAUAUUCAACUCCAUCUUCUCACUGAUGGCAAAGACUAACGACGAAGACGACAAGGACGAGGUAACACUUCUUGACCAUAAGGGUGACAUAGACACCCUGUCCAUUCAAAGGUUGAGAAAACAUGCCAUUGCGUUAACCGACUCUAUUGAUGAAUUAACGAAUGAAAAAAUGGUCUUAAGUGAAAAUCUGGAUCUUUGUCAAGAUGAAAAAUAAGCCCUUAUUUCUCAUAUGUUUGAAAUGAAUGUUAGGCUGUGGAGACUGAGGGUUGUCAACAUAAGGAAGAACCAGAAACAUCUGAGAAUGGAAAAAGGAAACUCAGUAACUUUGAGCUUGAUAUAGAGGAGAGUCUAAAAGUUUCUGAGUCCGAACUAGUUGUUGCCCUUUAAAGAAACUCACAGCUAGUAAUGGACUUAAGUCAAGUUAAAGAACUGCUAAAUCAAUCUUUGAAGUGGACUGAUUCUUCAAAGAUUCUUUCUAACUUGGCAAAUCAUAAAUUCAAUAGUGUUAAUGGUUUAGGGUGUAGAAAGAUAGAACCUCCAAAUAACCCUUAUAGCAAGUAUGUAUUAGUAUUUGAUAAUCUGUUAUGUACUCACUGUGGGAGAAAUGGUCACCUCAAGAGAAACUGUGAAUCCAUGAGAAAGACCAAAGAAAACCAAGCAAGGUUUCUUGAAUCUGAAAAGAAGAAAGUACCUGGUCCCAAGUAUCGUUUCAGUAAAAACACCUUGCCCCCAGGACUGGACGAUUUAUUAUCAAGCCCUUUGAUAGCUUUUAGGAACUCCAUCUAAAGUGGUUCCUAAAUCUAACAAGUGAUUUUCUUUUACAGAAGGGAGGAAGUAGUCAAUGGUGGUUCAUGGACUGUAACACCUCGUAUCCUAGAUAGACCAAAAUGCAGAUUUUGAGAAGUUACAGGUGCAACCCACGGUUGCCAUCCAUGGACCGUAGGUCAGAACACGAAACGUGCUGGUGGUCCGUGGUUCACCACUGCAACCCCUCCCCAAACCUAGCUCAGAAAAUCGGCUAAGUCUCGACCCACGGACAGGCCCACGGUCCGUAGGUCAAACCACGAUCUGUGGUCUGUGUCCGUGGAGCAAGACUCCUUUACCCAUCAUCUAACACGAACUAUGGUCGAUCAACAUGGACCUUCGUUCGAUGCACGGUCCGUAGGUCUGACCGUAGAUGAAGGUAAGCAGCCAGUUAGAGGAAAAUUAUUGACUGGUCAACUUCAAAUGGUCAUAAUUCUUAGCACAAAAUGAAUUAUAUGUCCCACGACCUAUGAUAUGAUAGAUAAUUGAAUCCUCUUUCCAACGCCACCAAGUUUGCUAAAAUCCGACCUCCAAAAAAAAUGUUAUGCUAGUUUUAGUGAAGACCUGAUGGACAGACUUGACCGACGGACCCAGACGAUGGCCGGUAGAUCAAACGACGGACCGUCGUUCCUUCCGUGGUAUGGGUUUUUGCCAGAAUUUAAGUUAGGGUUGUUUUUGGUCCUUUUCCUAUUUCGUUGGACCCCUAAGCUACGUCGUUUAGACCCUAAAUUAUGAGGUUUUAGUCAGUUUAAGCCUAGAAACAUAACUAGAACUUAUCUAAGUCAAAUCAUUAAUCAAAACUUAGAAAAUUAGAACGCUAAGAAGAGAAAGAAGUCAAGAACCCUAGUCCAAGAACACAACAAGUUUUCUUCGGUUCCAGCCCAGAAAUCAAAGGAUUUCUCCAUGAAAUUUGUCACCAGGUAUGUGGGAUUUCACUAGUGGGUUCCUUUCACCCAUUAGGUCCCUAGUUUUCAGUUAGUUUCUUGAUUCCCUUAUUAUGACUAGACCUAGGGUUUCUUGAAUGUUAGAAUUGUUGGGUUCCUAGCUAUUAGAAUGAUCCAAAUUAGAUUAGUAUGUUAAUAUUCAGUUUAUUGCAUGAAUUUCAGAACCCUAGCUAUGUAUUUAUUUAGUUCUUGAAUUACAUAUGCUAGGUCAGAUAUUUCAGUAUUCAGUUAUACAUGCCCCAGUUUAUGAAUGCAUCAUUAUCAGAUUAAUUGUUGUAUUUUCAGUUUUGUAUGUUCAGUAUGUUCAGUUUGAGCCAUCAUCAUUAUAAGAUCUAUUCUCAGUUUAAAGAAAUGAGUAUUAAUGUCAUUGAUAAUGACAAAAUAAUAGAACUCUUACAAAAGGUCAAAGAUCCGGAGAUAAGGGCUCAAAGUAUUGAUAAAAUCAGUAAUACUGCAUCUACCUCUAAGAACGAUAAAAUAGAUGGAAUUCCUACCAAAGAAGGUUCAUAUACCAUGGCGGAGGUUCAAAAUCUCUUACUAGAAAGGAGGAAACUUAUAAGUUCCCCUACUAUGAUCAAUGAUCUAAAACAAGAGAUUAAUAAUCUCAAAGAAGACAUUCAACGGCUCAAAGAAAAGAAUGUCAUCAUAGAGGUUCGUCUGGAUAGUUUCGAAACUCGCAGGGACUUGAGUAAUAACUCAGCUUCUUCGUCUUCAUGUGAAGGAGAAAGCAAUAAUCUUGAUUUUCUCAAAAAUAUUAAUUUUAGUAAUACCAAAGGGGAUUUUCUACAAAACUUAAAAGCUUUAUUUCUCAAAAGUUUUAUACGAAAAUCACUCUUCUUAUUGAUUAUAAUUUUAAAAAAGAAUUUAUUGCUCUUAUUAACAGUGCAGUUGAUUUAAAUUGCAUUCAAGAAGGAUUGAUCUCUUCAAGAUAUUUUCAUAAAACUACUCACAGCCUGAGAUCAGCAAAUGGUAGUAAAAUGAAUAUUGAGUUUAAACUACCCAAGGCUUUUAUCUGCAAAGGAAAAAAUUGUGUUCCUCAAAGCUUUGUUUUAGUAAAAGAUAUUACAAACCAAAUUAUUUUGGAAGUACCUUUUAUAAAUGAUAUUUUUUCCCUUACUUAUUGGGAUAAUGAAAAAAUUAUUGGUACUUGAAAUAACAAGCCUUUUAUACUUGAGUUUAUUACAAAACCUUUUACGAGGAUGAUCAAUGAAUUAACCUCAAAAAUGAUUUUAAGAAAUAAUCAGGUCAACUUUUUAAAAAGUGAGAUCAAUAGCAUUGAAAUUGAUAGUAUUAUUCAGAAUCCUAAAUUACAGGACAAGAUUGCUAUUUUACAGGAUCAGUUCUCCCUUGAGAUAUGUGGAGAUCAUCCUAAUGCUUUUUGGAAUAGAAAGAAUCAUGUGGUAAGUCUUCCUUAUGAGGAUAACUUCGUUGAGGAUAAUAUUCCCACGAAAGCAAGACCGUGCCAGAUGAAUUCUGAUUAUCUGGACUUAUGCAAAAAAGAGAUUGAGUCUUUGCUUCAGAAAGGCCUUAUAAGGCAUUCCAAGUCCCCUUGGUCUUGUACAACAUUCUAUGUUAAUAAACAUGCUGAGCAAGAGAGAGGUGCACCCAGGUUAGUCAUCAAUUAUAAACCUCUUAAUAAAGCACUGAGAUGGAUCAGGUAUCCUAUUCCUAAUAAGAAGGAUUUAUUAGAUAGGGUAAUGAUGCCAUAUAUUUUCCAAGUUUGACUUGAAAUCAGGUUAUUGCCAGAUCCAGAUAGCAGAGUCGGACAGGUUUAAAACCGCUUUCAAUGUCCCUAUGGGUCAGUAUGAAUGGAACGUUAUGUCAUUUGGUUUAAAGAACGCUCCAUCAGAAUUCCAAAAGAUUAUGAAUGAUAUCUUUAUGCCUUAUAGUAAUUUUAUUAUAGUCUACAUAGAUGAUAUUCUAGUAUUUUCAAAAAAUAUAGAAACUCAUUUUAAGCAUCUUGAUUUAUUCAAGAAAAUCAUUAUUCAAAAUGGUUUAGUACUAUCCAGUCCAAAAAUGGCUUUAUUCUAAACAAAAGUCAGAUUUUUGGGAAAUUUUAUUUUAAAAAGUAAUAUCAUUCCUAUUAAUAGGAGUAUAGAGUUUGCUUCUAAAUUUACAGAUGUUAUCACUAAUAAAACUCAAUUGCAGAGAUUUCUUGGAAGUCUGAAUUAUGUCGCUCCUUUUAUAAAGGAUUUAGCUAUUGAUACAACUAUACUUUACGACAUACUUAAGAAUAGCCCAAAAGCAUGGUCAAAUAAUCAUACUGAAGCUAUCAAGAAGAUUAAGGAAAAGGUUAAGAAUCUCCCUUGUCUUUCGUUGGCCAAUCCAAAUUGGGAAAAGACAGUCGAAACGGAUGCUUCAAAUAUAGGAUAUGGUGGUGUUCUAACACAAUAUUGCCCUCACAAUAAGCGCCAAUAUUUUGUCCAAUUCUAUUCUGGAAAAUGGAACACAGCCCCGAAGAAUUAUGCCACUGUAGCUAAAGAAAUUUUGGCUAUAAUGAAAAGUGUUCUGAAAUUUCAAGGAGAUCUAUACAAUCAAAAGUUUUUAAUAAAAAUUGAUUGCCAAGUAGCCAAGUUUAUGUUUAAUAAAGAUUGUAAACAUGAUGUUUCUAAACAAAUGUUUGCAAGAUGGCAAACAUUAAUAGGUCAUUUUGAUUUUGAAAUUCAUUAUAAGAAAGGUGAAGAUAAUAGUCUUCCAGAUUUUCUAACUAGAGAAUAUUUAGAUUAAUAUUACUUGUUUUUCUUUUUCAGGAUGAGUUGAAGACCAUCAUGGCCCCCUCCUUCAAGAAGGGGAGGAAGAGGAAGAACCAAUUUAGGAAUGGGAGGUCAUAUCCUCGUUCAACAUGGAAAUAAGCAGUUGAUAGCAGCUAAUAGCAGCAGUUCAACAAGUGGAACAAGUGUUAUUGAUAUAAACCACCCAAUGUCCAAAGAAUUCAUGGAUUUUAUGAAAUCUAAAAAGGAAUCAGAUAAUGAUCCACCAACAUAUUCCACCAUCCUCAUGGAUGAGGAAAACAUAGAAGUAUUUGAUCUAAACGACAAAAGAGAAGUUAUACUUCUACUUGAAAUCAGUGACCUGAGAUGGAAAAAUGAACCAUGACAGAUAAUGUCCAGAUGUCUGGAUACAAUAAGUUAUACUACUACUGUUUAUAAAUAUAGAAUGCAUUAUGAGAUAAUACUCUCAGCCACAAGGUCAUGUGAAUUCCAACACUUUUACCCGGCGAAUACAAAAAAGGUUUAUAACUUUUCUAAGAUGAUUAUGAAAAAGAUCUUAAUACCUGAAGAAUGGGGUAUGAGCCCUUUGAAGGAAAUGGAUUAUAUCCAUGCGGAACAAAAAGUCGCGGUAAAAUUUGGGAUUACAUUGAAGGCUUUAAUAAAGCUCUGUUAUAUGAAAAUGCUAAUAAGAAGCAUUCAUGGUUUAUUAAGAUAUGCUCUAAUAUAUUCGAAAGGCAUAUUCCAAAUUGGUUUUGCAGAUGGUGGACCUUAUAUGGUCCUUCGGUGAAUAUUUUACCAAAAUCAUAUAAAAUAUUAUAUUUAGAAUGGGUAGAUAUCUCCCCAAAAAUUAUAAAUUUGCAGGAUGAUAAUACAUUCUUUGAAGGAAUGUCAAUAAUGUAUUUCUUCAAUGAAUUCUCUAUUCCUUGGAUCAUGAAAUGGUCAAUGGAAGUUAAUACUACUUCUGAUGGGUUUCCAUGUUUACAAAGGACAUUUUAUACAAAAUUCUGGAGUAAAUUAUUACAAAAAAACCUGGAAGGAAAGGUUCAUGGUCAAGAAAUUCUUGAUUCAAUAAAUGAAAAAAUUAGCAGAUAUUAUGAAAUUGCUACAUCAGAACCACAGGUGACAGAUGAUUUGAGCCCAUUUAAGAAAAUCAAAAGAAAGCUUCAAAUGAAGAAAUGACUGAUUUCUAAAUCAGAAGCUAUAGCGUUGUAUAUGGAAGAAGUGAAGAAAGAUUUAAUGAAAAAUCUUGAUAUUGAAAUUAAAGAUGAUAUCUCCAUGGCAUCAACUAGCCAUACUAAUGAUGAUGACGAUAAUGCUUGCAUAGCUGGUGAAGGACAAGAUGCUGAUAGCAAUGAAGAGAUCGAUAUCGAGGCUCUUUUACGAAAUUAUCAACAACAGAUAGAAGAAUCUUCUAGCACCAACACAGCUAUCAAAGGGAAAAAUAAAGUAUCAAGAAAUGGAAUACUUUAAUAAAGUUGUCGGCCACAUGUAAUAAGGCCAAAAUACUUUUAUAAAGUAAUUUCAGUAAAAUCUGAAAGUACUAUCGGCUAGUUAAAAUAAUGCAAGGCCAUAUGAGUGUGUUGGCCUUAUCAUUUUAUUAGUGGCCAUUAUAAAAGUGUGGGCCAAUAUCUUUUUGUAUUUUUAUCUUUAAAAAGAUUCCCCUUAGAGCUAUAUAAGGGGACGAAGUGUGUUUAGUUAGAGGCAGGUUUUAGAACCCCCUUUCUCUCUUGUACUCUAAAUAUUUUCUUAAGUCUUUGAAUAAAAGUUUGCAAUUUGGUUGAUCUUCUGGGAGUUCGUCUUAAGGUACUUUUCUUAUUUAUUUCCUUUUAUGUAUUAAGCCCAAAUGAUGGGCUAAACUAUUUGUGUAGAACUGUAUCAUACUAAGUUACUUCUAAGCAAAUGGAAUUGUGUUUAUAAUAAUGUCGAAUUGAAUAGUAUGAAUAAGGUCGAAUUUAAGUAAUUCAGGCGUACUUUGGUAUGUUUUAUGAAAGGCGUUGUGAAUAGAUCCGUUGGAUUAGCGUGUGGAGGGAGGAUCCGGGCGGACUCGGAUAGUACCAAGAUUUCAUAAAGUUGGCAUAGAUUACUGAAAAUUCAUAGAAGCCCUUUUAGUAAACUGAUCAAUCCGUUUUGUUUUGUUUAUUUUUGUUAGUUUUGCAAAUAGUACUGUACAUCAACAUCCUAUGCACAGUCGUAUAAAUUUGCCGAUCAGCAAGAUGAGAAUUCAUUAAGUUCUUUUAUGUUAAAUAUAAAACUUCAUGGUUAUGAUUAUAUGCCUGGCACUGAAGUUGUUUGUAUUUGUUAUAGAAUUUAUUAUAAAGUUUUACACACUUUGAAUCCUAUGUGUAAAAAAUGAUUGAUUUUAAAAAUGAAACUUUUCUUAUAGAAACUAAUUUUUGAAAAUCUAAGGUUGUCACUCAAAGACCGAUUAAGUGGGAAGAAAUUGAUUUCCCACAAGAAUGAGUUAUUGAAGGAGCAGCCCCUCCUAAAAAUAAUAUCAACGACGAGAUUUCAGAAUUUUUACAGUUUGAUGAUUCUGGAUAAUACUAUCAAUUUCAAUGCUAUUGAUCUACCUUAAGACGAACUCCCAGAAGAUCAACCAAAUUGCAAACUUCUAUUCAAAGACUUAAGAAAAUAUUACAAAGAAAAUAUUUAGAGUACAAGAGAGAGAGGGUGUGGAGGGCGGACCUGGGCGGACCCGGAUAGUAACAAAAUUUCAAAAACUUGGCCUAGAUUACUGAAAAUUCAUAAAAGCCCCUUUAGUUUACUGACCAAUCCGUUUUGUUUUAGUAACUAUAGGUGAUAUAGUUCAACACUCUUUUAAUCAUGAAUCUUAUAAAAGGAAGAUCUACUGUUAAAAACAAUAGAAAAGAAGAGUACGAUAUACCCCAGCAUCUAGAUCUACUUAAUAAGUGAGUUAUUCCUAAGAUACCUCCCAGAAUCAUUUAUCAUAUGGGAACUUUUGAGAAGCUUGGUCUCAAACAGGUGGUUAAAACCACUGAAGAAACGAUUACUAUUGAUAGUGAUCACGAGACAUUUAGAUUAUCAUCUGAAAAUGAUUUGGCCCCUUAUAGGGAUAUUUCCUGAUUUAUGCAUAUUGGUUUGGUUCAGGUGGCAUUUAAGCUCCUUACCUUGCGCGGUUUACCUGAAAGCUUUAUAGCAUCUUUACGUGAUGGUAGAAAUCAUAAUUGGAAGAAGUCUCUUAUAGGGACAAUUCAAACUAGUCUAGCUUAUGGACCAGUUUAUUUUAAUGCUCAUCCUAAUCUGUUGAUUUCCUUGCAGGAUGAGAAUUCAUUAAGUUCUCUUAUGUUAAAUAUAAAACUUCAUGGUUAUGAUUAUAUGCCUGGCACUGAAAUUAUUUGUAUUUGUUAUAGAAUUUAUUAUAAACUUUUACACACUUUGAAUCCUAUGUGUAAAAUGAUUGAUUUUUACAAUGAAACUAUUCUUAUAGAAACAAAUUUUGGAAAAUCUAAGGUUGUCACUCGAAGACCGAUUAAGUGGGAAGAAAUUGAUUUCCCAUAAGAAUGGGUUAUUGAAGGUGCAGCAGCCUCUCCUAAAAAUAAUAUCAACGACGAGAUUUCAGAAAUUGAACAGUCAGAUGAUGGGACUGUAAAAAUUAAAUUUUCUGACUCGGUUGUUCUGCCUAAUAAGUUUGAUAGUCGCAGCUUGUCUUCUAGACUAACUAGAUCUGAUUCUUCAUGUAUCUCUCAUGUUGAUUAUAUUGUACAGGUUCCUUCUAGAGCAUCUACUUCUCAAGUUAGGGAAAAUUAUAGAUGCAACAAUAUUAAAAUUGAUAGAAAUAAUAUUACCAGGCCUGUCUCAGAUCUUGAUAUAACUGAAUCUGAAAUGAAUUUCUCAGAUGGGUUAUCCACUUAAAGGUUUUUUUUUAUGUCCAAAAAACCAUUGACUUUAGUUCGGGAUCACCGGCAAGAAAAAAGAUUUUUAAAGAAUUUCAGGAAUCUAAAUGGAAACCUUUCGAAAAUGGUUCUUCAAAAAUUUUAAUAAAGAAGAACAAAAGAGUUUUCAAGAUGAAUUUUAUAAUGAUCUUUUGGAAGUUCGUCUUAAGGUACUUUUCUUAUUUAUUUCCUUUUAUGUAUUAAGCCCAAAUGAUGGGCUACACUAUUUAUGUUGAACUGUACUACACUAAGUUACUAAAAGUUCAUGGCUAUGAUACCCAAACAAAACGGAUCGAUCAGUAGACUAAAGGGGCUUUUAUAAAUUUUCAGUAAUCUAGACCAAAUUUAUGAAAUCUUGUUACUAUCCGGGUCCGCCCUCCACACGGGUAAUCCAACGGAUCUCUUCACAACGCCUUUCAUACAACUUACCGAAGUAUGCCUGAAUUACUUAUAUUCGACUUUAUUCAUACUGUUCAAUUCGACAUUAUUAUAUACACAAUGCCAUUUACUUAGUAGUAACUUAGUAUAAUACAGUUCAACACAAAUAGUUUAGCCCAUCAUUUGGGCUUAAUACAUAAAAGGAAAUAAAUAAAAAAAGUACAUGAAGACGAACUCCCAGAAGAUCAACCAAAUUGCAAAUUUUUAUUCAAAGACUUAAGAAAAUAUUACAAAGAAAAUAUUUAGAGUACAAGAGAGAGAGGGGUUCUAAAACCUGCCUCUAACUAAACACACUUCGUCCCCUUAUAUAGCUCUAAGGGAAAUCUUUUUAAAGAUAAAAAUACAAAAAGAUAUUGUCCCACACUUUUAUAAUGGCCAGUAAUAAAACGACAAGGCCGACACACUCAUAUGGCCUUGCAUUAUUUUUACUAGCCGACAGUACUUUCGGCUUUUACUGAAAUUACUUUAUAAAAAUAGCUUGGUCUUAUUACAUGUGGCCGACAACUUUAUUAAAGUAUUCCAUUUCUUCAUACUUUAUUUUUCCCUUUGACAGUUGUGUUGGUGCUAGAAGAUUCUUCUAUCUGUUGUUGAUAAUUUCAUAAAAGAGCCUCGAUAUCGAUCUCUUCAUUGCUAUCAGCAUCUUGUCCUUCACCAGCUAUGCAAGCAUUAUCGUCAUCAACAUUAAUAUGGCUAGCUGAUGCCAUGAAGAUAUCAUCUUUCAUUUCAAUAUCAAGAUUUUUCAUUAAAUCUUUCUUCACUUCUUCCAUAUACAACGCUAUAGCUUCUGAUUUAGAAAUCAGUCCUUUCUUCAUUUGAAGCUUUAUUGUGAUCUUCUUAAAUUGGCUCAUAUCAUCUGUUACCUGUGGUUCUGAUGUAGCAAUAUCUUAAUAUCUGCUAAUUUUUUCAUUUAUUGAAUCAAGAAUGUCUUGACCAUGAACAUUUCCUUCCAGGUUCUUUUAUAAUAAUUUACUCCAGAACUUUGUAUAAAAUGUUCUUUGUAAACAUGAAAUCCAUCAGAAGUAGUAUUCACUUCCACUGACCAUUUCAUGAUCCAAGGAAUAGAGAAUUCAAUGAAGAAAUACAUUAUUGACAUUCCUUCAAAGAAUAUAUUAUCAUCCUGCAUACUUAUAAUUUUUGGGGAGAUAUCUACCCAUUCUAAAUAUAAUUUUUUAUAUGAUUCUGGUAAUAUCUUCACCGAAGGACCAUAUAAGGUCCACCAUCUGCAAAACCAAUUUGGAAUAUGCCUUCCGAAUAUAUUAGAGAAUAUCUUAAUAAACCAUGAAUGCUUCUUAUUAGCAUUUUCAUAUAACAGAGCUUUAUUAAAGCCAUCAAUGUAAUCCCACCCUUUUAAUUGGCCUGUAAAUCCUGCAGUUACCAUAUCUGCAAUAGUCUUAUCCAAAUUUUUGUUAAUUUUUCAAAUAGUACUGUACAUCAACAUCCUAUGCACAGUCGUACAAAUAUGCCGAGCAGUAUAACCAUCAAUAUUCCAUUCAUAGAUUUCCUUACCAUUAUAACUAUUAGUUAUAAUAUGUUCAUGCUCUUCCAUAAUCACGUCUUGAGGAGUAGGUUUAGGCUAGUAGUACAUUCUUUGAACUGGUUUCCUGGCACACUUUUCGAAGAUUUUAUUAAUCUCGUCAGGAACCUCCUUCUUCUUACUACUUUUUCCUCUUUCCAGGUUAUUAACCUUUAGAGGUUUAAGGUUAUUACCUUUCAAAGUUCUUUCUAAGAAAUUUCUCUAAAUCAGAGAAGUCUUUCAAUUUGAAAUCUUCAAUCUCUGGGGAGGUUGGAUGCUGGGUUGAACAACUUUACCUUUACCUUUAUGAUCGAAAUUGAGUUGAGAGAUAAGUUUAUCCAUUUUUCAUGCAAAAUAACAAUAUGUUCACCUCAUAUGCUCAUAUAAAAAUUGGCAUAAUUGUUCUGCUUAAUCAUGGCAUUAAUAUGCUGAGUAGUAACUAAAGUAGUAUGAGUAUCAUUUUCAAAUAAUUUCGAAAAAGAAUUAAAAUUAACAAUUUUAUCAUUUUUUUUAAUUUGGAAAGAUUGUAAUGGGGGAAACACUGAUUUAGUAAUUUCUCCAUUACUCAGAGUAAAAUCUCUUUCUAUAACAGAGAUAAAAUUAUGAACAUGUUUACACAUAAACCAAGGAAUAAAAGAUAUAAUCACAUUUUUUCCUGACUCUAUAAGAUCAUUAUAAAUUUCAUCUUGAAAACUCUUUUGUUCUUCUUUAUUAAAAUUUUUGAAGAACCAUUUUCGAAAAGGUUUCCAUUUAGAUUCCUGAAAUUCUUUAGAAAUAUUUUUUCUUACCGGUGAUCCCGGACUAAAGUCAAUGGGUUUUUCAGACAUCAAAAAAUACCUUUAAGUGGAUAACCCAUCUGGGAAAUUCAUUUCAGAUUCAGUUAUAUCAAGAUCUGAGACAAGCCUGGUAAUAUUAUUUCUAUCAAUUUUAAUAUUGUCGCAUCUAUAAUUUUCCUUAACCUGAGAAGUAGAUGCUCUAGAAGGAACCUGUACAAUAUAAUCAACAGGAGAGAUAUAUGAAGAAUCAGAUCUAGCUAGUCUAGAAGACAAGCUGCGACUAUCAAACAGGCAGAACAAUCGAGUCAGAAAAUUUAAUUUUACACUCCCAUCAUCAGACUGUUCAAUUUCUGAAAUCUCGUCGUUGAUAUUAUUUUUAGGAGGGGCUGCUCCUUCAAUAACCCAUUCUUGUGGAAAAUCAAUUUCUUCCCACUUAAUCGGUCUUCGAGUGACGACCUUAGAUUUUCCAAAAUUAGUUUCUAUAAGAAUAGUUUCAUUUUUAAAAUCAAUCAUUUUACACAUAGGAUUCAAAGUAUGUAGAAGUUUAUAAUAAAUUCUAUAACAAAUACAAACAACUUCAGUGCCAGGCAUAUAAUCAAAACCAUGAAGUUUUAUAUUUAACAUAAGAGAACUUAAUGAAUUCUCAUCCUGCAAGGAAAUCUGCAGAUUAAGAUAACCAUUAAAAUAAACUGGUCCAUAAGCUAGACUAGUUUGAAUUGCCCCUAUAAGAGACUUCUUCCAAUUAUGAUUUCUAGCAUCACGUAAAGCUGCUAUAAAGCUUUCAAGUAAACCGCACAAGGUAAGGGGAUUUAAACUGGUCCAUAAGCUAGACUAGUUUGAAUUGUCCCUAUAAGAGACUUCUUCCAAUUAUGAUUUCUACCAUCACGUAAAGCUGUUAUAAAGCUUUCAGGUAAACCGCGCAAGGUAAGGGGCUUAAAUGUCACCUGAACCAAACCAAUAUGCAUAAAUCGGUAAAUAUUCCUAUAAGGGGCCAAAUCAUUUUUAGAUAAUAAUCUAAAAGUCUCGUGAUCACUAUCAAUAGUAAUCGUUUCUUCAGUGAUUUUAACCACCUGUUUGAGACCAAGCUUCUCAACAGUUCCCAUAUGAUAAAUGAUUCUGGGAGGUAUCUUAGCAAUAGUUCACUUACUAAGUAGAUCUAGAUGUUGGGGUAUAUCAUACUCUUCUUUUCUACUGUUUUUAACAGUAGAUCUUCCUUUUAUAAGAUUUAUGAUUAAAAGAGUGUUGAACUAUAUCAUCUAUAGUUACAAAAAGUCCAUGGCUCUGAUACCAAAACAAAAUGGAUCGAUCAGUAGACUAAAGGGGCUUUUAUGAAUUUUCAGUAAUCUAGGCCAAGUUUAUGAAAUCAUGUUACUAUUCGGGUCUGCCCGGAUCCGCCGUCCACACGGGUAAUCCACCGGAUCUCUUCACAACACCUUUCAUAAAACAUACCGAAGUACGCCUGAAUUACUUAUAUUCGACCUUAUUCAUACUAUUCAAUUGGACAUUAUUAAAGACACAAUGCCAUUUACUUAGUAGUAACUUAGUAUGAUACAGUUUAACACAAAUAGUUUAGCCCAUCAUUUGGGCUUAAUACAUAAAAGGAAAUAAAUAAGAAAAGUACCUUAAGACGAACUCCCAGAAGAUCAACCAAAUUGCAAACUUUUAUUCAAAGACUUAAGAAAAUAUUACAAAGAAAAUAUUUAGAGUACAAGAGAGAGAGGGGGUUCUAAAACCUGCCUCUAACUAAACACACUUCGUCCUCUUAUAUAGCUCUAAGGGGAAUCUUUUUAAAGAUAAAAAUACAAAAAGAUAUUGGCCCACACUUUUAUAAUGGCCACUAAUAAAAUGAUAAGGCCGACACACUCAUAUGGCCUUGCAUUGUUUUUACUAGCCGACAGUACUUUCGGCUUUUACUAAAAUUACUUUAUAAAAGUAUUUUGGCCUUAUUACAUGCGGCCGACAAUUUUAUUAAAGUAUUCCAAUAAACUAUUUGUAGGGUCUUCAUACUUUAUUUUUUCCUUUGAGAGUUGUGUUGGUGCUAGAAGAUUCUUCUAUCAAUUGUUGAUAAUUUCGUAAAAGAGCCUCGAUAUCGAUAUCUUCAUUGCUAUCAGCAUCUUGUCCUUCACCAGCUAUGCAAGUAUUAUCGUCAUCAUCAUUAGUAUGGCUAGCUGAUGCCAUGGAGAUAUCAUCUUUAAUUUCAAUAUUAAGAUUUUUCAAUAAAUCUUUCUUCACCUCUUCCAUAUACAACGUUAUAGCUUCUGAUUUAAAAAUCAGUCAUUUCUUCAUUUGAAGCUUUCUUGUGAUCUUCUUAAAUGGGCUCAGAUCAUCUCUCACAUGUGGUUCUGAUGUAGCAAUAUCAUAAUAUCUGCUAAUUUUUUCAUUUAUUGAAUCAAGAAUUUCUUGACCAUGGACCUUUCCUUUCUGGUUCUUUUGUAAUAAUUUACUCCAUAACUUUGUAUAAAAUGUCCUUUGUAAACAUGAAAAUCCAUCAGAAGUAGUAUUAAGUUCCACUGACCAUUUCAUGAUCCAAGGAAUAGAGAAUUCAAUGAAGAAAUACAUUAUUGAUAUUCCUUCAAAGAAUAUAUUAUCAUCCUGCAAACUUAUAAUUUUUGGGGAGAUAUCUACCCAUUCUAAAUAUAUUUUUUUAUAUGAUUCUAGUAAAAUCUUCAUCGAAGGACCAUAUAAGGUCCACCAUCUGCAAAACCAAUUUGGAAUAUGCCUUUCAAAUAUAUUAGAGCAUAUCUUAAUAAACCAUGAAUGCUUCUUAUUAGCAUUUUCAUAUAACAGAGCUUUAUUAAAGACAUCAAUGUUAUCCCAAUAAUUAUAUUUUACCGCGACUUUUUGUUCCGGAUGGAUAUAAUUCACUUCCUUCAAAGGGCUCAUACCCCAUUCUUCUGGUGCUAAGAUUUUUUUCAUAAUCAUCUUAGAAAAGUUAUAAACUUUUUUUUGUAUUCGCCGGGUAAAAGUGUUGGAAUUCACAUGACCAUGUGGCUGAGAGUAUUAUCUCACAAUGCAUUCUGUAUUUAUAAACAGUAGUAGUAUAACUUACUGUAUCCAGAUAUCUGGACAUUACCUGCCAUGGUUCAUUUUUCCAUCUCAGGUCACUGUUUUCAAAUAGAAGUAUAACUUCUCUUUUGUCGUUUAGAUCAAAUACUUCAAUGUUUUCCUCAUCCAUCAGGAUGGUGGAAUAUGUUGGUGGAUCAUUAUCCGAUUCCUUUUUGGAUUUCAUAAAAUUCAUGAAUUCUUUGUACAUUGGGUGGUUUAUAUCAAUACCACUUGUUACACUUGUUGAACUGCUGCUAUUAGCUGCUAUCAACUGCUUAUUUCCAUAUUGAAUGAGGAUAUGACCUCCCCUUCCUGAAUUGGUUCUUCCUCUUCCUCCCUUUCUUGAAGGAGGGGACCAUGAUGGUCUUAAGCUCAUCCUGAAAAAGAAAAACAAGUAAUAUUAAUCUAAAUAUUCUCUAGUGAGAAAAUCUGGAAGACUAUUAUAUUCACCUUUCUUAUAAUGAAUUUCAAAAUCAAAAGGAGCUAAUAAUACUUGUCAUCUUGCAAACAUUUGUUUAGAAACAUCAUGUUUACAAUCUUUAUUAAACAUAAACUUGGCUUCUUGGCAAUCAGUUUUUAUUAAAAACUUUUGAUUGUAUAGAUCUCCUUGAAAUUUCAGAACACUUUUCACUAUAGCCAAAAUUUCUUUAGCUACAGUGGCAUAAUUCUUCUGGGCCAUGUUCCAUUUUCCAGAAUAGAAUUGGACAAUAUAAUGUCGCUUAUUGUCAGGGCAAUAUUGUGUUAGAACACCACCAUAUCCUAUAUCUGAAGCAUCCGUUUCGACCGUCUUUUCCCAAUUUGGAUUGGCUAACGUAAGACAAGGGAGAUUCUUAACCUUUUCCUUAAUCUUCUUGAUAGCUUCAGUAUGAUUAUUUGACCAUGCUUUUGGGCUAUUCUUAAGCCUGUCGUAAAGUGUAGCUGUAUCAAUUGCUAAAUCCUUUAUAAAAGGAGCGACAUAAUUCUUCCAAGAAAUCUCUGCAAUUGAGUUUUAUUAGUGAUAACAUCAGGAAAUUUAGAAGCAAACUCUAUACUCCUAUUAAUAGGACUGAUAUUACCUUUUUCAAUAAAAUGUCCCAAAAAUCUUACUUUUGUUUGGAAUAAAGCCAUUUUUGGACUGGAUAGUACUAAAUCAUUUUGAAUAAUGAUUUUCUUGAAUAAAUCAAGAUGCUUAAAAUGAGUUUCUAUAUUUUUUGAAAAUACUAAUAUCGUCUAUGUAGACUAUAAUAAAAUUAUUAUAAGGCAUAAAGAUAUCAUUCAUGAUCUUUUGGGAUUCUGAUGGAGCGGUUUUUAAACCAAAUGGCAUAACGCUCCAUUCAUACUGACCCAUAGGGACAUUGAAAGCGGUUUUAAACCUGUCCGACUCUGCUAUCUGGAUGCCAAUAACCUGAUUUCAAGUCAAACUUGGAAAAUAUUAUGGCAUCAUAAACCCUAUCUAAUAAAUCCUCCUUAUUAGGAAUAGGAUACUUGAUCCAUUUGAGUGCUUUAUUAAGAGGUUUAUAAUUGAUGACUAACAUGGGUGCAUCUCUCUCUUGCUCAGCAUGUUUAUUAACAUAGAAUGUUGUACAAGACCAAGGGGACUUGGAAUGCCUUAUAAGGCCUUUCUGAAGUAAAGACUCAAUCUUUUUUUUUGCGUAAGUCCAGAUAAUCAGAAUUCAUCUGGCACGGUCUUGCUUUCGUGGGAAUAUUAUCCUCAACGAAGUUAUCCUCAUAAGGAAGACUUACCACAUGCUUCUUUCUAUUCCAAAGAGCAUUAGGAUGAUCUCCACAUAUCUCAAGGGAGAACUGAUUCUGUAAAAUAGCAAUCUUGUCCUGUAAUUUAGGAUUCUAGAUAAUACUAUCAAUUUCAAUGCUAUUGAUCUCACUUUUAAAAAAGCUGACCUGAUUAUUUUUUAAAAUCAUUUUUGAGGUUAAUUCAUUGAUCAUCCUCGUAAAAGGUUUUGUAAUAAACUCAAGUAUAAAAGGCUUGUUAUUCCAAGUACCAAUAAUUUUUUCAUUAUCCUAAUAAGUAAGGGGGAAAAUAUCAUUUAUAAAAGGUACUCCCAAAAUAAUUUGGUUAGUAAUAUCUUUCACUAAAACAAAGCUUUGAGGAACACAAUUUUUUCCUUUGCAGAUAAAAGCCUUGGGUAGUUUAAAUUCAAUAUUCAUUUUACUACCAUUUGUUGAUCUCAGGCUGUGAGUAUUUUUAUGAAAAUAUCUUGAAGGGAUCAAUCCUUCUUGAAUGCAACUUAAAUCAGCUGCACUGUCAAUAAGAGCAAUAAAUUCUUUUUUAAAAUUAUAAUCAAUAAGAAGAGUGAUUUUCGUAUAAAACUUUUGAGAAGUAAAAGCUUUUAAGUUUUGUAGAAAAUCCCCUUUGGUAUUACUAAAAUUAAUAUUUUUGAGAAAAUCAAGAUUAUUGCUUUCUCCUUCACAUGAGGACGAAGAAGCUGAGUUAUUACUCAAGUCCCUGCGAGUUUCGAAACUAUCCAGACAAACCUCUAUGAUGACAUUCUUUUCUUUGAGCCGUUUAAUGUCUUCUUUGAGAUUAUUAAUCUCUUGUUUUAGAUCAUUGAUCAUAGUAGGGGAACUUAUAAGUUUCCUCCUUUCUAGUAAGAGAUUUUGAACCUCCGCCAUGGUAUAUGAACCUUCUUUGGUAGGAAUUCCAUCUAUUUUAUCGUUCUUAGAGGUAGAUGCAGUAUUACUGAUUUUAUCAAUAAUUUGAGUCUUAUCUCCGAAUCUUUGACCGUUUGUAAGAGUUCUAUUAUUUUGUCAUUAUCAAUGACAUUAAUACUCAUUUCUUUAAACUGAGAAUAGAUCUUAUAAAGAUCAUCUUCUUCUUCUCCUUCCUUGUCACACUCCAAUCCUUGUUGACAAGGCAAGCAAUCAUCUUCUAAAGACAUAUAAUCUUCUUGGUGAAGAGCUUUGAGAUCUUCACUAGUAGAAGAUUCUUCUUGACUGCUAUAAUCUCAAUCUGAUUUUCCUGAAUCAGAGUUUAACAUUAUUUUGUAGAGGGAAUCCUUCAGACUAUCCUCUAUGUCAAGGUUUUUAAUUUUUUCUUUGACUUUGCAAUCUCUUGCAUAAUAACUGAAUCUUCCACAUUUAUGGCAAAUAUCAAACUUAUCAUACCUGCGUUUAGAUUUAUAAAAUCUUUUUUCGCUUUUUCUUCCUUCUGCUCUUUGCUCUUUUUUUCAAUUCUUUUUCUCUUCCAUUCCUUAUAUUCUUUUCGAGAUCUACUCUUCGAAGAGUGUUUUUCUUUCUGCUUUUCCUUUCUUUCUUUAGAAGCAGACUUGGGGAUAUCUAGAGCAAAUUGCUCACAGAAUUCUCCCAAUUGUUGUAUUUCAUUUAGACGAUGCCUUUUGAUCGGUUGAUUCAACUUGAUUUCAUUACAUAAGGAAAUUCCUUCCUGUACACAAACACUAAUUAGUUUUCCAUAGGUAUAAUCAUCAUAAUUGAUACUUACCCCUUCACCUCUGAGUGUUUUCCUUACUCAGAAAACAGAGAUGGCAAUCCAUCUAUAAAUUUGGAUUUCCAAUGAGUGCUAUUACACUCUAAUAGUUCCAUAACUCUGCACAAAAAGACAUCUUUAUAAAACUUAAACGACAUAAGAGUCUUACACCUAUUUUGAAGCAAAGUUCUAAUGGUCUCACUAUUAUCCGACCAUCUUCCUGAAAAAUAUUCUAUAAUAUUUAGAACCAAAGUAUAAACAGCAUUUUGGACAGCAUUCUGUCCUUCUUGCUUAACUGCCUGGAGAAUGGUAUCUCUUUGGAGUUGAUUGAGAUAGCUAUCCCACCAACCUUUUAAUUGGCCUAUAAAUCCUGCAGUUAUCAUAUUUGCAAUAGUCUUAUCCGAAUUUUUGUUAGUUUUGCAAAUAGUAUUGUACAUCAACAUCCUAUGCACAGUCGUAUAAAUCUGCCGAUCAGUAUAACCAUCAAUAUUCCAUUCAUAGAUUUUCUUACCAUUAUAAUUAUUAGUUAUAAUAUGUUCAUGCUCUUCCAUAAGCAUGUCUUGAGGAGUUGGUCUAGGAUAGUAGUACAUUCUUUGAACUGGUUUCCUGGCAUACUUUUCAGAGAUUUUAUUAAUCUCGUCAGGAACCUCUUUCUUUUUACUACUUUCUCCUCUUUCCUGGUUAUUAACCUUUAGAGGUUUAAGGUUAUUACCUUUGAAAGUUCUUUCUAAGAAAUUCUCUAAAUCAGAGAAGUCUUUCAAUUUGAAAUCUUCAAUCUCUGGGGGAGGUCGGAUGCUGGGUUGAGCAACUUUACCUUUACCUUUAUGAUUGGAAUUGAGUUGAGAGAUAAGUUUAUCCACUUUUUCAUGCAAAGUAACAAUAUGUUCACCUAAUAUGCUCAUAUAAAAAUUGGCAUAAUUAUUCUGCUUAAUCAUGGCAUUAAUAUGAUGAGUAGUGACUAAAGUAGUAUGAGUAUCAUUUUCAAAUAAUUUCGAAAAAGCAUUAAAAUUAACAAUUUUGUCAUAUUUUUAAUUUGAAAAGAUUGUAAUGGGGAAAACACUGAUUUAGUAAUUUCUCCAUUACACAGAGUAAAAUCUCUUUCUAUAACAGAGAUAAAAUUAUGAACAUGUUUACACAUAAAUCAAGGAAUAAAAGAUAUAAUCAUAUUUUUUUCCUGACUCUAUAAGAUCAUUAUAAAAUUCAUCUUAAAAACUCUUUUGUUCUUCUUUAUUAAAUUUUUUGAAGAAACAUUUUCGAAAAGGUUUUCAUUUAGAUUCCUGAAAUUCUUUAGAAAUCUUUUUUCAUGCCGGUGAUCACGGACUAAAGUCAAUGGGUUUUUCGGACAUAAAAAAAAACCUUUAAGUGGAUAACCCAUCUGGGAAAUUCAUUUCAAAUUCAGUUAUAUCAAGAUCUGAGACAGGCCUGGUAAUAUUAUUUCUAUCAAUUUUAAUAUUGUCGCAUCUAUAAUUUUUCCUAACCUAAGAAGUAGAUCAAGGAUAGUAGUACAUUCUUUGAACUGGUUUCCUGGCAUAAUGAUGAUGAUGAUGAUGACGAUCAUAAUAAUAAUAAUAAUAAUAAUGUUGGCUUAAAAGAAAGAUCGAUUUUCAGUUUUAAAAAAUAAUUAAAUUUGAUUAUAUAUACGUUGCAGAAUAAUGAAAAUUAUCGACACAACAAAAAAAAACACGAUAUUACGAAAAAGUUACAAAAACUUAAGCUUACAAAAAUUAUCAAUUUUAUGUUAUAUUUUUUACACAUAUUUAAUAUGGUAAAGAAUAUUUUGAAUUUUUUGAUUUUGAAUAAAACAUAUAUAAAAUGUUUUAACAUGUCAUUUAAUAUUAUGAUAUAUAUAUAUAUAUAUAUACACAUAUAUAUAUAUAUAUGGAAUGUUAGAAUUAAUAAAUUAUUAACAUAAUUGUUUUAAUUUCCUAAUUCAAAUGACAUAAAAAGAAUAAAGUACAAAUACAAAAAAAUAUUUGAAGUCUGAUGUUUAAUCAAAGAUAAAAUAAUCAUACAAUUAAUAGUAUUCUUAGAAUUUUUUUAAUAUAAUAUAUUUAUUUUUUUUUAAAACGAAAAGCUUAGAUGACAUAGCUAUAUGUAUUAUUUAAAAAAAAAAAAAGCUUAGUUGAUAGCCUAUAGGUAUAAUAUUCUAAUAAAAUAAAUUAAAUUGUGUUUAAUAAUAUUAAUUUAAUGUGCUCAAAUAAAUAAGUUAAUGAUUUGUAUUAUUAUUAUNNNNNNNNNNUUUGUAUUAUUAUUAUUAUUAUUAUUAUUAUUAUUAUUAUUAUAAUAAUAAUAAUAAUAAUAAAUUAAACAUAUUAUUAAGUGCAUAAUAUAUUUUGUUAGUUAUUUUAAAUUAUAAAAUUAUUACAUUUUAAAUUAUCCGCGCAACCCGUGGGCACGUAUACUAGUUUAUACCGUGUACAAAGAAUUUUUAUUGCUUUUAAAAAAGAAUUGAAAGAAAUCUGUAAUCUAUAAUAAUUUAAUAAUUUAAUUAUUAUAAAGACAAGAAAAAACAUGUUAGUUGAAUCCUCAUCAAAUAUAAGUUUAUUUAUAAAAUAAUUGUUUGCCUUUAAAAAAAAUUACUUUUAUUCGAAUUUAUCAAGGUUGUUUAAUGAAUAUAUUUUUCAAUUUACCAUAAGAAUGUCAUACUUCUUUUGUCGAAUACUAACUUUGAUUUUUUAUUUUUUAUGAAUUUCAGACUUUAUAAUGUUGAAUUUUAUAUGAAUGAUCAUGAUUAUUACCUUGAGUGUAAUAGCGACAAAAAAUAUAAGAAUAUAAAAUUUAUAUCUAUAUAUACUAGGAGAAGUAAAAAUUGUCACAUGUCAGCACCACAAAAUUUCUCCAUUUAUUAGUUUUAAAAAUUAAAAUUUUAAAAUAAUUUUAAUCUGCAUUAGUUAUUAAAUUUAAAUUUAAAUUUUUUUAAAAAUUAAUAGAUAUUUUAAACGUUUUAAAAAAAAAAAAAUAGAAAGUUACCGCAAUUAAUAUAAUUCUUCUCUAUUUUUUUUUAAAAAAAAAUGGGUUCUACAUGUGGUUAAAAAAAAUUGGACUCUUAUUUUUAUUCUAAUUAGAAUAUUUACUUUGUAUCUCAUGUAUUUGUGAGUAUAAAAGGGGUAAUGGGAUAAUGUCGUGUAGUUUAAAAACUGUCAAUUCACAACAAAAAUUACGUUAAGAGUUAAAAUUAUGUUUCCUCUUAAUUGAUUGCAUGGAAAGAAGUUGAACUAUGCAAAUAAAAAAAUUACGCGUACUUUAAAUUAUACUUAAACAUUUAAAAUAAUACACUCUAUUAAAAAAGAAUGAAAACAAAAAUUUUAUAUAGCAGGUACUAAAAUUUUAAUACGGUGUUGUUAUGCCUUCUUUUUCCUUAAUAUGAAGAUUUUUUUUACUUUUUUCUUUCCUAAUAUUGUCCUCUACUUAGGCAUCCUAAUUAGGAAUAAUAUAGAUUUUUAAUAUUGUCUUUUUUAUAAUUUAUUUUUAUAUAAUAUUGUGGGACCUUUCAGUUCACAUGUCAAUUAAUAAAUUGUAUCGCAUAAGUAGGUGACAAGUUCUUCAAAUUAUCGACAUAUAGUGAUUGAUAGAGUGAAUCGGGACAUAGUCUUAUUGAAACAAAAAAGUUUACACAUGUGAAAGGUUUCAAUUGAAUGAAAAGCCAUAUGCACAGUGUUUGCAACAAUUUUUGAAGGUGAUAGAAAAUAAUUUGUAAUCACAAAUAAAAUAUGAAGUAACAUGAAUAUUGUUGAUAAACAUUGUGGGUACAAAGCUGUCCAUCCCUUGAUUCUUCUCCCUCUUAAGAAUAUGAUUUGGACUUGAUCUUCAUAAUUCAAGGGUCGUUAGUGGUUUAUUUCUCAAAUAUAUGAGACUACAUCUUGAUCGCUUGAUGAAUAUGAUAGCCUCAUAUAAUUGAUUACUUUUGAUAAUGAAAUAUUAAUCACAUAUGUUGAUAAAUUUGCAGGCAAGAAAUUCAAAAAGAAAGGACAAGAUAUCAAAGUACUACCAGAAAGGAAGAAAUCAAUGUGCACUUACUAAAGAAACACAAGAAAGAAAAGCCACCAUUUAAGGGAUACAAAAUCAAGGUCACCACAAUCCUAGCGUCUGACUAGGAUAUGGAAGAUAGGAAAUCAACAAAGUAUCAAAUCAGCAAAGUAUCAAGAUCACAUAAAUAUCUUCAAGAGAAGGAAGAGAAUCAAGAUCACAAGAAGAUCUCCAAAGAAGGAAGAAAUCGGCUUGCUCAUGCACAUAUCUAAUAUGGACAUGAAUCAACCAACCGAAAUCAAGGACUCGGCUAGGAUCCUUGAUUUAAAAUACCCUUGGGUUAUUCCUUAACAAGAGCAGUCCUCAAACACUAUAUAAUCCUCUCAUAGCCUUAGUUGUGAAGUAUGCACUUCACUUGAGCUUAUAUUGUAAUCUUCUUUUAUCUUUCAUAAAACUUUAUACACACUUGAAUGAACAAUUGAAAAGAAAAGAGAAAGAAAGAUCUGAGUGUAGGUUAUACAAGUAGAUGUUGUGUCAAAGAAGAAGAUUUGAUUUGCAUAUCAGACAGGGCUCUCAACUGUAAUAUUUUGUAACACCCAAGUUCUCAACAAGCUCUUAAGGAAACCUUUGUAACCCAAGGGGAUUGGAAGUAGGCACCACAUCGGUGUUCCGAACCAGUAUAAAAUAUUCUGUGUCGAUUUACUUUCUGUCAUUACUUUUAUUUUAUAUUGUGAUACUAACUUGCAGGUGAGUUGACUGCUCCAUUCAGGAAGUCGACUAAAGGAAUUUUAUUCACCCCCCUCUUAACUUUCAAUUGGUAUCAGAGCAGGUCUCACAGAUAAAGUGUUUAACCACACGUGAGAAAAGAUCUAUGGCAAACUAUCAAAUCCCUGGUGCUCUCCUCCAAAAAGGACACACAUCAAACCGACCUCCUUACUUCAAUGGUCAACACUACUCUCACUGGAAAGACAGAUUCAGAAUUUUUGUUACCUCAAAUGAUCUUCAGUUAUCAAAAAGGGGCCGAAGCCAAUCCCUGGACUCACAAGAAAAGACGCCACUCAUAAGCCUUUUGACCUAGAAUCCUUUGACAUCACAAAGGAACAACAAAAGGUAAUCCAAACUAAUGUGAGAGCAAUAAGUUUGUUAUAUUGUGCAGCUAACGGAACUGAAUAUGACAAGAUUUCAACAUGCGAAACUGCAAAAGAAAUGUGGGACAAACUCGAAGUAACUUAUGAAGGAACUACCAAAGUAAAAGAAGCUCGAAUUAGCUCACUAGUGAAUGAAUAUGAAUUGUUCAAAAUGGCAGACGAUGAGAAUGUGGACGACAUGUUCUCAAGAUUCAGCAAAUUAGUUUGCUAACUUAAAUCUCUGGGAAAGGUGUACUCUAACGGAUUACAAGUCAGAAAACUCAUCAGAAGUUUUCCAAAAGCUUGGGAAACUAAAGUUGCUAUUCUUGAAGAUGGAGAUCUGCAAAAAAAUGACCUACGAUGAACUUCAUGGAAAUCUGAUGGCCUAUAAACAAAAUUAUAUUAACAGAUACAACAAGAAUGAUAAAAAUAAAAUUGUUGCCUUUACAGCUGGAACAUCUGAAAUCGAGGAAGAAGUCGAUGAAUCCCAAAGUGAGGGAAUGACUCUCAUAGAAAGAGGAGUUAGACAAAUGCUGCAAAGAAAACAAAGGCCCCAACAAGACUACAAAAAUAAUGACUAUCACAAACAUGAUGACCGAUGCUAAUACUUUGCCUGUCCAUAUUAGACAAAACUGUCCCGAACUCAAAAGAAGAGGCCAACGGAAGAAUGAUGAUCCAAAGAGUCUUAGAGCAUGGAGUGGUCAAGAUGCACUUAAAUAUGAUCAAAAUGAAACGAUAAACAUUUGCUUUAUGGAAAUGGGUGAACCAAGUGAGGUAAGACAUCAUGACUGCUCUAAAUGUAAUCACUUACAAUACUCUCUGGAUAUGGUCACAGUUGGAUUGCAGAAAGUUAUUGAUGAAUAUAAAAAAAUUGCUCAAGAAACGAAAGACUGGAAAAUCCUUCUCAAAGCAAGUCAGAUUGAAGUUGAUCUCCUACAGGAAGAACUUGAUGAAAUCAAGAUGCAAUUAAAUAGCAUCAAGAAGUCACCAAGUCAUAACUCAGAGAGAUCAAACAGAUCUAUCAUGAAUGCCUCUCAAAACUCUUUUUUUCAUUCUGCAAAAUCUUCUUUUAAACCUAUUUGUUUUACCAGCGGAAUUACUGGUCACAAAUCCUUCAAUUUCAAGAAACUAUCUUCAUGAAAAUUGAUUUGGAGACAAAAAGUCGCUAGUACUAAGCCUCAAGGACCCAAGAAUGCUUGGGUACCUAAAAGUAAUUAAUCUCUUUGUCUUGCAGGAGCAGUCCAGGAAAACCUACAAGAAAAGAAUGUGGAUAAUUGACCGUGGAUGCUCGAUGUGUGGAAAGAGAGAAAAUUUCAAAACUAUUAAAAACAUUGUUGGAGGAUCUGUAAGAUUUGGAGAUAAUGCAAAAGGAGAAGUAAUAUGAGUUGGAACUAUCACCCUCAGCUCAUCAUGUGAUCUAGUAGAAGUAUAUCUUGUUGAAGGACUCAAGCACAAUCUCCUCAGCAUUAGUCAACUAUGUGAUGCUGGGUUUCAAGUUUCCUUCAAUACUACGAGCUGCACAAUCAAACAUCUAGAAAGAAAUUUUCCAUCACCGGAGAUUGAAUUGAUAAUACAUAUGUCUUAAUUGAUGUUAAUCUCCCUAGUCUUACAUGUCUUACUGCAGUUUCUAAUGAUCCUUGGUUGUGGCAUCGAACGCUUGGACGCGCAAGCAUGCAUUCUCUUGAGAAGUUAUCUAGAUUAGAACUAGUUAUCAGAUUGCCAAAAUUGAACUUCGAAAAGGAUCAUAAUUGUGAUGCAUGCCAACUCGGUAAGCAAGCUCACUCAUCCUUUAAAGGAAAAGGUAUUGUGUUUGAUCAGACCUAUCCUUAGGGAAACUCCUUACGAGCCCUGGAGAGGAAAGAAACCAAACAUCAGCUACUUUCAUCCCUUUGGAUGUAAAUUUUUCAUUCACAAUAAUGGUAAGAAUAAUCUUGGAAGCUGAAACCACUGAUGAUGAGACUGUUUCCAAAAUAAAUACAGAAAGUCAGCCAAAUGAUUAUGUUCAAACCUCAACAGAAGAGCGACUAUCCCAACAAACAAUAUCGAAAUUCCUAGGGAAUGGAGACACAAUACUAGCUAUCCUAAUGAUUUCAUCAUAGGGAAACUAGAUGACGCAUUACAAACCAGAGCAUCAUUGAAGAAACAAGCUCUAUAACACUCGUCUCUCAGAUUGAACUAAAACGUAUAAAUGAAGCAAUGGAAGAUGAAUCCUGGAUACAAGCAAUGAAGGAAGAACUGGAUCGAUUCGAAAGAAACCAAGUGUGGCCCCUCAUUGAAAGGCCCAAAAAUUGUUCAGUAAUCGGAACUAAAUGGUUUUUUUAACAAGCUCAAUGAAGAAGGUAAGAUCAUCUGUAACAAGGCAAGAUUAGUCGCUCAAGGAUAUUCCCAACAGGAUGGUAUUGAUUAAGAUGAAACUUUUUCUCCGGUAACAAGGUUAGAAUUUAUUCGAAUUCUAUUAGCUUAUGCAUCUUUUAAGCAUUUCAAACUGUUUCAAAUGGAUGUAAAAAGUGCCUUUUUGAACGGUUUUAUCAAGGAAGAAUUUUUUGUUAAACAACCUCCUGGUUUUGAAAAUUCUUCUGAUCUUAUUUACAAACUCUCGAAAGCGUUUUAUGGUCUCAAACAAGCCCCAAAAGCUUGGUAUGAAAGAUUGAGCAAUUUUUUACUCAAUAACAAUUUUCAUAGAGGAAAAAUUGAUAACAACUCUUUUUAUCCAAAGGUCCGGAUCAUUAAUUUUAAUAGUUCAAAUAUAUGUCAAUGAUAUUAUCUUUGGAAGCUUUAACCCUUCUCUGUGUUAGAGUUUUGCUAAUCUUAUGAAGGAAAAAUUUGAGAUGAGUAUAAUAGAGAGCUCACAUUCUUUCUCGGCUAACAAAUCAAGCAGUCGACUAUUGAAACUUUUAUUAGCCAAACCAAAUACACAAAGGAAAUCAUAAUGAAGUUCGGGUUGGAAAAAGAAAAAGCUUAUGGAACUCUCAUGAGUCCAUCUACAUUCCUUGAGACAGAUGCACCACGAAAAGAUGUUAAUGAAAAAAUGUAUCGAAGAAUGGUCGAAUCUCUACUCUAUUUAACUGCUAGUCGACCAGAUAUUAUGUUCAGUGUAUGCAAGUGUGCACGUUUUUAGUCUGCUCCAAAAGAAUCUCACCUUACUGCAGUAAAGCGAAUCAUUCGCCAUCUCAUCGGAACAACAGAUUUGGGAUUAUGGUACCCUCACUCCUCUCACUUUGAUUUAGUUGGCUACUCAAAUGAUGAUUUUGUAGGGGGGAAAAUGAUCGAAAAAGAAUCGGUGGUACUUGCCAAAUUCUAGGUCAAUCUCUGAUCUCUUGGCACAGUAAGAAACAAACUUCGGUUGCCUUAUCUACCACAUAAAUCAGAAUAUCUAGCUGUGGGAAGCUGUGGUACUCAACUAUUAUGAAUGAUGCAUCAAUUACUUGAUUAUGAUCUUUCGUAUGUCCCUAUUUUUUUAUAAUACAUGUGCUAUUAGUUUAUCUAAAUAUAUUGUGCAUCAUUCUAGGACUAAGUAUAUUGAUAUUAAGCAUCAUUUUAUUCGUAAUCGUGUUGACAAUGGUGAUUUUUCCUUAGAAUUUAUCAAUUCUGAAAAUCUAUUAGCUGAUAUUUUUACAAAACCCUUGCUUGAGGAAAGAUUUUGUUUUCUCCGCAAUUGUCUCGAUAUCUCUUCUUGUCAUUAAUGUGAUUUAUUUACUGUUUGUUUGUUCUGGUUAGUUGUCGUAUUUUGUCUUCUCUAUCUCUUUUUGAUUAUGCCAAAGGUGGAGAACUAUCCCAACAAUUUAUUAGAGAUGACACAACAAAGACAAGGGGAGUCACACAGCCUACAGUCAGGGGGAGCUACACAAUUCUCCUGAGCUCUAAAAGAGACACCUCAGGGAAGUCGCAUUAUCUCUUUAGGCUUUAUGCAAAAUUGUGAAUUAUUUGUCAUUAUCAAAAAGGGGGAGAUUAAUAGCCUCAUAUAAAUUAUUACUUUUGAUAAUGAAAUAUUCAUCUCAUAUGUUGAUAAAUUCGCAAGCAAGAAAUUCAAAAAGAAAGGACAAGAUAUCAAAGUACUACCAGAAAGGAAGAAAUCAAUGUGCACUUACUAAAACAACACAAGAAAGGAAAGCCACCAUUUAAGGGAUACAGAAUCAAGGUCACCAUAAUCGUAGCAUCUGACUAGGAUAUGGAAGAUAGGAAAUCAGCAAAGUAUCAAAUCAACAAAGUAUCAAGAUCACACAAAUAUCUUCAAGAGAAGGAAGAGAAUCAAGAUUACAAGAAGAUCUCCAAAGAAGGAAAAUCAACAAAGUAUCAAGAUCACACAAAUAUCUUCAAGAGAAGAAAGAGAAUCAAGAUUACAAGAAGAUCUCCAAAGAAGUAAAAUCAGCAGAGUAUCAAGAUCACAUAAAUAUCUUCAAGAGAAGGAAGAGAAUCAAGAUCACAAGAAGAUCUCCAAAGAAGGAAGGAAUCGUCUUGCUCAUGCACAUAUCUAAUAUGGACAUGAAUCAACCAACCGAAAUCAAGGACUCGGCUAGGAUCCUUGAUUUGAAAUACCCUUGGGUUAUUCCUUAACAAGAGCAGUCCUCAAACACUAUAUAAUCCUCUCCUAGCCUUAGUUGUGAAGUAUGCACUUCACUUGAGCUUAUAUUGUAAUCUUCUUUUAUCUUUCAUAAAACUUUGUACACACUUGAGUGAACAAUUGAAAAGAAAAGGGAAAAAAAGAUCUGAGCGUAGGUUAUACAAGUAGAGGUUGUGUCAAAGAAGAAAAUUUGAUUUGCAUAUCAGACAAGGCUCUCAACUAUAACAUUCGGUAACACUCAAGUUCUCAACAAGAUCUUAAGGAAACCCUUGUAACCUAAGGGGACUGGAAGUAAGCACCACAUCGGUGUUCCGAACCAGUAUAAAAUAUUCUGUGUCGAUUUACUUUCUGUCAUUACUUUUAUUUUAUAUUGUGAUACUAAUCUGCAUGUGAGUCGACUGCUCCAUUCAAGAAGUCGACUAAAGGAAUUUUAAUUCACCCCUCUCUUAACUUUCAGAAUAUCCCAUGAAUAUAUAGAAUUUUUUAGAUGUUUUUUCAAAGAAAUAUAGUAUCCCUUAUAUAAGUGUAGACACGUAAUUUUUGACCGAACAUAAGGUUUUACAUUUUGUUUUAUUUUAGUAAGUUUAUUUUAAAAGAUUUGAAAUAACAAAAAAUACAUAUUUUAAUUUUUGUUUAAUAAAUAAGCUAGUAUUUCUUAAAUAUAAUUUAUUAUUAACCACUUAAUUUUUGUUAGUUUAAAAAAUAAUCAAAUAAUUUCUUUUAUUAUAUUAUUAUAUUAUAUUAUAUUAUAUUAUUAAAAAAUAAUAAUAACUUUAACUCCUCACCCCCACUUCACUUAACCCCCCCCCCAUUUCCCCUCACACUGCACACGACACACACAACACAGCACACACUACCCCACUAACCCCUCUGCACACUACUACAUAUAUUACACACAACCAACAGCAAAAGAAAAAAGAAGAAAAAUCAGCCAAACAAAAAUACACCCAACAUAGACGACACAAAAAGAAAACAUAACCAAAAGAAGAACAAAACACCACCUGCAUUUCAACAACACUAAAAAUCUGCCCCUAAACACACACUCACACGCAAGAAACAAAAUAAUAUCCACACAUUUCUCUUUUUUUUCACUCACCAAAGACCAACUUACACAUUGGAGGAAAAAGAGUUGAGGUCGAGGUUCACUUUCGUGGUUUCGAGUUCGUGGUUCCUUAUUAGCAUUGUUUCCUUUUCGUGAAUUGAAUUUUCGCAAGAGGUACCAUUUAAUUUUUAUUGUAUAAUUUGAUUUUCAUGAUUAUAUAAUACUUGAUUUCAAUGUUAUGAAGUUGCUCGAAUUUUAUAUGUGUUUAAUCUCAUUGUUUUUCAUCUUGUACCAUAUGCUAUUAUUAAUUAAACAUCUCUUGCAUCCAACCAAAAUUUAUCAAAUACCUAAAAAAAUAAUAUGUUAAUAGUUUGUUUAGUCAACUUCAUCUAAAAUUAAAAAUGUUCAUCCUAGAAAAAUUAAGAAAUGAAGAGUUACACAAUUUUUAUUUUUUAUUUUUUAAUGUUUUUUGUCAUGACUUGUAAAUAUACUAAAAAUAUAAAUGCAUCUAUGUUGAAUUUUAAUAUGAAAUAACUUUAUAUUUGUUUAAGAUUUUUAGAGUUUUAUUAUGUAAAUAGUGUUUAUAAAUAUAAAUAGUAGAGGUAGUUUAAUCAUUAAUAAUACGCUUAAACUUGCUAGAAAUAGGUAAAAUAUUAAAAUAUAUGAUCCGUUUUAAAAGUCGGUUUCAAUUAAGAAUGUGGUUACACAUCUUUCUUGAGACAUUAAAAAAAAAAUUCAAGGAUGCGGUGAUGCACCUUCUCUAAAAAAUAUAAUUAACUUUCAUUAAUUUAACAUAAGACUUAUAGAUACAAUUAUUAGGUGCGAUGCGAAGAAAGACAAUUAUGUCUCUAAAUGUCAAGACCAAGUGUAACACCCCAGAAAUUUUUUCGAACUAAGACUCGAACCGUUCAUCGUAGUGAGUGAGAUUUUACCAAGGAAUUAAAAUUUCUUAAGUGUUAAGGUCACUAGAUGUAGCACAUUGAGUUCCAAAAAGAAUUAAAUUGGAAAUAGCAAAAUCUGAAAUUUUGCAAGUUAUUCUUAAGUAUGAGUUUUGGGUCAACUUCAAAUGACCAUAACUCCUAGCUCAGGAUGAUUUAGGUGUGCUACCAGGUACCUUAAGAAAUACCUUUGAAUUAUCUUUUCAACGCCGCUGAGUUUGCUAAGUUUAGAGGUCGGACGAGUAAGAUAUGGCCUUUUGAAGUUAGGCUGUCCAGUUAAGGAAAGUUAGCCGAAAAUAAAGAGGGGUAUUUUGGUCUUUUCCUUACCCAAUCAAAUUUUAUUCGUUUUUAGUAAUAUUUUAGGGGUCUAAUCUGAUUAGGUUCAGUUUUAUAAUCCUAGUUUACGNNNNNNNNNNNNNNNNNNNNNNNNNNNNNNNNNNNNNNNNNNNNNNNNNNNNNNNNNNNNNNNNNNNNNNNNNNNNNNNNNNNNNNNNNNNNNNNNNNNNNNNNNNNNNNNNNNNNNNNNNNNNNNNNNNNNNNNNNNNNNNNNNNNNNNNCCAUGGGUUUAAUCCCUAAGAGGUAUGUAAGCUUCCAUAGUGUUGGGUUCUUUCACCCACACACCAAUCAUGAUUUAUUCAGCGUAAUUUCGUUCUUGAAAUUUAAAGAUUAGAGUUCUUGAUGAGUUCUUGAUAAGUGUUCUUGAAGUUUCAUUAAGUUUUGAUGUAAGAUUCUGCUUGGGUCAACUUUAAACGACCAUAUCUCUUAGAAUAUUAAGAUUUACGUGAGUCAUAACCUAUCCAAUUAAAGGUAAUUGAAUCUACUUUCCAACCCUACCAGUUUCACGUCAAUCCAAUAUCUUAGUAAAAAGUUAUGACUAUUUUAGUAACCUAUACAGUGCUGUUAGGAAUUAGCCGACGGAAAAAUAUUAUGAAAAUAAUCGUUUGUCUUUUUACCUCCAAGAAAACUAUCAACGAAUUUCUUGACUAAUAAAAACCUCAAAACAAUCAGAUUUUCAUCUUCACUCAUGAAAAUCAUAAUUUUUGGCUAUAGAGAUUUUUAAAAACUAAUUCAAGAAUCUCAAGAAAGGUUUUCUUGAUUGUUUACCUUCAAGCUAGGGUUUCAAGGCUUCUAAUCAAGUUCUUUUUCAAGAUUCUUAAAGAUUCUUCAAGAUUCUUCAAGAAUCUUGUUCUUCUAGGUAUGUAAGGCUAUCAUAGUGUUGGACUAGUUCGUCCUCACGCCCUACAUCUACUUUCAGAUCAGUAAAAGAGUAAUCUAAGAUACUUUCCCUAGANNNNNNNNNNNNNNNNNNNNNNNNNNNNNNNNNNNNNNNNNNNNNNNNNNNNNNNNNNNNNNNNNNNNNNNNNNNNNNNNNNNNNNNNNNNNNNNNNNNNNNNNNNNNNNNNNNNNNNNNNNNNNNNNNNNNNNNNNNNNNNNNNNNNNNNNNNNNNNNNNNNNNNNNNNNNNNNNNNNNNNNNNNNNNNNNNNNNNNNNNNNNNNNNNNNNNNNNNNNNNNNNNNNNNNNNNNNNNNNNNNNNNNNNNNNNNNNNNNNNNNNNNNNNNNNNNNNNNNNNNNNNNNNNNNNNNNNNNNNNNNNNNNNNNNNNNNNNNNNNNNNNNNNNNNNNNNNNNNNNNNNNNNNNNNNNNNNNNNNNNNNNNNNNNNNNNNNNNNNNNNNNNNNNNNNNNNNNNNNNNNNNNNNNNNNNNNNNNNNNNNNNNNNNNNNNNNNNNNNNNNNNNNNNNNNNNNNNNNNNNNNNNNNNNNNNNNNNNNNNNNNNNNNNNNNNNNNNNNNNNNNNNNNNNNNNNNNNNNNNNNNNNNNNNNNNNNNNNNNNNNNNNNNNNNNNNNNNNNNNNNNNNNNNNNNNNNNNNNNNNNNNNNNNNNNNNNNNNNNNNNNNNNNNNNNNNNNNNNNNNNNNNNNNNNNNNNNNNNNNNNNNNNNNNNNNNNNNNNNNNNNNNNNNNNNNNNNNNNNNNNNNNNNNNNNNNNNNNNNNNNNNNNNNNNNNNNNNNNNNNNNNNNNNNNNNNNNNNNNNNNNNNNNNNNNNNNNNNNNNNNNNNNNNNNNNNNNNNNNNNNNNNNNNNNNNNNNNNNNNNNNNNNNNNNNNNNNNNNNNNNNNNNNNNNNNNNNNNNNNNNNNNNNNNNNNNNNNNNNNNNNNNNNNNNNNNNNNNNNNNNNNNNNNNNNNNNNNNNNNNNNNNNNNNNNNNNNNNNNNNNNNNNNNNNNNNNNNNNNNNNNNNNNNNNNNNNNNNNNNNNNNNNNNNNNNNNNNNNNNNNNNNNNNNNNNNNNNNNNNNNNNNNNNNNNNNNNNNNNNNNNNNNNNNNNNNNNNNNNNNNNNNNNNNNNNNNNNNNNNNNNNNNNNNNNNNNNNNNNNNNNNNNNNNNNNNNNNNNNNNNNNNNNNNNNNNNNNNNNNNNNNNNNNNNNNNNNNNNNNNNNNNNNNNNNNNNNNNNNNNNNNNNNNNNNNNNNNNNNNNNNNNNNNNNNNNNNNNNNNNNNNNNNNNNNNNNNNNNNNNNNNNNNNNNNNNNNNNNNNNNNNNNGAUCGAUGUAUCAUCACUAUAGCUCUUAUGUGAUGGUUGUCGGUUAGAGAAACUCCCACAGAAGUUAUUGUAUUUUUAUAUACAUCAGUUUAUUGUAUUUUUAUAUACAUUUCAGAGUUAUGUUGUAUCCUUGCAUACACACAGAGUUUUCAGCACGUUUUUAAACAGUUUGCUUUUUUAUAUUACACUUAUUUUAAAUUGCUUUAUAUUGAAAUGAGUUCAGUUAAGUAUUCAUGAGUUGAGUAUUUCAAGUCGAGUAUUUCAAGUCGAGUAUCAUAUCUUUGAGUUGAGUAUCCAGAGUUGAGUACCCAGAGUCGAAUAACAUAUCUUUGAGUUGAGUAUCUUAUCCUUGAGUACUUUUGAGUUGAGUAAGUUUGAGUAGUUUUGAGUAUUCCUUGAGUUGAGUAAGUUUGAGAAGAGGUAAGUAUGUUUCCUUUUUAUCAAGUUUCAAUCUUAUGUUUAUGUUUUAGAAUUCCCCUUACAUGCUCGUACAUUCCAUGUACUGAGCCAUUUGGCCUGCAUCUUCUCAUGAUGCAGACACAGGUAUUCAGGAUCAUCAACAUGAGCUUCGUUGAUACAUCCGAGAGUUCGAGUUAGCUAUGGUGAGUCUCCUUGCUUUCGGAGGAUUCCAUUUACUUCACGUACUGAGCCAUUUGGCCUGCAUCUUCUCAUUAUGCAGACACAGGUAUUCAGUAUCAUCAACAGGAGCUUCGUUGAUACAUCCGAGAGUUCGAGUUAGCUAUGGUGAGUCUCCUUGCUUUCGGAGGAUUCCAUUUACUUUCAGUUGUUAGGAUGUCGUGGGUCUUGUCCAGACUUCCAUCAUUGUCAUUUAGAGGCUUCAUAGAUAGACAGUAGAGUUUUAGAAGUCUUCAUUUAUUUUGUUAAAUGUUUUAAAGACUAAAGUUGCCUUUUUAUGGCGAGUUGUAUAUAUUUUAUUAUACAGAGUUUUCUUUGGACUUAAAGUUUGUAUUUAAGUUUUAAGAACUUUUAUUUUAGUUUUUAAGCUUUGUAUGCUUGAAUCAGUUUUUCGCUUGUAGUCAGCCAGGAUGAGGGUUCGCUUGGGGACCAGCAAUGGUCUUCGAGUGCCGGCCACGUCCAGGGUGUAGGCUCGGGUCGUGACACCAAGAAUGCGGUUACGCAUCUAGGUUGAGACCAAAUAAAAUUUCAACAAAUAAUAUAAAUGCGAACAAAUCAUUGCCCGUAAUAAUAUAUCUAAAAAUAAUUUAAGUCAAGUAUAAGUCAAUUAAAGCGACCGUGCUAGAACCACCAGACUCGAGGGAUGCCUAAUACCUUCCCCUCGGUCAACAAAAUUCCUUACCCGGAUUUCUAGUACGCAGACCAUAAUAAAGAGUCAUUUUCUUUUAAUUAGGGAUUAAAAACAAAAUGUGACUUGGAACACCAUAACUCAAUUCCAAGUGGCGACUCUGAAAAAAUAAAAAUAAAUCCCUAAAUCAAUACCGUCACUUAAAUUGAAAAAAUCCUACCGCCAUGCGAAAAAGGAGUGUGACAUCUCUGGCAACUAUGCUAGGAAAUAACAAGAAUUCGAGUUUUGUCAUAUUGACUUUUACUUGAUUUUAUUACUUAUUUUGGAUAUAUUGCGUAUCAUGGUUUAAUAUGUUACUUGCUUCUUAUUUAUUGUUUUUUAUAUUGUUGAACUAUACUAAAUUAUUUUCUCAUGCGCACGCCUUAUGAGUCUUUGAAUACACUUAACACAUGUUCACAUGAAUGCAGUUAUACAUCCUACUUUCCGUUGAGAUAAAGCUGGAGUGUCUUGACACCCAAUGAAGGAUAUUUAGUCACAUAUGUUAUAGGCGGGGUAGGACCAACAAUGAAGUCGGAAUAGCGCUGCUGCCGAUAAGUUGCCCCUCCCUGACUUGAGUUGUCCACUCGGGUAAGCCAGUCUAGAUAGAUAUCUCCUUCAGGUUUGAACCUAGUAAAAUUGAAACAUAAACAUGAUUAUCCCUAGUAGGCUCCGCUUAUUUGCAUUAUUAUUUGCAAUUGACUUAGUGACUCAACAUAGGGUCGGGUCCAUAUAGGACAUGAGUCCCUCUCUUGACCAACAUGUGCAUUCUAUAUGCUAUUUGUAAAUAUUAUUAGUAAGAUCUUUGCAUAUUGACCAAUUUAAGGGUGAUCAAUGAAAUGAAGGAAAAGUUGACAUUCAAUUUUUACAUUAAAAAAAAGAGUGAGAAAACACAUAAAAAAUAAUCUUAUUUUAGAAGCUUUCACGCAUUUCUUAAAAAUAGAAAUUCCAAAAAAUAAAAAGAUUUUUCACUUCUUAAAAAAAAUAGAGUUUCUUUUGUAGUUCUUAAAUAGAAAAUUCAUUUUUUUUCAUAACACUUCGAAAAUAUUUGCAAUAUCACAAAAAAAUUAACUGUCCAAUCUGAACGAACUACGCAUACCUGAUUCUCAACUCUAUGAGAUACGUAAGCAACCCUCAUCGGGUUCGGUGAUCCUUAUUAAUUUUUUUUUAAAAAAAAGAGAGAAAUAUUUCUUAUUAAAAAUAAUGUUGUGUUUAUAAUUUUUCUAAACUACGUUUGACUUGAUUCUUGCUUUGACAAGAUACGUAGGAAGCCUUAUUUUGAGGUUCGGUCCAACCAAAGAAAAAUCUAGAAAGUCCUCGUCACAAAAUCUGGGGAAAAUUUUUUUUAGAAAAAAAUAAUUCAAAGUUCAAAUAAAAGUAUUUCUCUUCCUUAUUUUAAAAUCUAAAAAAUAAAUGAAAAAUCUGUUUUGGGUACGACAUUUCUUCAAGAAAAAAAAUUUAAUCUAGAAAAUUUGACUUGGUUGGUACGGUACAUGUUAGGAAUGUGCAUAAGAAAAAAAGAAAGGAAGUGUUAAACUAUUUGGCAAGACAGACCAACUUUGUUGCCUCUCAAUAUAUUUAUGUAAUACUUGAGAAAUUGUUUUGCUUAAAGUUAGGGUCAAGGAAAUUCGACCUCAUUGUUUAAGGUGCAUUGUGUGGUGAGCUUUAUAUAUAAAGUUCAAUGUCAUGACUUUGUUGAUCUAGAACUUGACCAGAAUGUUGGUUGAGACAAAAUUUUGAGCAACAUUAAACGUGGGAAAGGAUUAUAGGCUUUCUUUGAUCCGAUUGUGUCUUUCAAGCUUACCAAAUAACAUGUUAUCCAUAGAACUCCCAUUUUGAGCAUAAAACCUUUUUAUUUGAAUAACCACAUCUUAGCAUAUAUCCUUUUGAGUGCAUAAAUGCACUAUACCUUGGUACCAUCCCUCUGAGCGCACUAUCAAUUAUCUACACAACGUUAAAGACCUAAGUUGGGUAACAAAGUGAAAAUGCCAAAUAUGCAAAAGUUCAAAAAAAUGACAAAGAAAAGCUAGAAUGAAAAAAUGAAAAAAAAAUCUCCAACAUAAAGAAAAGAAAAUGAGAAAAAAAAAUAAAAAAAAUGAGGAGAAUCUUUCAAGAAAACAAAGGUCAAAUGCCAAAAUAAAAAAAUAUUGAGAGCAUUAUGCAAAUUUUAAGGAGGAAAUAGUCACUUUAUUCCAAAUGAAUAUCCUACCUUUCCCUACGCCUACAUCAUAAGCCAAUGACAAGUCCUAUUUGAUCUCAUUUUUGGUGUUCUCACAUUAGUGGAUACUUACAUAAGGGUCAAACAUAUGGUAUCUCAAUCGCAUGCACUGAACAUUUUUCUGAGUGUUAGUGACCUCUAAAACAUCCUAAAAUCAGAACACUUCUAUUGUGUGAAGUAAGACUUCAUUUGUUGCGAGGGAAUUUGAAACAUGAGGAUAUGAAUAAUUCUAUCCCUUAAUUUGGGCAAGAUGAACUCAUCUUGUAAAUACUUAAGCAUGUUCGAGAUACCAUUUGAAACUAUAGUGAUUACUCAAAGUUGACCUCAAAUUUGUCUGAAAGUUGUUGAAGGUGAUUCAUAUGUAUAAUACUAAUUGUUGGUACCAAUUAAAGUCAAGACAUUGUCAAACAUGAACCAAUUCCUUUCUCAAUUUAAAGAAAAAAAAACUCAAGAAAAUAAAAUAAAAUUUUGAUUUAUAUGAAUUACGCUUGACCUAAUUCUUGCUAUAAAAUAUACGUAGGCAGUCUUACAAUAGGGCUCGAUCUCACAGAAUAAAAUUUUAUUUCCUUGAAAGAACGAAAUUGGAUCAUUUUUUAAAAAAAAAAAAUGGAAAAAUGAUAAAUUAAAAAGAGCUUCAAAGUUCCUCAUUUUAAAAAAAUUGGGGCAUAUUUUUAUUUGUUAAAAAAAAAUCACUCUCAUUUUUAGGGAAUAAACACUCUAGUUGCAUUUUAACCUUAGGGAACAAACACCCGAGUAUCUUUUCAUUUCUAGGGAACAAACUCCCUAAUUGCAUUUUGUCUUGCAUUUUUUCUUUGGUACAAGUAUUUCUCAUUCAUGUUAAUAGCGUAAAUAAUAUUUUUCUGAUGCAAACUGGGGCAAAAAAAAAUGUUGUGGUGAUUCUAUUUGAUGAUUCUGUUAAGCAGGACCCUCCUGGACAAUGAGAAUUAGUAUAGCAGGACCCUCAUGGACAAUGAGAUUUAGUGUAGCAGGACCCUCCUGGACAAUGAAAAUUAGUAUAGUAGGACCCUCAUGGACAAUGGGAUGUAGCAGGACCCUCCUGGACAAUGUGAAUUAGUAUAGCAGGAUCCUCCUGUAAAAUGGGAUGUAGCAGGACCCUCCUGGACAAUGGGAAUUAGUAUAGCAAGACUCUCCUAAACAAUGAGAUUUAGUGUAGCAGGACCUCCUGGACAAUGGAAUUUAGUAUAGCAGGACCCUCCUAGACAAUGGCAUUAGCAGGACCCUCCUACAUAAUGAGAUUUAGUUAUUUUCUCCUAGGAUAAAUACUUUCUAGUCUGAGGCCUUUUAUUUUUCUUUUUCUCCUAGGAUAGACACUUCCUAGUCUGAGAUGUUAUUUUUUAUUUUCUCCUAGGAUAAGCAUUUCCUAGUCUGAUUUUAUUUUUAUUUUUUUAAAUUCACAUUUGCUAAUAACUCACAAAAAAUUUCCAGUGAAAACUAGGGCAAAUUUUUUAUUUAUUUCUUUUGUUUGUGAUGGUUUUCAGGUUUCUUCAAGCGAAACAUGGAUUUGAAAUUCAAGAACAAAGUUUCAACUGUUUUCAAAAUGAUCAAUUCCCAUGAUUGCUAGAAUCAACUUUUUCAAUGCAUGUAGCAACCUGAAUUCCUGACAUCUGCUUCUAUUCAGCUACUGAUCAAGAAAACAUGCAGUCAUUCAAGAACAUUUAUAAAUUGUCAUUUUGAAGAGUGUCAAAAGCUCACUCUAAGUGGUAAGUUAAGCAUCGAUUCCAUUGAAGAUCAAGAUUCUCACCAAAAAUCAAGGUGAUAUCUCAAAGUCAAGACUCAAGAGAAGCUGCAUAGAUAGGAGUUUGUACUUUUAUUUUCCUUUUGACUAUUAGUUUUCAUUUUUUUUAUGUAAUUAAGGAUAAGAGCCGCGACCUGAAACCUCGAUGGAGCCUCACUUAACUUCCAACUCAUUACCUCAUCUCCUUGAACUACAUGUGACCUGAUUCCCUUAUAACCUGGGAUAUGUAGGAUGUCCAAAAUCAAGACUCGGUCGCACCAAUUUUUCUUUCAAAUAAGAGUCCGGUCAAAAUUUGUCACAUUGUCUACUUCUUUACAUGAAAACUCUUCGUGUUUCCAAUCAAAGAGGGGCAAACUGUAGACACGUAAUUUUUUACCAAACUUAAGGUAUUACACCAUUUUUAAUACAUAAAAAUUGUUUUUAUAUAUAAAUUAGAUAUUUUUCAUUUAUCUUAUUUUAGUAAGUUUUAUUUUAAAAGAUUUGAAAAUAACAAAAAAAAUAUAUGUUUUAUUUUAAGUUUAAUAAAUAAGCUAGUAUUUCUUAUUUAUAAUUUAUUAUUAGCUAUUCAAUUUUUGUUAGUUUAAAAAAUAUUAUACUAUAUUAUAUUUAUUAUAUUUAUUUGGAAAAAAACUUACCACUACCCUCACCCCAUUACCCAUUUCCACCCACAUCUACCCCCACUCCACUUACCCAAUACACACCCUCAUACCUAUAUCUAACACACACAACAAUCUGCAAACAACACACAUACAGACAAUCAGAAAAAGAAAUCAGCAAUACAAAAAAAAAAAACACACGCUGCAAAAAAAAAAAAAAACCAUGAGCCAAGAGAGAAAAAUAUACCAUAACUUCCGAACAACACACACGUACUACACUCAAGCAAACAAAAAGAAAAAACUUUCACAUUCCUUUAAUUUUUUUUCAAAAAUCCACAAAUACAUCCACAUCUUUUCUUUCUUUCCACAUAAAAUCUAUAAAGGUUUUGUGGGCGUUUUAAUCGAGCUUCAAUCAAGAUAUUGCGGUAUUCAAUUUCACCUUAUCUUUUUAAUUUAUGUAUGGAAUCUGAUGUAAUUUUAUGAUAAGUUUUGUUAUAUUUUAUUUUAUUUAUAAUUUGAUUGAAAUGAAUAGUGAGUUAAGUGUUAAGCAUAUCUCUAUUUAAUGAAUUGAGACAGUUUUAAUUGGUGGCUAUCUUAGUUUAUUUAUUUUUAUUUGUUAGUUGUUAUUUCUUAAAAAUGAACGAGUUGUGGUUGUGUUCUUGUUUUAACUUAGAUGCCAAUAAGGAUAAAGUAGAGAUUAUUAGGCUAAAACAAAACAUUGUCGCUUUUAUUUUAUCAAACAAAAAAAAAGAAAUUUAUUUUAGUAAUUCGUUAUUGUUUUGUUAGAUUAGUAAGAAAUUGCUACCUGUGUAGUGGUUAAUUUUGACAUUAACUUUAAGAGUAAAUAAAAAAUAAAAAAAAUAUAAUAUUGAUCUAAAAUUUUAUCAAGCACCUUAGAAGUUUAGAUUUGUUUAAUGUUAUUUGAUUUUUUAAGGAAUAAAUAUUUUCUCUCAACUUUAGAUGAACUUUUAGCUAUAUUUAAAAUAUUUGUUUCAAUUAAGAAUGCGGUUGCGCAUUUUUUUUUGAGACAUUUAAGAAUAAACUCAAGGAUGUGGUGACACACCUUGUCCAGUAAUAUAAUCAACUUUCAUUGAUUUAAAAUGAGACUUUUAGAUAAAGUUAUUAGGUGCGAUGCGAAGAAGACAAGUAUGUCUCUAAAUGUCAAGAUCAAGAAUGCGGUUACACAUCUAGGUUGAGACCGAUAAAAGUUCAACAAAAAAUAUAAUGCGAACAAAUCAUGGCCCGUAAUAAUAUAUUCAAAAAAUAUAUUAAGUUAAGUAUAAGUCAAUAAAAGCGACAAUGCUAAGACCACGGGACUCGAGGGAUGCCUAAUACCUUCCCCUCGGUCAACAGAAUUCCUUACCCGAAUUUUUAGUUCACAGACCAAAAAUAAAGAGUCAUUUCCUUUUGAUUAGGAAUUAAAAAGAAAGGUGACUUGGAACACCAUGACUCAUUUCCAAGUGACGACUCUGAAAAAAAUAAAAUAAUCUCUAAUCAAUAUUGUCACUUAAAUUGGAAAAACCCUUCCGCCGUGCGAAAAAGGGGUGUGACAAUAAGCAUGAACUAGGGUUUAGGGUUGAUAGCCUCCAAGAACCUUAACUGGAAUUGAACAGAUCUUGUAGAAUCCAAAUUGAAAUUGGACACGUUUUGUACAAUCCCACAAAAUUUCAAUGUCUACAAAUGUCCCCUGCUUCAAGGCUUGUCGGAGGGUAGACUUGAUGAAACUCAAAGACGAAGCUUGAAGUACACAUUCUUCCACCUUUGAGGCUUUGUGGCUUCAAAUAUGCAUAUUUGAUUUGUGAGAGAAGAGAUGAAUGACAAAUUUGAUCUCACUAUGCGUGCCAAUUUGUUUGCAACAAAUUUCAAAGGUGAUAGAAAAUAAAUUGCAAUUACAAAUAAAAUAUGAAGAAACAUAAAUAUUAUUGAUAAACAUUGUGGGUACAAAUAUGUUCCUCCCUUGAUUCUUCUCUCUCUUGGUAACGUUUUUUCUCGAACUAGGAUAAUUUGGAUUUGAUCUCUUUAUGAAUAUUCGAUGAAAUUGUGUAAUAUUCAAGAUGUCUUUUUCAAGGGAAUAUAGUAUUCUUCCUAAGAGGAAUCGAACACAUCUUGUAGAGUCCCACAAAAUUUCAAUAUUUUCAUACAUGUUUUGUUUGCAUUGGAACACAAAUAUCUGAAAUUGAUGACUAUUUUUUGACUUAUCUAACGUUUAAAAUCUAAAGAUAACAUAUCAAGUAUCAAUUGGCCACACUUUUUGAUAAAAAGCAAAUGAAAUAUUUUAUCGAAUGUGCUACCAGAACUUGUGUUGCCAUCAAUAGAUCGAAAAGCUCCAGCCUCCAGACCCACCCUCCCCUCCCAGAAAAAGGGAAAAAAGCAAAGAAGGAACCAAAUGCAAAGAUGUCAAAGCUCAUGCGAUAAUUCUGACCAUGAGGAGAACAACAGAAAAAUGUAGGGGUGUCAAAAAUGAACUCAAGCAUAGGUAACUCGCCCAAUCCGUCUAGAAAUUUUAAGGGUUGGGCUCAAGAUAAUUUGAAUUGGGUUCAAACUCAACCCAUUCAAGCCUAACACAUUUUAAGAGAAUCUUCAAUUGAGCCCAAUUCAAUCUCCAAUUUCAAUCCGUUUUAAAACUCUUUAUUAAGAUAUGUUCCUAUAUUUAAGGUAUGAAUUAUUAUCUAUUUAAUAUCUUUUAGGAUUUAUCUAUCCAUUUGUUACUUUUUUUAAAAAAAAAAAUUUGAGUUGAAAUUCAAAUUGUGAUUAUAAAAGUUAAAUAUCACUAUGUUAAAAUUAUUGAGAUUAAGCGGGUCAAGACCCAACCCGUUUUUAGCCCAUUUGAGCCCAAAGUAAACUUGGGCGGGUCAAGACCCAAUCCGAUUUCUAUUUCAACCCAUUUUAAUAUCUUCAAUUUCAACCCAACCUGCCCAUUUGACACCCCUAGAAAAAUGUAUGGUAUUUUCCUACGGGCACAAGGAGCAUAACUGAAUACUAAUUGUAGAAUGAUUUUUUAGAUUUCGUUUUUAAAAAAAAAACUACUCAUUUUUAGUAUACAAUAGUAUUUCACUUUUUAUUUUAAAUUGAGUCCCCAAAUCAUUACUUUAUUGACCUAGUUAUUGUAGAAUUUUAUUCAACCUCUAUGGGAAGUCAGACGUAAUGUUUUCAUAUGUCCAUGAAAAAUGUCAUGAUAGGAGGGGCUGGGUUUUAGUUGUCAUGCUAAUAUGAUUGAUUCUCAUUACCUGGACAAAAUUUGGUACUUUGAUGUUACAAGUAAGCUUUAAUUGAUAAGAAUAUGCACUCGUGGAAAAUACAAGAGCGAAACUCGUUGUUUGAAGCUGAAGAUGUUAAUGCUAUAUUGUCUAUACCAAUUUCUAUUGCAGGUUCUAAUGAUAGGUUAAUAUGGCACCAUACAAAAACAGGAAACUAUGGAGUUAAGCCAGGUUACUACAUCGCAAAGGAUUUGAUUGGUAGGACAAUGAAAAAUUCGGAAGCUCAAGCGAGUUGUCACUCUUUUCCAAAAUGUUUUUGGGACUUCCUGUGGAAGUUGGGAGCUUAAAUAUAAGUUUAAACACUUUUUGAGAAAAUGUGUGCCCAACUCUUUACCCGUCCAUAGUAAUUUAGCAAAAAAACUACACAGUGUAGAUAAGACUUGUAAAAUUUGUGGUCUUGGACCUGAAGAUAUAGAACAUAUGUUAUUCAAAUGUCCUUGGUCUCAACUUGUGUGGAAGCAAUGUCCUAUAAAUUGGCCUGAUAUAAAAAAUAUUACUGAUUUUUCUAUUUUGUGGUAUGACUUGUUCUUAAAUACCAAAUCUUUUGCUGAAUCUAUUAACUCGUUAAACUUGAGCGUUAAUAUUAUGUGGCAAAUUUAGAAAGGUAGGAAUAGUUGGUUGUUUAAUCAAGAAAGGUUAGAACCAAGAGAUAUUGUUUCUAGAUCUAUGUUUGAGUAUGAAGAAUAUAAUGAGUUACUAACAAAAAGUCCUUCUUCUUGUUCCUCUAGAAAUCAUCCUGUGAUUAAACUAACAAAUUUGCAAGGUGGCAUUUAUUGUUUACAGAUGCAGGUUUGCAGAAUGACGAUGGAAGGGCAAGUAUCGGUAUUGUGGCUUUGGAUAGCCUCAGUAACCUGCUUCAUGCCCAUGGAUCCCCAUGACUGCUGAAGCGAUUGCUAUUAGGAAGGCUCUUGAAUAGAGAGUGAAGAUUUUAUCAGAUGCUAAAAAUGUUAUGCUUUAUUUCGUUUCGUUCCCGUUCUUCAUAUCCUUCUUCUCAAAUCUAAGGGGGACUUAUAUUUAGAAUCUUUCUGCAGUGUGCUCCAUUUACUAUUCUUUCGUACUUUCUUCUUUUUACCACGCGAUAGGUCAGCGAAGCCUGAGCGGGCGCGGAGAAGGAAAGGCCAAACACUUCGCUUAUAGAAGUGGAAAUCCAACCUAUAUUUAUUUCCAACUAAAGGUAAAGGCGCUUUUCGCUUCACCGGAAUCCGACGUCAAUUGAUUACCGGUUGGUAGUUCCUCAUCGUGCAUUGACCGACUCCUCAUGGGGUUGAAAACAGCGCUCUGAAACCGGUGGGAAAGAAAAGCGCAACUUCAUGGGAGAUAGAAGUGUUGUGUGAAGACAUUUGGAAGCUUUCAAGCAUGUUCAAUCAUGUAGCAUUUAUAUAUAUUUCUAGAUCUGUGAACAAAAUAGCUAAUAAUUUAGCUAGAUACUCCAUCUCUUUGUUGAAGGAAAUCUCCUGGGAGAAGUUUUUCCCAAGUUGGAUCAUCCAGGAUGCAAAAGAUAUGUUUAAGCUAUGUAUUCCGUUGAUGCAAUAAUAAAAGGGGUUCUGUUUCGGAGAAGAAAAAAAAGUUACAAGUAGGCAUAAAAUACAUAUUUAAUAAUUUUUUAUCAUCAAAAGAAAACACAACUUUAUAGUUCCACUUAGUGAAGAAAAUUACAUACAAAUAUGUUGUGAAUUAAAUACUUCUCUGGUUAAUCGACUUCCUUCCACAUAGGGAAUAAUAUGUGUUCCGGGCAGACAGCAAUAAGUAUAAAGGCAGAAAAGAAAUUAAAAACAGAGCUCAUCCAUCCACUGAUGCCAAAAUCCUAAUAGUUUAGACCUAAGAGAACCCGAUAAAUGAGGCCUUCCCAAAAGUGAUUAAAGUUAAUUUCAGAUGCCUGCCCUACAACAGAAAUGCUAAAUAAACAUCUCCGAGUCUAACUCAUGUUGUACAACAGAAAUGCUAAAUGAAUCAGGCAAAAAGAAUCCACGGAAAAAUAACAAAGAAACAUCAGUUAUCUGUUGUUGGAUUACUUCCUCGAUUUCUUCCUGGAAGAUUUGGAUGAAGCCUUUGAUUGCACUGCAUUCUGAGAGGCUCCUUUUGGAUUAGCUGGCUGGUUUGACUUCGUAUCACUGCUACUGCUCGCCACCUCUUUAGCCACUGCACCUUGAGAAUCUCUAAUUUGAGCUGCUCUCGUAUCCUCUCUCUUUGGUCUGUAACUAGACCUCUCCCUCUUGGGAAGCCACCUCUCUGGAUCAGGUGGAGGUCCUGGAUUAGCUGGGUCAAAGCCCUUUGGAUAUUUUGGCUUUCUCUUCCUCUUUUUCUUCGCCUUAUCCUUACUCUUCGCUUCGUGUGUUUCAGUGGCACCAGCAUUUGGACCUUUCUCGGCUUGCUUGGCACCAGAAGUUUUCUCCAAAUUGUCGACGUCUAUUGCUUUCAAACCAAGUAGUGGUUUUAACUGCUUCUCAUAAGCUUCUGCUUUCUCAAUGUCAGCAUGGGCUGCAGUUUGGAUUAAUCCAACUAAAGCCUCAAUACUUCCAUGGCUUUUCACUAGCUGUUCAUAAAGGCGUGCGGCCUCCUCUUUCCUUCCAUGCCUGAGCUUGAAAGCAGCAGCCUCCUGCAUGAUGGUAUUGAGCUUAUUGUCUUCAGUCAUGGCAUUUGACCACCACUUGAUUGCGGAAUCAAACACAGUAUCGGCACCAUCAGUAUCUCCAGCCUCUUGAGAGAAACAAUGGUCGCAACAGUUGCAGGCUUGUGUUGAAUGUCAGGUAUUUUCGCCAAGGAAUCAGCUGCAAUCUGUGGAUGGCCAGCAGCUGCAGCAACCUGAGCCCUUGCAAGCAGGAUAACCUUGGAUCUGUCAGGAAACUUAUCUGCAUACUGUCCAAGUAUUUCUUCAGCUUUAGUAGCCUUGUUCUUUCUCACAUGUACAGCAGCUUGAAGAAGUACAGGCAUCAGGCUACCAGGGAACAUCCCAGGUAGAGCGCCAACAAGUUCUCUAGCCUGUGACAAAAAUAAACAUUGGAAAAAGACGGGGACUAAACAGUAGCAGUUGGAUGUCUAUUAAUGGGUCCCCUUGUUUCUAAUGCAUCAAUUGUUCGAAGGAGAACCAUUGCAAACCGAUGUAAAUCUUACAGAUAAUAUAACUGAGCCAUCUUAUUAGAAUGAAGUAGCAGCAGCACCCUAUUCGUAUAUACUGCUUCCCUUUGCUUCUGUGAGAGCUUCAAGUCCAGUCCACCAGCAAGCUGAAACUUCUCUGGUUCAUCAUUUUUCUCUAUUAGCUUAUCAAGUUUCCUUAGGCCAUCAGAGACAUCUUUAGGACCCUUUAAAGCAAUGAGAUUAUUUACAGCCACCGCAAGUGAAGACUCGUCGGCCAAAUUUCUUUUGACAAGAUCAGUAUAAGAUGCAACGGCCUCUUGGGUGUUCCCUAGAAUCUGGAGUGAGAAAAAAAGACAUUAAUGCUGCUAGCACCGACAACGUCAGGCAGGAUGGUGGAUGAAGCACCAAAAAGGGAGGAAGAAUCUUAAGAAGAAUGAGGAAUUGUUGUGUGAACCUACACAAAGCGAAGCAUUAACAUCCCACUCACCUUCGGCGACUAAGGCAAGUGAUGAUGAACGUGGGGAACAACCCGUAGACGUUAUGCCUAGAAUUGAGUGGGUUGUGGGGUUGACACGGCAAGGUAAGUUGUGGCGAUUACAGAUGCUUCAAUGGGGUCGAUUACAAGUUCAAGACUCUUGAGGACUUCACCUUUGACAAAAAUGAAAACAUCUGCAAAGAGUUGGAGGCACAUAAGCAUGCGGAAUAUGAGAUGAAAAAAUCAUCUCUUCCUUGGAUGUCGGCUCAUGGAUGCAUUAAGCACAAUUAAAACCAUGGAGGCCGAGAUGAAAGCACUCAAAGUGGGCAUUGAAGUUGGAGGACCCUCGUCGUUCGACAGAUAUAGGGAGGCCAAGGUUGAGGCUCCCAAGCCACCUCAAAGGCGUCUGUGAUGCGCAAGAGGUGGAGAAUUUCUUAUGGCAUUUGGAGAACUACUUCAAGUGCAGCAGGGUGAAGAGCGACGAGAACAAGAUCAACACUGUCGCGUUGUACCUCUCGGAGAUGGCCAUGCUUUGGUGGAGGCGUAAAGAGUCCGAGAUACGGAAGGGGCUUUGCACCAUCAACACUUAGGAGCUAUUCCGGGAAGAGUUCAAGAAAGCAUUCUUUCCUAACAACUUCAUCUAUGAGGCAAAGCGCAAAUUUAGGGAGUUGAAGCAGACAAACAAUAUACGAGUAUAUGUGAAGGAGUUCACCACCCUCACGCUUCAGAUUCCCAACCUCACGGAUAAAGAUAUGUUGUUCCACUUCAUGGAUGGGCUGCGAAGUUGGGCCAAGAUGGAGUUGGAGCACCAAUAGGUUAGGACUAUUGAUGAAAGUCAUCACGCAGGCCGAAGCUUUGACAGACUUUAAGCAUGACAGAGGAAAAUGAGCAGAGAAGAGAGGUAGUCAUGACCAAGGUAGAGGAGACCAUGGAAAAAGCAAAGAGAAACAACCACAUCCCAAGAAUCAUGACACCUAUAAGUCUGAUGGGAAAAAGUUUGGACAUUAGAGUGAUGUUACAGGAAAACACACACUAAAAAGGGAAACAGUUGCUACUUAUGCGGUGGGCUGCAUGGCUAUGCGAGACACCCUGAACUGAAGAAUCUUAGUGCCAUAUUACAAGAAUGGAAGGAGAAAGUUACACAAGAACCUAGGCAAGGUUUGGGCACGACGCAGUUGGGCAUGAUUGGUCUAUGUGGAGCUAUCACAAAGCAAUCGGAGAAUCCAAAAGAAUAUGGCGCACAAUAUAUAGACAUCAUGAUCAAUGGAAGACUGGCUCGUGCUAAGGUCAACACAGGUGCAGAGGCUAACAUCAUUACCAAGAGCCAAGCAAUAAAGUUGAGGUUGAGUUACAAUCCAAGUAACACUCACCUCAAGACAGUCAAUGCUCCACUGACUCCCUUGUGCUAAGUCACUCAUGGAGUAAGCAUCACGAAAGGCAAGUGUCAAGGUAAAACCAAUUUUAUUGUCGCUCUGUUAGAUAUCUUUGACAUAAUUCUUGGGCAAGAGUUUUUCCAGAAAUGUCACACGAUGACCAAUCCUUACCUCCAACGACUCUUAGUCAUGGAGCAAGAAGGAUCAUGUAUGGUGCCCCUGAUUAAGGUACUAAAGAUAGAAGGACAAGCUCAACUAUUGGCUAUGCAGCUCAUGACGGGACUUAAGAAAGAGGAGUCGACGCUCAAAGCCACCAUUGCGAGAGUGACUAAAAACAAUAGAGCUAGAGCAUUUUUGCCACCACGUAUAGAGAAAGUACUAGAAGAGAAUAAGGAUGUAAUGUCUAAGGAGUUGCACAAGGGCAUUGAUCGAGUCAAUAUUCUAUUGGUCGCGCAUGUGAUAAGACAAGAUUCAACUGUUCAUACAAGAACAAUAUGCCACGGUCGUCACAACAACAGGUGGGGAAGAGUGUCAUGAUCCGCCACCUCAUCACACCACAUAAGCGCCAUGUGGCAUAAAGUUGUCCAUUUGGAAGCAUAAGUAUGCUAGCUUUUAUGAGAAGAUUCUAAAACGAUGAAGAACUUCUUUGAAAGACUCUAGAAUAUCUAGGAAGAAUUCUUGAAAAGCCUUAGAAUAUUCUACGCAUGUAGAGAAUUCUAGAGAAAAUAUGUAGGGACUUGUGUAACAAUUAUUAUUUACAUUUUAGCCCCUAAGUUAGUAGUAUAAAUAGAGAGGCAUCCAUUUGUAAAUUAACUAAGCAAAAGAAAGCAAUCUUCCAAAGCAAUACAAAAGCCUUCUUAUAAACUAUCUUGUGUCUUUCUUCAUUCUCUUAGCGAUCUAGUAUAAAAAGGCUUACUUGAGCUUGCAAGAUCGUGAAAGAUUUGUGAGCGAGUUGUCAAGUGUCGCACGGUGUUCUUAGUUGAAGUCUAAGGCUGUCACACUAUGGCAUAAAAGACUAGGACACACUUCUACUUCAGUCCUUAGUAAAUUGUUUUCUACUAAUGUCACUACUGUUAGAAAUAAAAUAGUAGAUUGUGUAGUGUGCCCGUGUAGAUUACCUUUCCAGUCUAGUAGCAUAAAAAGUAGUAGUUGUUUUGAAUUUUUUCAUGUAGAUCUUUGGGGUCCCAACAAGACUGAUACAUAUGAUGGGAACAAAUAUUUCUUGACAAUUGUAGAAGAUUUUUCAAGAUAUAUGAUGAGUCCACAAUUUGGAAUCAUUUAGGGCUUUAUUUUAAUAGAAUUAGUGUCCUCAAAUGCAUAUUUUGUCUCAAUAACUGAUGUAAAUCCUUAAGUUUCGGGUAUUUGGAGUUUGAGGCAAAGCAUGGACACUACUUGGCAAAAAGGAACAAAACGGCUGAAAAGAUGAAAAAAAGAAGGCCUGAGGAUCGCCUAAUGCAUUCAGCGAGUAGCCAAAAGGCCUUAACCUCGCCCAAAGUUCUGGUGUGCUAAGCCCUGAAGGAAAAGAUCAAGUCGGCGAUUAAAAGGAUUAGUCGGCGUGUCGCCGAACAGUUCCGCGAAGCAGUACUAUAUCGCCCAAUGAUUCAGAACGCGAAGAUGUUGAAGGCAAGAGCUGAACGGCGAUGAAACAGACCAAAGGGCGGAUCGCCGAGUGCAUCGGCGAUCCCGACUAACUGCGCCGAGUGAUCCUUCGCAGCACAUUUUUUGAUAACUAUAAAUAUUAGUUUGAAUUUUUAUUUUAGUAUGCAAUUUUAGAUACAACAUUUUAUUUUCUAAGUUGUCAAGUAGGGAAUAUUUUUGCUUAGCUUUUGAAGAUUUGAAGACUUUCAACUCCAAGAAAUUGGAAGUGGGUGUUGAAGAUUCUUCAUCUUAGACUCGUUUAAAGUGAAUAUAAAUCAUACCCAGUUGAUGUUACUUCGAUUUGGUAUCAUUUUCUUCCUUUUCUCUAUGUCUAGCUAAAACCCCAAUUUUGGGGUGUGAUUUUGUGAAUAUGGGUUAAAUUUACUGUUGGGUGUUGCUUAUUGUUGGUAUAUUUGUUGUUUAAAUGUGAUUUCGUUUAGUAGUUGUGUUUGAACUUAAUGAGAUUGUAGUUGCAAAUAUGAUUUCAUCUUAGUGUUUUUGGCUUGCUUGAGAGAGAGGUUUUAAAACUAAUGACUACUAAAUCGAUAGCCGGUGGUUAUUGGGUCGUCUUGGGUUCAGCUCGAGAGAGUGAAUCCUAGUCCCUCUCCCACACUUUCAGCUCAAGAGAGAGAAUGGACUAACGCGGAGGUUGUGCUUAAAAGUGACAACUCGGUGUUCGAGAGAAACCGAGUUGAUUCGGGGUAAGUUGCUCGAGAGAGAAUUUACCCCCACUAAAGUCUAGCCUAGUUACAAAUAUUCAGCGAUAUACUAUCAAUAGCAUUUACCCGAAAGUGUCUUUUAUCCCAUAUUCCUAUCAUAUCCCAAGAAUCCCGUCUCCCUAUCUCGUUUCCUUAUAUUUUUGUCGCUUUUGUUGAUUAGUUAAUACAAACCCCCCUUGAUAAUUGACAUUAGUGUCACCCCUUAAAUUUAUUAUGUUUGUAUUCGAUAAUGUUUAUAGCUAUGAUUGAUUAGAACUUGAUUUUACUUUUCUAUUAAUUCUCGAAACCACUCCCUAUGGGAACGAUCCCAACCCUUGGUUGGGUUAUAUCACUACACGCGAUCGUUGGCACUUGAACCGAAGUAGUGUCCUGAUACGUGAAGUCAAUAUACAUGGUUGUUUCUUGUAUAUCCCUUGAAUACUUUAUGAAUUAUACCAAAAAUUAGUUUGGAAAAUUAGUAAAAAAUAAUUAAGACUGAUAAUGGUACUAAGUUCAUCAACACAAUAUGCGAUCAAUUAUUUAAACAAUUAGCAAUUGUUCAUCAGACAACAUGGUUUACACUCCUCAACAGAAUGAUGUGGCUGAAAGGAAACAUAGACAUAUUCUUGAAGUGACUAGGGCCAUUAGAUUACAAGCUGAUAUACCUACUAAAUUUUGGGGGCACUGUGUACGGGCUGUAGCUUAUUUGAUAAAUAGGCUUCCUACAUCAGCUAUAAAUGGUAAAUCGCCAUUUGCCAAAUUCUAUGAAAAAGGAUCCAUUUCUUACUCAUUUGAAAGUACUAGGUUGUUUAUGCUUUUGCUGAUAUGCCUAAUCAACAUGAUAGGCUAUUAUCUAGGUCUAGCAUAUCUGUCCAUAUGGGUUAUUCUGAAUUACAAAAAGGAUACAUUUUGUAUGAUUUAAUUGAUAAAGUAUUCUUUGUACUAUUCAAUGAAACAGUGUACCCAUUCUUCAAUGAAAAAGCUACAUCAGUUCCUGUCUUUAAAGACUGAGACUCAUUCAGUUUUGGAUUACUCAACUCAAUGGUCUAGCAUUCCUGUUAGUUCACAACAACCUAGUAAAUAUACAAGCACCGAGGAAGGGUCUAGGAUAACAAAUGAUAUAACCAGAGAGGAAGAUCAACACAAUCAUUUGAUAGUUGAUUUGAAUGGUGAACCAUUACAGUUACCUAUACAACAACCUCCUGAGAACAAUCAACCAGAAAGGAGAUCCACUAGAGGCAGUAAGCCACCUAUUUGGAUGAAAGAAUUUGUAUCUCUCAACAUCCAUCAGGAUUAAAGCAAUGGUCUCCAACAAUACAUGAGUUAUGAUGAAAUAUCAAACAAGUAUAGUACUUAUAUAACUGCACUCUCCAACUGUGUAGAACCAAAGUCUCUCAACAUCCGAAAGUCUCUUUUUUAUUUGAAUAUACAGAAGAGUCCACGGUCAGUGAACCCACCCUUGAACCCAAGCCUUGUGAAAAAUAUUCUAAGGCAAGGGUCUAAGGAAAGGUUCAAGGACGGUGGAAGAGUUUAUGGUCAGUGAACCCAUCCUUGAACCCAAGCCUUGUGAAAAAUAUUCUAAGGCAAGAGUCUAAGGAAGGGUUCAAAGAAGGUGAAAGAGUCCACGGUCAGUGAACCAAUCCUUGAACCCAAGCCUUGCGAAAAAUAUUCCAAGGCAAGGGUCUAAGGAAGGAUUCAAGGACCGUGGAAGAGUCCACGGUCAGUGAACCCAUCCUUGAACCCAAGCCUUGUGCAAGGCAAGGAUCUAAGGAAGGGUUCAAGUAAGGUGGAAGAGUCCACGGUCAGAGAACCCAUCCUUGUAAAAAAUAUUAUUCUAAGGUAAUACUUCAUUGACACAUUCAAGGAAGGUAGAAUGGUCCACGGACGGUAGACCCGUCUGUAGAGAUUGAUUUAGAAAAAUAAAACUUGUUAGUGAAGUCUAAAAUAAUCCUAGACCCUACAUAAGUCUUUUAAACCUAAAAUUUAACCAUUCCAAAUCAUUCUUUAAAUUUUCCUAAAUCUCUCCAAGUUCUUUCCCCAAAUAUUUCUCUCUCUAAAAGAAGAAAAAGAAGUCAAGCUAGGGUUUUCAAGACCAAGUCUCCUAAUCCUCCAUCGAUAGCAAGUUUUUGGCAUCAAGGUAUGAUAGUUUUCAUCCAUGGAUUUCUUUCAUUCAUGGAGUUCCCAAAUUCUCCUAUUUUCAAAGUUACAAAUCCCCAAUUGAGCUAGGGUUUUCUUCAAUUGCAAUGAGUUCUCUUCAAUGUUGAUUUAAAUGAUUGAAUAAUAAUCUAUUAUGCAUGAAUUGAUGAAAUACUAUGAUUUUUAUGAUGAUUCUCCAUGAACCCAUGUAAAUCUGAUGUUUUCCAAUUAUGAUGAUAUGAUGUGGGUCUUGAACUAUGAAAGGUGAAUUAUGGAAUUCUGCAUGUUCUUAUGGAAUUGAUGAGACAUGAAGUAGAUUUCUUUGAGAGUAAAAGCGUAUAUGUUGUUGUUGUGGUUAAUUAUUGUGAAAGGAUUGCUCACAUAGCUAACUUGUGCAUGAAUGUGAAAGGUUUUCUCACACGAAAGAUUCUAAGGUUGAAAGGUCUUCUUCACCUAAAAUGAAUCAAAGAUAAGGAGCUAUUCUAAUGACACCUAGCUUGGAUUGGUUACUUCAUUGUACCUUACCAUUGGAUGACAUAUGACUUAGCUUGGAUUGGUAAGAUGCCAUGCCCUUCCGUGGAUAAUAAAGACAAGUUAAGAAAAUAACUAUUCCAUGGAAUUUACGCUUAGCACCGAGAGGAUAUUAAGAUGGGAGCUCUCUCGUUAGUAGAGGCCGAGUUUCUAGAAGCUAUCUCUCUAUCCUAUACCUAUGUGCCCCCAUAGGAUGAUUGUCAUAGAUAGACAUUAGCUAGAGGAUCCACAUAAGCUAGAAGUUGAUGGUCUUACCUUGGCAAGUAGUACACCCAUUUUUGGUGUGGGGUAGACACCAGAUUCCGUGUUGUUAGCUCACAUGGUCUUAUAUGUCGGUUAAAGGUAAAUCUCCCACAAUAAUGAACUAAGGUUACUUCAAAAAGAAUCUCACAUGUGACUUAAGAUGAUGUCUAUUUGCAUUGAUCAUGUUUUAUGACUUAUGGUUUCUAUCUCUCAAGAUUUAUGUUUUAGCUUGAUCAUUGCUUACUUAUAAAAAUGUCCUGUUUUAGCAUGUUUAAAUGUUUUUUGCAUAACUAUCAUACUUGGUACAUUAUUUUGUACUAACGCAUACUCUUGCCUACAUUUCCCCAAAUGCAGGGUCUGACAGUCAAGGUUCUCAGUUUCGUGGUAAGAAGUUGAUUUGAGAGAUUUUGAGCUUUGGUGAGUCCUCAUGCUUCGAGGACAAAUUUUCAUUGUUUCAAUUUUCUUUCUUACUUUAAGUUUUGGACAUGAUGUAUAGGCUAGGCCCAAUUUGAUUCUUAUGUACUAGAUGACUAAUGAGACAAGUGUUUAGACUUCCGCUUUACUUUUAUAAAACUCUUGAACUUGAAAUGUUGUUUUUUACCUCUCUUCAUUCCAUUUCUUAUGUUAUGGAUGCUAAGUGGCUUGUAUGGGGCCUUUCGGGGUCCUAUACGCCAUGUUAUUCCUAGGGGGUACCUUGGGUCGUGACAAACUUGGUAAUCUGAGCAUAAGGUUUAGAAAGGUCCUAGGAAGUCUCAUAAGCCACGUCAAGUAUAGUCUUGUUCAUGAGUGUGAAGCAUGCCACAUUUAUCAAUGAGAGGCUAUAAGAUGAUUAGGAAACUCCAGUUCUUUGAUUACUCUAAAGUCAUGUGGUAGAGUGUAACUCUAUAUGUCUUUCUCCUAAUCCCUAUAUGGCUCUUUUCGGGACAUGGCCCCUCGAAGAGUUUACGUUAGAAGGAAAGCGAAUGAGAAGCUCCUCCUCAAGUUUUGGUCGACCCUUUGGCCGAGCAAGUGACUAGUGCGGAGUUUAGGGCUGCUUUUUAAGUGUUGGCUCAAGCCAUGACGGCUUAAGCCAAUAGGGAGGUUGUGGGCCCCGUGAACCCAAAUGUGGGUACGACGACAUCUAGAGUGAGGGACUUUACUAGAAUGAAUCCCCAGGAGUAUCAUGGGACCAAGGUUGAGGAAGAUCCUCAAGAGUUUAUUGAUGAAGUGUAUAAGGCGGCGAUGAUCAUGGAAGUGACACUGGUGGAAAAGGUGGAAUUGGCCAAGGUUCCUCCAAUGCUCCUUCUAAGUUCAACAAAAAUAGGGUGUCUAACCCUAAGCCUCAAGGAGGGAAUGGUAGUGGAUCAUCAUUGCCUAUGUCUACUUGUGCUAGGUGUGGGAAGAAGCACGAGGGUAAGUGCCUAGCCGGCACGGAUGCUUGCUUCGGUUGUGGUAAAAGUGGUCAUAAGAUGAGGGACUGCCCAAUGCUUACGGCUAAAAGAAAAGUGGGCAAGCAAGCUCCACCUAGUGGUUCGGGUUCAAAUGCUCCCAAGCAAAACCGAUUCUAUGCACUCCACACUCGUGGUGAACAAGAGGGUUCUCCCGAUGUGGUUACCGAUAUGUUGAAAGUCUUCCUGCUUGAAGUUUAUGCUUUACUUUACCCUGGUGCUACCUUGUCUUUUGUGACGCCAUAUGUGGCGAUGAGGUUUGAUACCCUUUUCUAUCUCUACUCUUGUUGGUGAUUCUAAUGUGGCUAAGAGGGUCUAUAGAAAGUGUCCCAUCUCCUUGUCUCAUAGAAUUACUUUUGUUGACUUGGUAGAGCUAGAUAUGCUAGGUUUUGAUGUCAUCCUUGGUAUGGAUUGACUGCACUCAUGUUAUGUUUCUGUUGAUUGUAGAACUCGUGUAGUCAAGUUUCAGUUCCCGAAUGAGCAUGUCCUAGAAUGGAAAGGGGGAAAUUCUAUGCCUUAGGGUCAGUUUGUUUCUUGUCUUAAAACUAGAAAGAGGAUUUCUCAGGGUUGCAUUUACCAUCUAGUUAGGAUAAGGGAUGUAGAUUCUCAAAACACCUACUCUUGAGUCAGUCCCCAUUGUUAACGAGUUUCCGAAAAUGUUCCCAGAUUAUCUAUCCGGUAUUCCUCCCAAAAGGGAAAUAAACUUCGGUAUUGAUGGAAUAGGAUGAAGAAAGAUACUGCAGAAUUUGUGGCUAAGUGUCCCAAUUGUCAACAAGUGAAACUUGAACAUCAAAAGUCGGGAGGUUUAUCUCAAGAUAUUAGUAUCCCUACUUGGAAGGGGGAAGAUUUGAACAUGGACUUCAUUGUUGGUUUGCCUCACACCUGGCGACAACAUGACUCAAUUUGGGCUAUUGUUGAUCGGAUGACGAAAUCGCCUCAUUUUAUCCACGUCAGGGUUUUUUUUUCGGCGGAGGACAACGCCAAGUUAUAUUUGAAGGAAAUGGUAAGGUUGCAUAGAGUGCCCUAUCUCCAAUCGUGGUACCCAAUUCACUUCUCAAUUUUGGAAAUCUUUCCAAAAGGGUCUUGGUACUCGUGUUAAGCUUAGUACGGCCUUUCACCCACAAACCGAUAGGCAAGCGGAGCGUACUAUCUAAACCUUCAAAGAUAUGUUGAGAGAAUGUGUAAUUGACUUCAAGGGUAAUUGGGAUGAUCACUUACCUUUGAUGGAGUUUGCAUACAACAAUAGCUAUCACUCAAGCAUUGGUAUGGCUCCAUUUGAGGCCCUAUAUGGUGGGUGUAGAUCUCCAAUAGGUUGGUUUGAGGUGGGUGAAGUUGCCCUUAUAGGUCUCGAGUUGGUACAUGAGGCUAUGGAGAAAGUUCGACUUAUUAGAGAGAGGUUGAAAACAGCUCAAAGUCGACAAAAGUCCUAUGCCGAUGUGAGAAGAAAAGAUCUUGAGUUUGAGGUAAAUGAUUGGGUCUACUUGAAAAUUUCACCCAUGAAGGGUGUAAUGAGAUUUGGGAAGAAAUGGAAGCUUAGUCCCCAUUAUGUGGGCCCAUAUCAGAUUUUGAGACAAAUUGGCAAGGUUACUUAUGAACUUGAAUUGCCUAGUGAGUUGGCAUUCGUGCAUUGUCUCCUUGUUGAAGAAGUGUGUUGGAGAUCCGACAUCUAUAGUCCCCUUAGAAGAUUUGGGAGUUGAGGAGAAUCUUUAUACGAGGAAAUUCUGAUUGAGAUUUUAGACCGGCAAGUUAAAAAGUUGAGAAAUAAAGAAAUUGCAUUAGUGAAAGUUAUUUGGAGGAAUCAGUUAGUUGAGGGUGCUACUUGGUAGGCCGAGGCCGAUAUGAUAUCCUGAUAUCCUCAUCUCUUUCCCCCCAUCCCUACUUUAGCAUGAGGUAUUUAGUCCAUCAUGGUUUACUCCUUUGGUGUCAUGUAAGGCUGGCAAACGGACAUGACCGAUUUUAUCGGAACCGGUCCUCGUUACCGGAUUUCCUUACCGGAACCGGGUCUUACCGGAACCGGUUUUACCAGAAAUUUCCAAAGGUUCCGUCCGAUCCCUUAGUUACCGGAUUGGAACCGGUUUGGACCGGACCGGAACCGGUUCUUACCGGAUCAUUGUGUACCGAUAAUUUUUUUUAUUUUUUUAUUAACUUUAAUUAUUAUAUAAUAUUAUAUUAUUAAUUAAUAAAAUUAUAUUAUUAAAAAACUUCAAUUUAAAACUUCAAACUUUAAAGUUACUUUAAAGUUUCAAUUGAAUUUAAGUUUAAACUUUAAACUUUAAANNNNNNNNNNNNNNNNNNNNNNNNNNNNNNNNNNNNNNNNNNNNNNNNNNNNNNNNNNNNNNNNNNNNNNNNNNNNNNNNNNNNNNNNNNNNNNNNNNNNNNNNNNNNNNNNNNNNNNNNNNNNNNNNNNNNNNNNNNNNNNNNNNNNNNNNNNNNNNNNNNNNNNNNNNNNNNNNNNNNNNNNNNNNNNNNNNNNNNNNNNNNNNNNNNNNNNNNNNNNNNNNNNNNNNNNNNNNNNNNNNNNNNNNNNNNNNNNNNNNNNNNNNNNNNNNNNNNNNNNNNNNNNNNNNNNNNNNNNNNNNNNNNNNNNNNNNNNNNNNNNNNNNNNNNNNNNNNNNNNNNNNNNNNNNNNNNNNNNNNNNNNNNNNNNNNNNNNNNNNNNNNNNNNNNNNNNNNNNNNNNNNNNNNNNNNNNNNNNNNNNNNNNNNNNNNNNNNNNNNNNNNNNNNNNNNNNNNNNNNNNNNNNNNNNNNNNNNNNNNNNNNNNNNNNNNNNNNNNNNNNNNNNNNNNNNNNNNNNNNNNNNNNNNNNNNNNNNNNNNNNNNNNNNNNNNNNNNNNNNNNNNNNNNNNNNNNNNNNNNNNNNNNNNNNNNNNNNNNNNNNNNNNNNNNNNNNNNNNNNNNNNNNNNNNNNNNNNNNNNNNNNNNNNNNNNNNNNNNNNNNNNNNNNNNNNNNNNNNNNNNNNNNNNNNNNNNNNNNNNNNNNNNNNNNNNNNNNNNNNNNNNNNNNNNNNNNNNNNNNNNNNNNNNNNNNNNNNNNNNNNNNNNNNNNNNNNNNNNNNNNNNNNNNNNNNNNNNNNNNNNNNNNNNNNNNNNNNNNNNNNNNNNNNNNNNNNNNNNNNNNNNNNNNNNNNNNNNNNNNNNNNNNNNNNNNNNNNNNNNNNNNNNNNNNNNNNNNNNNNNNNNNNNNNNNNNNNNNNNNNNNNNNNNNNNNNNNNNNNNNNNNNNNNNNNNNNNNNNNNNNNNNNNNNNNNNNNNNNNNNNNNNNNNNNNNNNNNNNNNNNNNNNNNNNNNNNNNNNNNNNNNNNNNNNNNNNNNNNNNNNNNNNNNNNNNNNNNNNNNNNNNNNNNNNNNNNNNNNNNNNNNNNNNNNNNNNNNNNNNNNNNNNNNNNNNNNNNNNNNNNNNNNNNNNNNNNNNNNNNNNNNNNNNNNNNNNNNNNNNNNNNNNNNNNNNNNNNNNNNNNNNNNNNNNNNNNNNNNNNNNNNNNNNNNNNNNNNNNNNNNNNNNNNNNNNNNNNNNNNNNNNNNNNNNNNNNNNNNNNNNNNNNNNNNNNNNNNNNNNNNNNNNNNNNNNNNNNNNNNNNNNNNNNNNNNNNNNNNNNNNNNNNNNNNNNNNNNNNNNNNNNNNNNNNNNNNNNNNNNNNNNNNNNNNNNNNNNNNNNNNNNNNNNNNNNNNNNNNNNNNNNNNNNNNNNNNNNNNNNNNNNNNNNNNNNNNNNNNNNNNNNNNNNNNNNNNNNNNNNNNNNNNNNNNNNNNNNNNNNNNNNNNNNNNNNNNNNNNNNNNNNNNNNNNNNNNNNNNNNNNNNNNNNNNNNNNNNNNNNNNNNNNNNNNNNNNNNNNNNNNNNNNNNNNNNNNNNNNNNNNNNNNNNNNNNNNNNNNNNNNNNNNNNNNNNNNNNNNNNNNNUUGAUAAAUAUAAGCAACUUGAAGCAUUUCAAAUAAAGAAUUUCAUCUAGUGCAUACUUAUUUUGGAACUUUUCUCUCAACUCUUAUAUUUUGAACAAUCUUUUGAAAUCCCUUGACUUUCUAUUAUCUUGUAUGAUGCAUACUAAGUGGCUUGUGUAGGGCCUCUCGGGAUCCUAUACGCCAUGUUACGCCUAGGGUGUACUUUGGAUCAUGACAGUGUGAUUCACUUGGAUCGCCUUAAAAUUAUACUGUAUACAUUGAAAAAUGGAAAGUGAUGGUAUCAGCAUUUUCAGAAGCUCAACCCAAUGCUCAAAAUUCAAUGGAAAAUAGUAAAGUAUGAAGAAUACCGAUAUUUCCCAAAUAGAAGUCAGAAAAAAGUGACCGUUCAAGAAUGAUACAACUCGAUUAGGUGCAACGAAUUCAAGAAUAACAAGCAUAUGAGCAAAAUGUGGACACAAACCAAUGAGAUAAAUAGGAGAAAAAAAAGAAUACCGACCUUAAGUGCAAACACAUGGCAGGACCAAAUUAGAAUAGAGUACACUGCUUUCAACAAAAGACACCACCAGAUUUGGGCACAAAAAAGAACACACGUACAAGAGAUCUUUGAGGAACAAAAUAAGAAGAAGGAGAAAAUUGGAAGAUGAACAGAAAAAACAAGGAAAAUAUCAAGAAGCGGAAAGGAGAAUACAAAAAUUAUACCUUAGCUGAAUGGAGGAAAUGGAUCGAUGCAUUAGAGCUUGAAAAACUGGCUAGCAAAAGGAUGAAGAAGCUCUGAAUCUUCUAAUUUCAAUUUGGAAACAUACUAUACUUUUGUUUCUCUUGUGUUUUUUACUUUAAUUUAACUCGAUGUACAUACCUUUUUGUUUUGUUUUGUUUUGACUAUUUCAUCAACAUGAGUAUAAUCAUUAGUAUUAAUUCUAAAUCUAGGAGGUGGCAAAUUUUUAGAAUUAGAACUACUUCCUCCUCCCCUAUUAUUUUUUCUUUUCGACAUUGGUCUUUUACCACUAUAUUUUUCAAAAUUCAUGUUCAAGUUUAAAAUAAUUAAUAUUAUGAAAAACAAGCAAAGAUAAUAUAACAAAAAAAUAAAAUAACUUAAUUAAUAAACAAAUAAAAAUUAAAGUUGGAACGAAUGUACCGAACGUCUACGUAAAAGUAGACGUAUAACCAAAGCCGGAAUUGAGAGAUGCCAAUUGAAGCUUCCGAUUUACUUCAAAUAAAUCUCCGAAAUUCGAACUCCAAGUCAAUAUCACAAAAUAAUAAUUAUGAAUUUAUGAGAGAUUGAAAAUUAAGAGAUUUUAUAAGAUAGUUUGUGAAUUUGUGAUUUAAAUGAAAAAAUAUGAGUAUAUUUAUAGUGUUAAGGGGUAGAGAAGGGUAGGGGCUGUUUGGAGCCGUUUUGGGCCCCAGCCCAACGGUUAAAAGGGCCCAACGGCUCCUUAAACGUUCACAUUUUUAAAAAAAAAAAAAAAAAAAAAAAAUUAAGAACCGUUGAACCGGACCGGAACCGGUUCUUACCGGACCGGAUCAAUCGGAUAAAAAUCCGGGUUCCGUUUCGGUACCGGUUUCGGUACCUAUAAGACCGGUUCAACCGGUACCGGUCUUACUGGUACCGGUCUUACCGGUACGGGAACCGGACCGGACCGGACAAAAACCGGUCUGCUUGCUAGCCUUAGUGUCAUGUGUCUUAGAUAUUUCCAUGAUUUCCUCAUUUGUGCAUGUUCAUGAAAAAGCUUGAAAUUUUUGGGAAAAAGAAAAAUAAUAAGUUAGUUGAUUGAUUUCUUCAUGUUUAUAUGCAUUUGAAUAUGAGUUGCAUAUAGACCUUAUGAAAUGAUGUUUUGAAUAUGUUUUGGCUUGGAGUUCAUUUUCCUCCUCGGAUAUGUGCAUUCAUGUUGGGCUGUCUCAAUGGUGCAAAGAAUAAAACAUAUUACAAUUAAGCAAAACUCCCGAUGCAUAAUGCAUUGCACCACAUCAAGUGAUGUGGUGCAAUGAAAAGUGUUUCACCUCGAAAAAAAAGAAUAGUGGAAAGGUCUAAGAAAGGGUUCAAGGACGGUGGAAGAGUCCAGAGUCGGUGAACUCAUCCUUGAACCCAAGCCUUGUGAAAAAUAUUCUUAGGCAAGGAUCUAAGGAAGAGUUCAAGAAAGAUGGAAGAGUCCCCGUUCAGUGAACCCAUCCUUGUGAAAAAUAUUCUAAGGCAACGGACGGUCUAAGGAAGGGUUCAAAGUAGGUGAAAGAGUCCAUGGUUAGUGAACCCAAGCCUUGUGAAAAAUAUUCUAAGGCAAGGGUCUAAGGAGGGUUAAAGGACGGUGGAAGAGUCCACGGUCAAUGAACCCAUCCUUAAACAAAAGCCUUGUGAAAAAUAUUCUAUGGCAAGGGUCUAAGGAAGGGUUCAAGGAAGGUGGAAGAGUCCACGGUCAGUGAACCCAUCCUUGAACCCAAGCCUAGUAAAAAAAUUAUUCUAAGGCAAUGAUUCACGGACAGGUUCAAGAACAGUAGAAUAGUCCACGGAUGGUAGACCUAUCCGUGGAGAUUGACUUAGAAAAAUAAAACUCUCUAAUUAUUUUUUUCAAGGGUAUAUGGGUCUUUUCCUAUUCAUCUAAUACCUAAACUAGGUCGUUUUAAUCCUAAUCCUAGACCCUAUAUAAGCCUUUUAAGCCUAAAAUUUAAACAUUCUAAAUCACUCUUUAAAUUUCCCCAAAUCUCUCCAAAUUAUUUCCUCAAAUAUUUCUCUCUCUAAGAGAAGAAGAAGUCAAGGUAGGGUUUUCAAGACCAAGUCUCAUAAUCCUCCAUUGAUUGCAAGUUUUUGGCAUCAAGGUAUGAUAGUUUUUUAUCCAUGGAUUCUUUCAAUUCAUGGAGUUCCCAAUUUUCCUAUUUUCAAAGUUAGAAAUCCUCAAUUGAGUUAAGGUUUUCUUCAAUUGUCAGGGGUUUUCUUCAAUGCUGAUUUAAAUGAUUGAAUUAUGAUCUAUUAUGCAUGAAUUGAUGAAAUACUAUGAUUCUUAUGAUGAUUCCCCAUGAACCCAUGUAACUCCCAUGUUUUUCAACUAUGAUGAUAUGAUGUGGGUCUUGAACGAUGAAAGGUGAAUUAUGGAAUUAUGCAUGUUCUUAUGGAAUUUAUGAGACAUGAAGUAGAUUGCUUUGAGAGUUAAAGCAUAUAUGUUGUUGUUGUGGUUAAUUAUUGUGAAAGGAUUGCUCACAUAACUAACUCAUGCAAGAAUGUGAAAGGUUUUUUCACAUUAAGGAUUCUAAGGUUGAAAGGUCUUCUCACCUAAAAUGAAUCAAAGAUAAGGAGUUAUUCUAAUGAAACCUAGCUUGGAUUGGUUACUUCAUUGUACCUUUCCAUGGAUGACAUAUGAAUUAGCUUGGAUUGGUAAGAUGACUUGCCCUUCCAUGGAUAAUAAAGACAAGUUAAGAAAAUGACUAUUCCGUGGGAGUUACGCUUAGCACCGAGAGGAUAUUGAGAUGGAAGCUCUCCCAUUAGUAAAGGUCGGGCAUCUAGAAGCAAUCUCUUUAUUCCAUACCUAUGUGCCCCCAUAGGAUAAUUGUCUUAGAUAGAUAUUAGCUAGUGGAUCCACAUAAGCUAGAAGUACAUGGUCUUACCUUGGCAAGUAGGACACCCCUUUUUGGUGUGGGGUAGACACCAGAUUCCGUGUUGAUCACAUGAUCUUAUAUGUCGGUUAAAGGUAAAUCUCCCACAAUAAUGAACUAAGGUUACGUCAAGAAGUAUCUCACAUGUGACUUAAGAUGAUGUCUAUUUGCAUUGAUCAUGUUUUAUGACUUAUGGUUUCUAUCUCUCAAGAUUUAUGUUUUAGCUUGAUCAUUGCUUACUCAUGAAAAUGUCCCUCUUUAGCAUAUUUUAAAUGUUUUAUGCAUAACUAUCAUACUUGGUAUAUUGUUUUGUACUAACGCAAACUCUUGCCAACAUUUUCCCAAAUGUAGGGUCCGACAGUCAGGGUUCUCAGUUUCGUGGUUAGAGGUUUAUUUGAGAGAUUUCGAGCUUUGGUGAGUCCUCAUGCUUCGAGGACAGAUUUUCAUUGUUUCAGUUUUGUUUCUUACUUUCAGUUUUGGACAUGAUGUAUGGGCUAGGCCCAAUUUCAUUCUUAUGUACUAAAUGGCUAAGGGUAUCUCCAACUCUAAUAUCUAUUUUUACUCUCCAAAUAUUGAGUUCUCUAUUUUAUGAGAUAACCAACUCCAACCCAAUUCUCAAUUUUACUCUCUAAAAAAGAAUCUUUUUUUUCUCUCCUCAAUAUUAUAUUAUUAUUUCUAUUUCAUUCUAAUUUUCUUAUUUCAUAAUAUACAUCCUUUAUUUCUUUUUCAAAUAAUCACUUUAUAUAAUUUUCAUGUAAUAUAAAAAUUUACUUUUUCAAAUUUUUACUUCAUAUAAAAUUAUAUUUUUUCCUCAAAUUCUAAAAAACAUAAAUUUCAAGCUAAUAUUAUAUAAUAUACAAAUUAAUGGACAAUUCAAAUAAAAUUGAAAUUAUUAAUGAAAUAUAAUUACAUAAAUACUCUACUUUUAAGAUUAUUAUAUUGCCCCCAUAAAUGUUCUAUUAGUGCAAUACGAAGUUCAAAAUGAACAUUUUUACCCUUAAUUAUUUUAUGUCUAGCUAAAGAUUGUUCAAAUUCGAGAUUUUCAUGCAACAAGAACAACUACGAAUAAUUGAAAAAAGAAAUCAACAAGCACAACUGCAAUCACAACUACACUAAUUAUGUGGAUCAUACACUAAUAUUUUCCGAAUAUUCUAAAAUCUGAAAACGACCUACCAGAUUACUAAAUUAAUGUUGUGAUAAAAUUAUUAUGUUAUGCAUUGUUAUCUUUGAUUUAAAUUAUUAUGUUAUGUAUUGUUAUCUUGUAUUUAAAUUAUUAUGUUAUGUAUUGUAUUUUUAAAUUAAAAUUUUCAUCUUAUCAUUUUAAUUUUGUGCAUUCUUCAUAGUGAAAAUUAAUGAUGAUAUCAAAUAAUAUUAAAGUGACGAAAAUUUUAAAAAAUUGAAACAUUACUAAUUCAGGAUGAAAGUAGUAUAUAUUAAAUAAUAUAUUUUUUAAAUUGUUGUAUUACAUUUAAAAUGGAUUACUAAUAUUAGAGAUAUAAUUAAUGGCCUUAUAUGAAAAAUAAUAUGUUAAUUACAAAAUAAUAGAAAUAAUUAUAAAAUAAUGAAAAAGUGAAAUAGAGAGGUGAAUAGUAGUUCUCCCAAUUCACCACUCUAUAAAUGGAGAAUAGAGGGUCAUUUAGAGAAUGGUUGGAGAGCCCAUUCUCUAUUUUACUCUCCAAAUGUAGAGAAUGGAGGGUAAAAUAGAGGUGGGUUGGAGAUGGUCUAAUAAGAUAAGUGUUUAGACUUCCGCUUUACUUUUAUAAAACUCUUGAACUUGAAAUGUUGUUCUUUACCUCUCUUCAUUCUAUGCCUUAUGUUAUGAAUGCUAAGUGGCUUGUAUGGGGACUUUCGGGGUCCUAUAUGCCAUGUUACGUCUAGGGGGUACUUUGGGUCGUGACAAAAGAUAUCUCAACUAGUGCUAUUCGUGGAUAUAAUAUAAUUAUAAUGUCUUAGUUCCUUGACCAAUUCCUCACAUUUAUGGCAUAGUGCUAUUCAUGGAUAUAAUAAUUGAAUAUCCUUAAAAGUAACCAGGAUGGGAUAAAUCAUUGGGUUCUAACAGAUUGUUAGAAUGAGAACUUCUAAUAAAAAUAGGCUGCACCUCCAAUAAUUAUGCACAACAAAAUGAUGUCAAUACAGAAGUUUCAGCUAGAUCUCAGUUGAAAAGGGAAAAGACUUGUUAAAUCUGGUAACAUCAAAAGAUAGAAGUACAAUCCUGCAAACUGCCUGAACUUACAGAGAAUUGCAUAAUAUAGAGGAAGCUCAAUUUACCUGGUUAAUCAUGUCCUUAAGCCUAACAUUCGUAUUCUUAAGGUCAGAUGUAGCCUUGUCGAUCUGUCCACAAAUUAAAGCAAAUUAGCACAAGUUUUGAACUCUUUCCUUUAAACUGACUAAGUAAUUACAAUAAGAUUUUAUGACCUUAGACUCAAUCUUAUCCAUCAGAGGACUUGCCUAUCAAACUCCUUCAUAGAUUAGAUAAUCAUUAAUAUCCACAAUAUAGGAGCAAAACAGACCACACAAAAAACCCCAGACCUCAUUCAUAUCACUGACCAUAUUUUUCAAAGUAUCAAUACUUUUUUAUAUGACCUGCAAACCUUGAUCCUAUGAGAAGUGGGAACAAAACCAUACAUCGGUAUUUAGGAACCAACAAGCCAUCAAUAAGAUGUAAUAAAAGGCAAAAAACUUAAGAUGAAUCAUGCACAAGACCUUAAUGAAAUAUUCCAAGAAAAUACAUGCAUGUUACAUUUUGCAAAAUUCAUAGUCUUGUUGGAAUUGACUUGAUUCUUCAGUUUGUUGAAAGUAAUCAUCAUCAAAUUGUCCAUUUUGUAUCCAUUCCAAAUAUAGAAAGAAAUGAUAAACAUAUCAUCGGGAUAAAGGAAUUGUAUAACAUUGAAGCGGAUAAAUGAUUAGCGUGGAGUGGAAAAACCUUUGGAACGAAUGCAACUUUAUACCCUAAAUCAAAUUUAAUUUCUGCACGAGAACCUGAACCUCCCCAUCCACCAGAUUGUUUGGGUGUAGCUGCUGCACCGUCUGAAAUUGCAGUUAUCCUAUUGGGCAGUGCAAGUACCAAAUCAUUACAUACAACAAAUUCUUUGCUUGAAAGCCCUUUAACCAGCAAGAGGAAGUAUUGGUAGUUGACAAAACAAACCCACUGAAAUUAGGUUAUUUCUCGUGAAGCACGGGCAAACACUGGAGGAAAACAGUCCUAAAGAAAUCCAAAUAAUAUAAUAACGGAGAAAGGAGUGUAUGAGAGCCAGUGACAAGAACCAACUGCACAGACUAAGCUCUUAAGAACAUUAUACUUCUAUAGCUAUUUGUCAUAUUAAAUAGAGAAGGCUUGCUUCCAUCACUACAGAGUGGACGAUGAUUUGAGGUCAAAUACUAUCAUCCCUAGUGAGCUCAAUAACCUGCUCAUACUAAUUUCUACAACACGUGUUCAUGAAAAAUUGAGAUCUACCAACUAUCACGCCUUUUGCAUCCUCAUCUCCAGGCGCAGCCGCAAGAACUUCAAAUAAAAAUCAUCAAAUGCUUUACAUUGGAAUCUAUUGUAAAUUAUUUUAUUAUAAGUAUAUUUACAUCCAAGUAUACACAAUGUCAUUUCAUAUGCUUCCUUAUGUUUUCCCCAACAUGAAUUGCACCGAUGAUACUAUAAAGUAGACAUGCAUACAUACAUAAACCGGAAAACAUACAACCAUCACAUAUCUCAAAUCAAGCCUCUUGAAAACUCUAAAGAACUCGAGUUUUCCCCUUUCGAAGUAUCUUGACUUAAUUUUGGUCUUAAACAACAAAUAAAUGCAAAAAUUAAUUUAAAAAAUGGCCAAAUAAUACCCAGAUUAUUACCAAAUCCUAACCCCACGCCAAUUCAUGACCAUCCCCACCCCCUAACUUAAGGCAUUUUAGACCAUGAAAUCAAGUCAAGACCCUGUACCAAGAAUAAUAUUCUAGAUUCUAAGGUUUAAUAAUCAAAUUACAAUAUUGGCAAGUAACAAACUUACCAUUACUAACGAAUUUCGUGGAAAAAUGAAUACAAAAAGCCCUAAAUCGUGCCUCUCAAUCCUUAGAACAAUAAUGCAGUAAAUUGGAGGUUUUGAGAUUUUUUCUGCAUAAAUUCUCAACUUACCUCGCUUUAGCGGCCCUGCUAUAGUAUUCUGAGCACCGCUAUGGCGCUUGCAUAUUGAUACAAUGCUUAGAUGAUUAGAAAUGUUAUAAAGUAGUUGUUAUUGUUCAUUAGUCACCAAAACAAAUAUUUAUUGUUCACUUUUGUUAGAGUUUGUUAGAGCAGUUAUUCUGUUAGCUUGUAGCUUUAGCUUCCGAUUCAGUUCUAUAAAUAGAGAUAUAAUACAAUUGUAAUUCAUUGAAUGAUACAUGAUAAUUCUUCUCUUCUCUAUUUUAUUACGUUCUUCUUAGCUUCUAUCUCGGAAUUGCCCUGAUAUAGCUAUCUUCUUCUUCGAGGUUCAUCCUCCUAGUUGAUAUUAUCCUUUCGAUUACUGGUAAUUGGAUCACAUAUGGUUGCUAUAGCGGACGCCUCCCACUCUAACGGACUAUGCAAAUUACAGACUCAAAAAUACCUGAAAAACUCAUUUUUCACAACAUAUUUCUCUUCCCUUUGAUAUCUUGAACUAUCUCCUUCACACCAAACUAGAUUUCGGGAGUUUUACUCACCCAAAUUUGAUUCCGUGAAACCCUAUGGGUUCAUUAAUGUCUUGGCUACAAGAAAAUAUCAACCAAGCCUAAACAUUACACCCCACCCAUUCUCGGAUGGUCGUAGACUGCACAUAGCCUAGAUUUUGUUUGAGGCUAUCCAAGCCUAAAAAUUUAAAGUCAGUGCCCACAAAGUUUUCUGUCCCCGAUAUCUCUCACCAUUGGCCUAUUCAUAACGACCGGGACGGAUCAUUACAUAUAUGAAAAUGGGCUUCUCUGUGAUUUUGGACCUUAUGAUAACAAGUUGGGAGAAGUUCCUAAAUGGACCUUAUAAGGGAUGGUCUUGAUAUUUUAUCCCUUAGAAAAAAGUCUUACAAAAAUAAUCUUCAUUUAUUUAAAAAAAAACUAAUUGAGAAAAAUUGCCCUCAAAAGUUAUAAAUAGCUGAUUGUUUAGUGUCAUCCAAAACAAUAACAAACUAAAAAAACAUAAUAUUAUAGCAUCAUAUGUGUUCUUAUUAAAUAAAUGGAGCUACAAGUAUCUUGUUUUAUUCAUUUAUGGACCUAAAAACUAUAUUUUCUUAUUUAUUUUUUAUCUUUUUUUGAAAUUAAUUUACUCCAAGACUCAAUUAUCAUAGUUCAAGAUAGUAUUUUAGCACUUACGAUUUUUCUGUACGGAUAUAAAAUUUUCAUUGAAAUGUUCUAUUUUAUUUUAUUUUAAAUCUAAAAUAGAUUUGGUAUGAUUUGGUUCGGUCAGUACAAUCAAUUUUUUUUAGAAUCACUCAAAACUUAGCUUAGGGCUUUCAUGCAAUAAAUUAUGUCGUAUUGGCAAUAUUUCACACUACCUUGUUAUGCCUUAACUAGUUCUCAUAAUAGUCCCAAUUAGAUAGCAUAUUUUCGGAUGCUUCUCUACUUACAAAGUAUAACCAAUGUUAUUGUCAUGACUCAACCUACACUAGUGACAUUUUCUUGUAAUAUGUUGUCAUCUAUUGUUGUUGAUCAUAUAUUUUAUUAAAUUUGUACUUCAGCGUUGUCAUAUUCCACAGAAUGACAAUAGCUCAGCGGAGAAACAUGGGAUACUAGAACUAGCCAGAACAUCAUGUACAAUUUAUUGCUUUGCUGUUUUCUUCUAAAUAAUUAAAUCCUUUAAGCUAAAUCAUAAAUCUCUUUAUCUUCUCAAUUCCAAUCUUGUGGAAUAUGUUAUGGUUAUGUUUGAAUUGCUUUCACCAUCAUGUGUGCUUGUUAAACAUAUUGACGUCUAUUUUUCCUUGUUGUUUGGGGCAUUUUCAUACCUAUUACAAGUUUCUUGCGAUGACACCCAAUCACUUAUCUAUUAAGAUUACAUUUGACAUUAUUUUUGUUAAGGAGGUCAUAUUUUUACGUUAUUUAACACAUUGAUUUUUUGUCUAUUCAAUGUUUCCUUAGAGCCUCAACCAACUCCAUUCGCAACAACAACAACAAGAAAGGUGACAACAUUGUUAUUCAUGGGAUGACAUCAUAGUAACAAGUGAUGAUUCAGAGGAGAUACAAAAUUUGAAAAAAGUGUUAACUCAAGGAAUUUGACAUCAAAGUACUUGGUAAAUUAAAGUAUUUUUUGGGAAUCGAAGUGGCAAACUCAAAACAAAGAAUCUUUAUUUCCCAAACAAACAUGUGCUUGAUUUGCCGAAAGAAACAAGAAAAUUAGGGUAUAAACCAGUGGCUACACCAAUAUCAUAGAUUGUGCAAUGCUCUAAAAUAUUAUGUGGUAGAUAAAGGCUUGUAGGGAAAUUGAUUUACUUGUCCAAUACAAGGCCAGACAUUGCAUUUGCUGCAAGCGUUGUUAGCCUAUUUAUGCAUGAUCCUAGAGAAAUACAUCUACAUCAGGUGGGGAAGAGUGUCAUGACCCACCACCUCAUCACAUAACAUAACCGCCACGUGGCAUAAAGUUUUCCAUUUGGAAGCAUAAGUAUGCUAGCAUUUAUGAGAAGAUUCUAGAACCAUGAAGAACUUCUUGGAAAGACUCUAGAAUAGCUAAGAAGAAUUCUUGAAAAGCCUUAGAAUAGUCUACGCAUGUAGAGAAUUCUAGAAAAAGGGUUUAUUUGUAAAUAUGUAGGGUCUUAUAUAACAAUUAUUAUUUACACUUUAGCCCCUAAGUUAGUAGUUUAAAUAGAGGGGCAUCCAUAGGUAAAUCAACCAAGCAAAAGCAAGCAAUCUUCCAAAGCAAUACAAAAGACUUCUCAUAAACUCUCUUGUCUUUUUCUUCAUUCUCUUAGCGAUUUAGUAAUAAAAAGCUUACUUGAGCGUGGAAGAUCAUGAAAGAUUCAUGAACGAGUUGUCUAGUGCCACACGGUGUGCUUCGUAGAAGUCUAAGGCCGUGACAAAGUGGUAUCAAAGCAAAAGUUGAUACUAAUGGGAAUGGAAAAUGAGGAGACAUUAACGCUGCUAGCACCGACAACGUCAGGCAGGAUGGUGGAUGAAGCACCAAAAAGGGAGGAAGAAUCUUAAGAAGAAUGAGGAAUUGUUGUGUGAACCUACACGAAGCGAAGCAUUAACAUCCCACUCACCUUCGGCCACUGAGGCAAGUGAUAAUGAACGUGGGGAACAACCCGUAGACGUUAUGCCUAGAAUUGAGUGGGUUGUGGGGUUGACACGGCAAGGUAAGUUGUGGUGAUUUUAGACAGACGCUUCAACGGGAUCGAUUACAAGUUCAAGACUCUUGAGGGCUUCACCUUUGACGAAAAUGAAAACAUCUGCAAAGAGUUGGAGGCACAUAGGCGUGAGGAAUAUGAGAUGAAAAAAUCAUCUCUUCCUUGGAUGUCGGCUCAUGGAUGCAUUAAGCACAAUUAAAACCAUGAAGGCCGAGAUGAAAGCACUCAAAGUGGGCAUUGAAGUUGGAGGACCCUCGUCGUUCGACAAAUAUAGGGAAGCCAAGGUUGAGGCUCCCAAGCCACCUCAAAGGCGCCCGUGAUGCGCAAGAGGUGGAGAAUUUCCUAUGGCAUUUGGAGAACUAUUUCAAGUGCAAUAGGGUGAAGAGCGAUGAGAACAAGAUCAACAUUGUCGCGUUGUACCUCUCGGAGAUGUCCAUGUUGUGGUGGAGGCGUAUAAAGUCCGAGAUACGGAAAGGGGCUUUGCACCAUCAACACUUAGGAGCAAUUCCAAUCCCAACAACGUCAUCUAUGAGGCAAAGCGCAAGUUCAGGGAGUUGAAGCAAACAAACAACAUACAAGCAUAUGUGAAGGAGUUCACCACCCUCACGCUUCAGAUUCCCAACCUCACGGAUAAAGAUAUGUUGUUCCACUUCACGGAUGGGUUGCGAAGUUGUUGGGCCAAGAUGGAGUUAGAGCACCAAUAGGUUAGGACUAUUGAUGAAAGUCAUCACACAGGCCAAAGCUUUGACAAACUCUAAGCAUGACAGAGGAAAAUGAGCAGAGAAGAGAGGUAGUCAUGACCAAGGUAGAGGAGAUCAUGGAAAAAGCAAAGAGCAACAACUACAUCCCAAGAAUCAUGACACCUAUAAGUCUGAUGGCAAAAAGUUUGGACGCUAGAGUGAUGUUACAGGAAAACACACAGACUACAAAGGGAAACACGUGCUACAUAUGUGGUGGGUUGCAUGGAUAUGCGAAACGCCCUGAACUGAAGAAUCUUAGUGCCAUAUUACAAGAAUGGAAGGAGAAAGUUACACAAGAACCUAGGCAAGGUUUGGGCACGACGCAGUUGGGCCUGAUUGGUCUAUGUGGAGCUAUCACAAAGUAAUCAGAGAAUCCAAAAGAAUAUGGCGCACAAUAUGUAGACAUCACGAUCAAUGGAAGACCGGCUCGUGCUAAGGUCAACACAGGUGCAGAGGCCAACAUCAUUACCAAGAGCCAAGCAAUAAAGUUGAGGUUGAGUUACAAUCCAAGUAACACUCACCUCAAGACAGUCAAUGCUCCACUGACUCCCUUGUGCUGAGUCAUGUAAGAAUUAUUAUUAAUUAUUUCAUACUUAUGGCCCAAGUUUACUUGUAACCCAAGUAAUACCAUAAAUAAUAUUUAAUAAGGAAUAGAUAUCGUCCGUACAUUGGUUACUUGAUGGACGUACCAGAUUAAGUCAUAACCUCUAUAAAUUGGUCCUCCCUCCACCCUAUCACAUAUUCUCUACAACAAUUCCAUCGCUGACGGUUGUGGUAACAUAAAGUUAGGGCAAAGGGCUAGAAACCAAUUUACGACUAAUGCUUCCGCUUUUCUCUCUAGUAAUGUCUUCCGCAUCAGGUCUGUUCCUCUACCGAUCUCCAUGUAAGAUUAUCGUGUUCAAGAUCCUGAUAUUAUGUAUUAAAGUAUGUAAUCUUACAUGUGGCAUCAGAGCCUCGAUUGUUUGAAUGGAUAAUCUUACAUAUAUAUGAAAAUAAUUGUCAUGUUAUGGACAUCGCACUCUAAACAAAUUCAUGUGGAUGACGCAUCAUGCAAUAAUUACAUGCAGGGGCGGAGCUACCCUUGCCCGAGGGGUGUCAAGCGACACCCCUUCAUCGGAAAAUUACGUUGUAUAGGUAAGUCAAAUUCUGUUUUUAUACCUAUAUAUAUUAGAAUUGACACUCCUGAACCAAGUUGAAGUGUUGGUUCAGCGGUUCAGGGGCUACAAAGUUCCGCCUUGUCAUUGACCUAGGCGUUGGGAGUUCGAACCUUGCUAAAGUCUUUUUUUUUAAAGGCUUUCAGCGUUUUUUUUUACUUUUUAGACAGCUGUAACUUUUUUGUCUUUUAGUUUUUAGAUAGCUAAACGUUUUUUUCCUCCAAUUUUUAAACCAUUGACUUAAAUUAAGUUUACUUUAAUAUUUUAUUUUUUAAAAGAAAUAAAAUACACUUUAGGGAUUUAGAGUCUAGGGAUUAAACAAAUCCCCAAUUCCAAAAUCAAAAGUUUUGAAGAGGAAGAGUCCAAAACAAUCGUCUUUGUUCGCUGACUGCGUCGUCGUGCAGUCGUCUUCAGAUUUCAAUCGCCAUUGCUCGGCGUCAAUCUCCGUCCUGGUCAUGGCAACGGUAAGUUCCUACUUUCUUACACCUUGUAUUUAUUUUCCUUGUCCAAUUUGUUGAUGCCAGCCAUCAUAAUGCUAUAUUUAUAUUUACUUGUUUUGUUUAGGAUUGAUUUAUCGUUUGCAAUUAUAUAUUUUUCUCAUGAAAUUUUUGUUUUACAAUUUAGUCUCAAAAAUCAGUGAAGAACUAUUUUUUCCAAGUACCAAAAUCAAAUUUGGCUUCUAAUAGUCAACUUACACGGGAAGAAAAUGCCAACCAAUCAGAAGUACCACUCCAUUCUUCUCAAAGACAAGAAAUUGAUUUAAAUUCUUUAGAAUUUGAUCCAGCGAAAAGGACUCCAAUCUUGAACUAUCAUCCAAAUGAUCGUGAUGUAAUUAGGAGAGCAUACCUCCGACAAGGUCCUUGUCAACCUGAGAAUCAUAUUUUUCCUCAAACAGAUUUUUAUGGAGAUAUGCGUCGUUUUAAUCCUGAAUGGUUUAAAGAGUAUCAUGAUUGGUUGGAAUAUAGUGUAACUAACGAUGCAACAUAUUGUUUGAAUUGUUAUUUGUUUAAAGAUGAUAGCAUUCAUCAAGGUGGAGGUGAAGUAUUUUCUACUGUAGGGUUUAAGAGUUGGAAUAAGAAGAAAAGUUUUAAGCAACAUAUUGGUGGGCCGAAUAGCACUCAUAAUCAGGCAAAAAAGAAAAGUGAAGAUCUAAUGCGACAACAACAGUCUAUUAUAUCUGCAUUUGAGAGACAAUCUGAUCAAGUUAAGCAUGAGUAUUGGCUUCGCUUGUCUGCCUCAAUUGAUGUAGUAAGACUUCUUUUGAAUCAAGGAUUUGCAUUUCGGGGUCAUGAUGAAUCUAAAUCAUCACUUAAUAGAGGUAAUUUUCUUGAAAUUCUCUCAUGGUAUGCGAAACAUUGUGAUAAAAUUUAUGAUUAUGUAUUGGAACGUGCUCCUCAGAAUGACCAAAUGACUUCUCCAAUGAUUCAAAAAGAUAUUGUCACUGCAUGUAAGAUAGAAACCAUCAAAGCUAUUAUCCAGGAAUUAAAUGGUGACUAUUUUUCUUUAUUGGUUGAUGAAUCUUUUGAUGUGUCAUGUAAGGAGCAAAUGGCUAUCGUUUUACGAUAUGUUGAUCGAAUGGGAUUUGUGGUGGAGCGAUUGAUUGAUAUUGUACAUGUUCAAGAUACUAGUGCUUUAUCUUUAAAGGGGGCAAUUGUCAAUGUACUUGCUCAACAUUCAUUGAGUCUAUCCUAUGUGCGCGGACAAUGUUAUGAUGGGGCAAGUAAUAUGCAAGGCGAGAUGAAUGGCCUUAAAAUGUUGAUUAGGCAAGAAAGUAUCUCAGCUCACUCUAUUCAUUGUUUUGCUCAUCAACUUCAAUUAACUCUUGUUGCAGUUUCUAAAAAAUGUAUUCAAGUGGGAGAACUUGUAUUAUUGGUUUCAAAUGUUUUGAAUGUGUUGGGAGCUUCAUUUAAGCGUAUGGAUAAAUUUUGAGAUUCUAAAAAAAAAGAAUUCAAGAAGCAUUAGAUAUGGGUGAACUUACAACCGGUACCGGCUUGCAUCAAGAACUUGGUCUUAUAAGAGCCGGUGAUACUCGUUGGGGAUCUCACUACAAAUCUUUUAGCAAUUUUAUUCUUAUGUUUGGAUCUAUUGUUGAUGUUCUUGAUGCACUUGUUGUUGAUGCAUAUUCUACCGAUGAAAGAGCUAAGGCAACAUGAUAUCUCGAAGUUUGUCAAACAUUUAAGAUUGCUUUUAUGUUGCAUUUGAUGAGAGAUAUCUUAGGAAUCACAGAUGAGCUCAAUAAAUCCUUGCAAAAGAAAGAACAAGAUAUUGCAAAUGCUAUGCUACUGGUUGAAGUAGCAAAGAGAAGGUUGCAAAUGCUAAGAGAUGAUGGAUGGGAUGCACUUAUUAAUAAGGUAUCCACAUUUUGUAUCAAGUAUAACAUUUUGUUACCUAAUUUUGAUGAGCCAUAUGUUAAUUCUGGAAGAUCAAGGCGUAAACCUUCCGAUUAUACGGUCUUACAUCAUUAUCAUGUUGAAGUAUUUUGUAAGAUUAUUGAUUGGCAGCUUCAAGAACUCAAUGAUCGUUUCAAUGAGGUGACUACUGAUUUGCUUCAUGGAGUUGCUUGUUUGAAUCCAGUUGACUCAUUUUCUAGUUUUAACAUCAGAAAAAUAAUGAGAAUGGCUAAGUUAUAUCCUGAUGACUUUGAUGAGUUUAGUAUGAAUGCUCUUGAGAAUCAACUUGCCACUUACAUUAUUGAUGUUCGUGAUAUGGAUGAAAGGUUCUCCAAUCUUAAUGGACUUUGUGAUCUCUCAAGAAAAUUAGUUGAGACAAAGAAGAACCUAAACUUUCCUCUUGUAUUCCGCUUAGUAAAAUUUGCUUUGCUUUUACCAGUUGCCACUGCAUCCGUUGAAAGAGCUUUUUCGGCAAUGAAGUUUAUUAAAAAUGCCUUGCGGAAUCGGAUGAAUGAUGAGCUUUUGAGCGGUUGUCUAGUUCCUUAUGUAGAAAAAGAUGUAUUUAUUAAUAUUUCUAAUGAUACUAUUGUAAAAACAUUUCAAGAGAUGAAACCGCGUCGAGUACGGUUGUAAUAAUGUAAUUGUGUUUUGCUUUUAUUAGUAAAAUUUAUUUUGUUGAAUUUUUUGUGUGCAUACUACUUUAUAUUUUGACACCCCUCAAUUUAAAUCCUGGCUCCGCCACUGAUUACAUGCACAAUUUACUUCUACCUACUAAUAAAAAUAAUAAUCUAAAGAGUUAAAUUUCUGGUAGUCGUCAGAACUAGUGUGAGGAUUUGCGCUUUCCAGUCAUGAAAUCCUUUGGAAUCAUUUUUUAAAGAAAAUCGUGGAUUACUUAUAGGAAAAAGGAAAUUGAGAUACAUUAAUGUUGAUGUGGGUGUUGUUUGAUGUGAUUAAAAAUGUUUCCUGAGAAAAAACAUAUUACCUUCAAAUUUCAAAUAUAAUUGUUAAGUCUUUCUGAUGUUGAAUAUUUUCGGUUUAGUUGAAGCUGGCUAAAAGAGAAAUCAUAUAUUUGCUAACGUAAAUUAAUACUACAAAAGAAUCCCUAGCUAUUUGAUUGGCAAUUGUAAUAUCAAGUAUUUGUAGUGUUUGUUUGACUAAACAAUAAAUAAUAUGUGUGUACUUAGUGCAAAAUGGUUUGUUAGUCACCAAAGUGGUCAAACUAGAGAAAUUAACGUCUACACAUAUAAUAUUAUGAUCAAUUGAUGCAUGUGUUAUGUUUCUAUAGUUUGUUAGUCACCAAAGUGGCCAAACUAAAAUGUAUAAAAUUAUUCACAUGCACAAAAAUUUUAUAUUAUGUGUGCAUUUGUAUUCAUAUAGUUUGUUAGUCACCAAAGUGGUCAAACUAGAGAAAUUAACGUCUACACAUAAUAUUUAUGAUCACUUGAUGCAUUUAUGUUUCUAUAGUUUGUUAGUUACCAAAGUGGUCAAACUAAAAUGUAUAAAAUUAUUCACAUGCACAGAAAAUUAUGAUAGUAUGUGUGCAUUUGUAUUCAUAUAGUUUGUUAGUUCACCAAAAGUGGUCAAACUAGUAUGGUUAAGAAAAUAUGCAUUCAUAAAAUUGUCAUUUAUCUAUGAAGGUUAAUUAAAUGCCUAUAUUGAAAAAUAAAUAGAUAAAUUGACUUUCACUAUUGCUAGAACUUAAGAUUUUACCCAAAGGUGAAUCUAUCAUUCUACGAAUAGUGAAAAUUAUGAGGUAAAUUAAUAUUUUUUAGUCAAACAUAUAUUGUAUAUCCAAAGAUGUCGUAUAUAUUUGAUUAAAAAUAUUCAAUCACCUAUUAAAGAUAAAAAUGGCAUUUAAAUUAUGAUAAUCUGUCGUAGUAUUUACCCAAAGGAGAAUUACGAUAUAUUUUUAUCACUUUACUAAAUUCACAUUAUUUUUUAUUUUGUGAGCACGUAUAUCUAUUUUGCAAUUAUUCCUCUUUAUUCGCAUGCUUUGUCUGUUACUGUGUUCAAUGGAAUGAACUUCUCUAAAUGGCAUGAACAAGUCCAGUUCCACUUAGGUGUGAUCGAUCUUGACUUGGCUCUGCUGAAUGACAAACCUAUUGCCAUUACUGAUAAGAGCAGCGAGGAUGAGAAGUCUUUUCAUAAAUCAUGGGAACGCUCUAACAGAUUAAGCCUUAUGUUCAUGCGAAUGACUGUUGCUAACAACAUUAAGAGUAUUAUUCCACAAACAUAAAGCUCCAGGAAAUACCUGAAGUUUGUGGAAGAACAUUUUCUUUCUGCUGAUAAGUCUCUCGCUGGUACACUAAUGGCUUAACUCACGACCAUGAAGUUUGAUGGGUCGCGCAGUAUGCAGAAUCAUAUCAUUGAGAUGACUAACAUUGCAGCAAGACUUUCAACCUUGGGGAUGAAAGUGGAUGACACCUUCUUGGUUCAGUUUAUUCUGAACUCAUUGCCUCUUGAGUAUGGACCAUUUCAAAUUAACUAUAACACUAUUAAGGAUAAGUGAGAUGUUAGUGAAUUGUCCAGUAUGCUUACUCAAGAGGAGUCAAGACUUGAGAAACAAAGAGGUCAUUCCAUUAACCUCAUGGGUCGAGGAGCUGGUAAAGGACUUAAAGUGAACGCCAACAAGUUUAAGAAAAUGAAAGCACCUGCUAAAGUUCCACAGGAUGCUCAUAAGGAACUCAAGGUUGAUGUGUGUCAUUUCUGUAAAAGGAAGGACACUAUCAGAAAGAUUGCUUGAAACGUAAAGCUUGGUUUGAAAAGAAAGGUACAUUUAGUGCUUUUGUAUGUUUUGAAUCAAAUUUAGUAGAAGUUCCUAAUAAUACUUGGUGGCUUGAUUUUGGUGCAACUAUUCAUGUAUCCACUAUGUUGCAGGGAUUCACUACGAUCCAAACUACAAAUCCAACUAAGGAUUUCUUGUUCAUGGGAAAUCGCAUGAAGGCUCAAAUUGAAGGCAUAGGGACUAAUCAAUUGAUCUUGGAGACUAGACAUCAUUACAGACUCUUUAUGUUCCUUCAGUUUCUAGGAAUUUGAUUUCUCUUUCAAGACUUGAUGUUUUGGAUUUGAUUUUAAGUUUGGACAUUGAUGUUUCAAUUUAUACAAGAAUACUUUUUUUUAUGGUUCUGGUGUUCUUAUUGAUGGUUUAUAUAGAUUGAAACUCGAUAAUAAUUUUUCUGAAUCCCUUCUUACUAUUCAUCAAAAUGUUGGAAUUAAACGAAGUUCACUAAAUGAAAGUUCUGCUUAUUUGUGGCAUAAACGUUUGGUCAUGUAUCCAAAGAAAUAUUAAAAAGAUUAGUAAAUAAUGAUAUUCUUUCGAAUCUAAAUUUUAUUGAUCUUGAUAUAUGUUUGGAUUGCGUUAAAGGAAAGCAAACCAAGCAUACCAAGAAAGGUGCCACAAGGAGCACUCAACUUCUUAAAAUUAUACACACUGAUAUUUACGGACCCUUUGAUGUUCCAUCUUUUGAUGGAGAAAAACAUUUUAACACCUUUAUCGGUGACUUUUCACGUUAUGAAUUUAUCUAUUUGUUGAAAGAAAAAAAAUCUCAUUCAGCGGACGCUCUCAAAGUGUACGUUAAUGAAGUUGAAAGGCAAUUAGAUAGGAAAGUGAAAAUCAUUAGGACAGAUAGAGGUGGUGAAUAUUAUGGAAAGUAUAACAAAUUAGAACAAUGUGCAGGUCCAUUUGCAAAAUUCCUUGAGAAUGGUGAAGUUAGUGGAAGUGUUGACCAACAAAGUGUGGAAAUUAAUGAGGUAAGGGUAAAUAUUUCAUUGCCCAUGAAUGUACCUAUUUCCGCACUAAUCAAAAAUGUUGUUCCUCUUGUUGAAGAAAUUUUUAACAAUGUUGAACAACAUUUGGGUGAAACACUUGAAGAAGGAACUAACUCACAAGUAUCAGAAGCAAAUGAACCACAAAUAGUGCCAUUAAGAAAAUCGGUCAUUUCAGAUGAUUAUGUGAUUUAUUUGCAAGAGUCAGAUUUUGACAUUGGAAUUAAUAAAGAUCCGAUUUCAUUUUCACAGGCCAUAGAAAGCAUGAGUCUCAUAAAUGGAUUGAUGCCAUGAAUGAAGAGUUAAAAUCCAUGGAAUACAACAAAAUCUGGGAUCUCGUUCAAUUACCAGAAAGUUCUAAAAGAAUCGAGUGUAGAUGGGUCUUCAAGACCAAACGCGAUUCAAAUGGUAAUAUUGAAUGAUAUAAAGCUAGACUUGUUGCCAAGGGAUACACUAAAAAAAGGAGGCAUUGAUUAUAAAAAGACCUUUUCACCGGUCUCAAAGAAAGACCCAUUAAGAAUCGUUUUGGCUUUGGUAGCUGAUUUAGAGUUACAUCAAAUGGAUUUGAAAACUGACUUUCUUAAUGGAGACCUCGAGGAGGAUGUUUAUAUGGACCAACCAGAGGGUUUCGAAAUUAAAGGAAAAAGAUCAAAUGGUGUGUAAGCUAAAGAAGGCAAUAUAUGUCUCAAACAAGUCUCACGACAAUGGUAUAUAAAGUUUAAUGAUACCAUAACAUCUUUUGGAUUUAAGGAUAUUACCGUUGAUCCAUGUAUAUACCAAAAGAUCAGUGGGAGUAAGUUUAUAUUUUUAGUCCUGUAUGUUGAUGACAUUUUACUUGCUGCUAAUGAUUUAGGCAUAAUUGCGUGAGAUGAAUGACUUUUCUCUCUAUGAACUUUGAAAUGAAAGAUAUGAGUGAGACAUCCUAUGUGAUAGGGAUAGAAAUAUUAUGUGAUAGAUCACAAGGAUUAUUGGGACUGUCUCAAAAGGGCAAUAUCGAAAGAGUUCUAGAGAGAUUUAACAUGAACAAUUGUUCAGCAGGAAUAGUUCCUAUUCAAAAAGGGACAAAUUUAAUCUCAUGCAAUGCCCAAAAAAUGAUGUAGAAUGAAAAGAAAUGGAAAUAAUUCCUUACUCUUCUAUUGUUGGAAGUUUGAUGUAUGUUCAAACUUGUACAAGACCGGAUAUUAGUUUUGCGGUCGGAAUGCUAGGAACAUAUCAAAGUAAUCCUGGAAUUGAUCACUGAAAACUGCAAAGAAAGUUUAUGGCAUGUUAUGAAGCCACAAUUCAUGCAUUAUGGCUGCGAAACUUCAUUUCAGGACUUGGGGGGUGUCGACACUAUUACCAAGCCACUGAAAAUUUAUUGUGACAAUACUGCAGCAGUAUUCUUCUCCAAGAACGAUAAGUACUCAAAAGGUGCCAAACAUAUGGAAUUAAAGUACUUUACUGUCAAGGAAGAAGUUCAGAAACAAAGAGUGUUACUUGAAAAUAUUAGAACUGAUCUCAUGAUUGCAGAUCCGUUAACAAAGGCUUACAACCUAAAGACAUUUAAAGAACAUGUUCAAAGAAUGGGUCUUGGUUGUACUUAUGAUUGAUACAUUUAUGAUGUUUUAACACUGAGCUCAAUUAUGUGUUUCUGAUAUACAUUAAUGAAUUCUUGUUUCUCAUAAUGGUGUAUACAUUAUUGUUUUGAGAUAUUACAAGAUAAGUCUCUAUGAGACAUUAUUGUGGACCGUAAUGUUAUAUGUUUUUAUAGCUUAUGAACCUAGAAUGAUAAGUUGCUAAUGUAGUAGUAUAUGGAAGGAAGUAUGUAGCUUAAAUUUUAUUUACAACUGCCAUAACUCGCAUUAGUAGGUUGUUAUAUUGAGGUAUGUAUGAUGGACAUUAUAGAAAAGAUUUAUUGUACGCGCAACUAAUGUUUAUGAAAUAUUAAUGUUAUAUGGUCAUUGGGCCAAGUGGGAGAAUGCAAGAAUUAUUAUUAAUUAUUAUUAAUUAUUUCUUACUUAUGGCCCAAGUUUACUUGUAACCCAAGUAAUACCAUAAAUAAUAUUUAAUAAGGAAUAGAUCUCGUCCGUACACUUGAUGGACGUACCAGAUUAAGUCAUAACCUCUAUAAAUUGUUCCUACCUCCACCCAUUAGGGUUAUCACAUAUUCUCUACAACAAUUCCAUCACUGACAGUUGUGGUACCAUAAAGUUAGGGCAAGGAGGUAGAAACCAAUUUACGACUAACGCUUCCGCUUUUCUCUCUGAUAAUGUCUUUCGCAUCAGGUAUGUGCCUCUAACGAUCUCCAUGUAAGAUUAUCGUAUUCAAGAUCCUGAUAUUAUGUAUUAAAGUAUUUAAUCUUACAAGUCACUCAUGGAGUAAGCAUCACAAAAGGCAAGUGUCAAGGUAAAACCAACUUUAUUGUCGCUCUGUUAGAUAUCUUUGACAUAAUUCUUGGGCAAGAGUUCUUCCAGAAAUGUCACACGAUGACCAAUCCUUACCUCCAACGACUCUUACUCAUGGAGUAAGAAGGAUCAUGUAUGGUGCCACUGAUUAAGGUACUAAAGAUAGAAGGACAAGCUCAACUAUCGGCUAUGCAGCUCAUGACGGGCCUUAAGGAAGAGCAGUGAUGCUCAAAGCCACCAUUGCAAGAGUGACUAAACAAAUUGUGCUAAAGAAUUUUUGCCACCACGUAUAGAGAAAGUACUAGAAGAGAAUAAGGAUGUAAUGUCUAAGGAGUUACACAAGGGCAUUGAUCGAGUCAAUAUUCUACUAGUCGCGCAUGUGAGAAGACAAGAUUCAACUGUUCAUACAACAACAAUGUGCCACGGUCGUCACAACAACAGGUGGGGAAGAGUGUCAUGGCCCUCCACCUCAUCACACCACAUAAGCACCACGUGGCAUAAAGUUGUCCAUUUGGAAGCAUAAGUAUGCAAGCUUUUAUGAGAAGAUUCUAGAACGAUAAAGAACUUAUUGGAAAGACUCUAGAAUAUCUACGAAGGAUUCUUGAAAAGCCUUAGAAUAUUCUACGCAUGUAGAGAAUUCUAGAGAAAAAGGUUUAUUUGUAAAUAUGUAGGGACUUAUGUAACAAUUAUUAUUUACAUUUUAGCCCCUAAAUUAGUAGUAUAAAUAGAGGGGCAUCCAUUUGUAAAUCGACCAAGCAAAAGCAAGCAAUCUUCCAAAGCAAUACAAAAGCCUUCUUAUAAACUCUCUUGUGUCUUUCUUCAUUCUCUUAGCGAUCAGGUAUAAAAAGGCUUACUCGAGCUUGCAAGAUCGUGAAAGAUUCGUGAGUGAGUUGUCAAGAGUCGCACGGUGUUCUUAGUUAAAGUCUAAGGCUGUGACACUAUGGCAUAAAAGACUAGGACACACUUCUACUUCAGUCCUUAGUAAACCGUUUUCUACUAAUGUCACUACUAUUAGAAAUAAAAUAGUAGACUGUGUAGUGUGCCCUUGUGCUAAACAGUGUAGAUUACCUUUCCAGUCUAGUAGCAUAAAAAGUAGUAGUUGUUUUGAACUAUUUCAUGUAGAUCUUUGGGGUCCCUACAAGACUGAUACAUAUGAUGGGAACAAAUAUCUCUUGACAUUUGUAGAUGAUUUUUCAAGAUAUACAUGGUUGUUUUUUUUAAAAUGGAAACCUGAUGUUUGUAUAUCCCUUCAAUACUUUAUGAAUUAUACCAAAAAUCAGUUUGGAAAAUUAGUAAAUAAUAAUUAAGACUGAUAAUGGUACUAAGUUCAUCAACACAAUAUGCGAUCAAUUGUUUAAACAAUUAGCAAUUGUUCAUCAGACAACAUGAGUUUACACUCCUCAGCAGAAUGAUAUGGCAGAAAGGAAACAUAGACAUAUUAUUGAAGUGACUAGGGCCAUUAGAUUACAAGCUAAUAUACCUACUAAAUUUUGGGGGCAUUGUGUACUGGCUGUAGCUUAUUUGAUAAGUAGGCUUCCGAAAUCAGCUUUAAAUGGUAAAUCGCCAUUUGCCAAAUUCUAUGAAAAAGGAUCCAUCUGUUACUCAUUUUGAAAGUACUAGGUUGUUUAUGCUUUGCUGAUAUGCCUGAUCAACAUGAUAAGCUAUUAUCUAGGUCUAGUAUAUCUGUCCAUAUGGGUUAUUCUGAAUUACAAAAAGGAUACAUUUUGUAUGAUUUAAUUGAUAAAGUCUUCUUUGUACUAUUCAAUGAAACAGUGUUUCCAUUCUUCAAUGAAAAAGCUACAUCAGUUCCUGUCUUUAAAGACUGAGACUCAUUCAGUUUCGAUUACUCUACUCAAUGGUCUAGCAUUCCUGUUAGUUCACAACAACCUGGUAAAUAUACAAGCACUGAGGAAGGGUCUAGGAUAACAAAUGAUAUAACCAGAGAUCAACACAAUCAUUUGAUAGUUGAUAUGAAUGGUGAACCAUUACAGUUACCUAUACAGCCACCUCCUGAGAACAAUCAACCAGAAAGGAGAUCCACUAGAGGCAGUAAGCCACCUAUUUGGAUGAAAGAAUUUGUAUCUCUCAACAUCCAUCAGGAUUAAAGCUAUGGUCUCCAACAAUACAUGAGCUAUGAUGAAAUAUCAAACAAGUAUAGUACUUAUAUAACUUGUGAACCCAAGACUUUUGAAAAAUAUUACAAGGCAAUAGUCUAAGGAAGGGUUCAAGGACGGUAGAAGAGUCCACGGUCAGUGAACCCAUACUUGAGCCUAAGCCUAGUGAAAAAUAUUCUAAGGCAAGGGUCUAAGGAAGGGUUCAAGGAAGGUGGAAGAGCCCACGGUCAGUGAACCCAUCCUUGAACCCAAGCCCUAUCUAAAAUAUUCUAAGGCAAGGGUUUAAGGAAGGGUUCAAGGACGGUGGAAGAGUUUACGGUCAAUGAACCCAUCCUUGAACCCAAGCCUUGUGUAAAAUAUUCUAAGUCAAGGGUCUAAGGAAGGGUUCAAGGAAGGUGGAAGAGUCCACGGUCAGUGAACCCAUCCUUGAAACCAAGCCUUGCGAAAAAUAUUCUAAGGCAAGGGUCUAAGGAAGGGUUCAAGGACGGUGGAAGAGUCCACGGUUAGUGUACCCAUCCUUGACCCAAGCCUUGUGCAAGGGCAAAGGGGUCUAAGGAAGGGGUUCAAGGAAGGUGGAAGAGUCCACGGUCAGUAAACCCAUCCUUGUAAAAAAUUUAUUCUAAGGUAAUGAUUCAGGACACGUUCAAGGACGGUAGAAUGGUCCACGGACAGUAGAUCCAUCUGUGGAGAUUGAUUUAGAAAAAAAAAACUCGUUAGUUAAGCCUAAAACAAUCCUAGACCCUAUAUAAGUAUUUUAAGCCUAUUUUCAUCCAUGGAUUUCUUCCAUUCAUGGGUUCCCAAAUUCUCCUAUUUUCGAAGUUACAAAUUCCCAAUUGAGUUAGGGUUUUCUUCAAUUGCCAUGGGUUCUCUUCAAUGUUGAUUUAAAUAAUUGAAUUAUGAUCUAUUAUGCAUGAAUUGAUGAAAUACUAUGAUAUUUAUGAUGAUUCUCCACGAAACCAUGUAAAUCCCAUGUUUUCCAAUUAUGAUGAUAUGAUGUGGGUCUUGAACUAUGAAAGAUGAAUUAUGGAAUUACGCAUGUUAUUAUGGAAUGGAUGAGACAUGAAGUAGAUUGCUUUGAGAGUAAAAGCAUAUAUGUUGUUGUUGUGGUUAAUUAUUGUGAAAGGAUUGCUCACAUAACUAACUCAUGCAUGAAUGUGAAAGGUUUUCUCACAUUAAGGAUUCUAAGGUUGAAAGGUCUUCUCGCCUAAAAUGAAUAAAAGAUAAGGAGCAAUUCUAAUGAAACCUAGCUUGGAUUGGUUACUUCAUUGUACCUUUCCAUUGGAUGACAUAUGACAUAGAUUGGAUUGGUAAGAUGACUUGCCCUUCCGUGGAUAAUAAAGACAAGUUAAGAAAAUGACUAUUCCGUGGGAUUAAAGCUUAGCACCGAUAGGAUAUUGAGAUGGAAGUUCUCUCGUUAGUAGAGGUCGGGUUUCUAGAAGCAAUCUCUUUAUCUCAUACCUAAGUGCCCCAUAGGAUGAUUGUCAUAGAUAGACAUUAGCUAGUGGAUCCACAUAAGCUAGAAGUUGAUGGUCUUACCUUGGCAAGUAGUACACCCAUUUUUGGUGUGGGGUAGACACCAGAUUCCGUGUUGAUAGCUCACAUGGUCUUAUAUGUCGGUUAAAGGUAAAUCUCCCACAAUAAUGAACUAAGGUUACUUCAAAAAGAAUCUCACAUGUGACUUAAGAUGAUGUCUAUUUGCAUUGAUCAUGUUUUAUGACUUAUGGUUUCUAUCUCUCAAGAUUUAUGUUUUAGCUUGAUCAUUACUUACUGAUGAAAAUGUCCCUUUUUAGCAUGUUUAAAUGUUUUUUGCAUAACUAUCAUACUUGGUACAUUGUUUUGUACUAACACAUACUCUUGCCUACAUUUCCCUAAAUGUAGGGUCUGACAGUCAGGGUUCUCAGUUUCGUGGCUAGAGGUUGGUUUGAGAGAUUUCAAGCUUUGGUGAGUCCUCAUGCUUCGAGGACGAAUUUUCAUUGUUUCAAUUUUCUUUCUUACUUCAGUUUUGGACAUGAUGUAUGGGCUAGGCCCAAUUUGAUUCUUAUGUACUAGAUGGCUAAUGAGACAAGUGUUUAGACUUCCGCUUUACUUUUAUAAAACUCUUGAACUUGAAAUGUUGCUCUUUACCUCUCUUCAUUCCAUGUCUUAUGUUAUGAAUGCUAAGUGGCUUUGUAUGGGGCCUUUUGGGAUCCUAUACGUCAUGUUACACCUAGGAGGUACCUUGGUUCGUGACAAACUUGGUAAUCUGAGCACAAGGUUUAGAAAGGUCCUAGAAAGUCUCAUAAGCCACAUCGAGUAGACUCUUGUUCAUGAGUGUGAAGCGCGCCACAUUUAUGAAUUAGAGGCUAUAAGAUGAUUAGGAAACUCCACUUCUUUGGAAACAAAAUGAGCAAUAGAGAUAAAAAGAAUAAAAUACAAAAAAUAAAAAUAAUGUGCCUAAUAAAUUUGAACAAAUGAAUAUUGAAAAGGAGAAAUAACAUUUAAAAAGAUGGGAAAAAAUAGGGAAAAGACAUAAAAUCCCCCCUGAACUUGUCCGCAUAACUUACUUUAGCACUUUAACUAUAUGGGUGUUUAAAUAACCCCCUUAACAUCUUUUAAGUGUUUUUUUUUCAACCCUCCCAUCACUAGCCCAGUUGAAGGUUGGGUGUUGUUGAGUCACACGCGUUUAUAUUCGUCCACGUGUAUAUUAACUAAAUUUCUAAUUAAUUACUUAAAUCUCCAUAAUAAUAUUUUUUUUCAUCACUAAUUGUCUUCCCCAAUGUUUGUCACCUUCUCAACAACAACUCUUCUUUUUACAAUGCAAUUUUCUUCAACUUUUCUUCUUCCAUUAUAUAAUAAUUCUCUCUAUGUAAAAAAUAAAAAGAACUUCUCCAAUUUUCUUUCUUUUCGUAAGAAAAUAGGUUUCAAUAUUCCAUUUGUAGACAUCAAUUUCAACAUUAAACCAACAACUCCUACACCCACCAUGAUUAUAUCUAAAAUUGAGCCAAAAACUAAACCCAUCGAUGAAUUUACCCCUCAAUCUACAAAUUAUAAUUCAAAUUUCAAUUGCAAUUCCAAUUCAGUUUUUAGUUACAUCAUACCACCUUCUUCGAAAAUUAAAAAAUUAUUUACAUAAAAAUGUUAAUUUAUCAAUGAAUUGGAUGAAUUUUUGCCAACAAUAUCUUUGAAUUUUUUUUAGUUGAAAUCGGGUUCUUUUUUUGAUAACUCUUUAAACUCAUAGAUCUAAUAAUCUUUUUUGAUGUUGAAAAUGGUGUCAAUGAAUCAAACACCAAAUUUUUUUGUCAAAGAAAAACAGAAAAAAAGAAGCGAUUAAAAACAGAAAAGAAUAAGAAAGAGAAAGAGUCUUGAGAAAAGAAAAGGAAAGGAAGAAGAAGAUGCAAAAAAAAAACUACGGAGAAGAGAAGUUAAUUGAAAAAUAAAAUGUUUAAAAAUUAGUAAAAUAAGUUAUUAAAUAUGUCGUCCAAUAAAAAGAUGACAUGUGUCAGUUUUUUGGUUUUUUUCUGUCCCACGUGCUUAUAGAAAGUUGGUGAUACAAAUUUUGCCACGUCACCCUUUAAGGGGUAAUUAAAUUCACUUCAAAUUAAAUUAGGGGGGUAAACAAACACCCCCAAAAAUGUAGAGCCCAUCUCAGCCUUGCUAUUUGAUUUUUAAAAUGAAGAAAACAAAAAAAAAUCAAGUGUUGCUGCGCGAAAUCGAUCUCAAGACGGCAAGGCAAAUUCUUGAACCCCCUUUACCACUGAACUAGCCUCUUUACAUGUGUUGAGGGGAUUCAUUUUUAUAUAUAUACACAUGAAAACAAAAUUUGACCUUAUAUAUACAGUGUAAUUUUCCGACAAAGCGGGUUCGGGUGAACCCCCUAACCUCCAUGUAGAUCCGCCCCUGCUUGGAGCUUGGGUUUAGGCUUGGAUAACAAUUUUCCUCACAAUUCACCAAUUGGAGUGAAGAUUGAAACUCUAUUGUAACUAUUUAUAUUCUUUCUUCAAUUCCUUGUUUUGUAGUGCUUGAAUUGUUGGUAUAAUGGUUUAAAGAUGAUUUGGAUUUUGAGCUAGAAAUACUCAAUUGUGGGUUGAUUCUUGUAUUGUGUUUUUGCAUAUUAAUUGAAUACUAUCUUGUUUAUGAUAUGGGUCUUUGAUUCUCUAACUGAUUUCAUGCUUAAAUUGACUUUCCAAGGGAUUGAUCAACCCAAGGACUUGCCUAUUUAUCUUGAUCUAGCUUGAGAAAGAGGAUUAAGUGUAGAAAAGAUUGAUUGGCACAAUUUGAGAAUUGGGUUGGCUAUUUCACUAGAGUUCGGGAGAAUCUAGAUCCGGGCCUAACUGUCAUUUUAGGAUUUGAACCAAAGAUAGAAUAAUCCUAGUGUUGCCAUAUUGGAUUGUUUAAUUUUCUAUACUUGCUAAGUUUGAAUGAAUUAGUCAAGAUAUACUUGCUUGUAAUCGAGAGAUGCAUAUUGGUACUUGAGGAUCCAAGGAAUAGUUGACUUGCCCAUGAUUAUCAAGAUAAUGUGUGGUCAUUUACUAUGGAUCAUUUGAGCAUGAAUUAAAUCCUCAUUCCCGAAUCCUUUUGAACCCCUUGCUUGAAAAGGUUGUUUCCCUUGUUCUUCUCUAUCCCCUAUCCUCAAGUGUUACCGAAAAUCCUCAUAUUAUAAUUGUAUCUUUCGUUUUGAUUCAAACUAGUAGCUUGUAAUUCUUUGUUAUUUCAAUCGUCGUUAUAUUGUCCCUUGUGGGAUUCGACCCCGACCUUAUACGUUGGGUUUUUGUUGCUAGCGACCGCCUACUCAUUGACUUGUAUGAUGGAUAGUUGCAUCUUUCAUUUGAAUUCAAACUAGUAGCUUGUAAUAUAUUGUUAUUUCAAUCAUCGUUAUAUUGUUCCUUGUGGGAUUUGACCUCGACCUUAUACGUUGGGUUUUUAUUGCUAAUGACGCCAACUCAUUGUAACACCCUGAAAAUUUCUAAGCUAAGGCCCGAACCAUUCUUCAUUUGCGUAUAAGUUCGUAUCGGGUGAUUGUAAAAUUGUCUUUAGGUGUUCAGGUCUAUUAUUUAGUGUGGAAUGGAUUUUGAUAUGAAUUAAGGACACAAGAAUCCCCUUACAGAUUAAGUUUUGAUAUCAAAUUCUACUUGGGUCAACUUCAAACGAUCAUAUCUCUUAGAUCAUGAAGAUAUAGGUGACCCAUAACCUAUCAAUGGCCCUCGCUAAAGCAGCCAAUCAGCGCGAAAGCGAACCCAUGGAUUUCAUUAAAAGUUGGGAAAGCGACAUUGAAGUCGCUUAUACGGCAUCAAAGACUUUAAAGCCAUACCAAAGAAGUGUAACGGUGAAAUUCUUUUCCUCUUCUGUUUUGUUCAAAGUUUUCUCGAACUCUUUUGCCCUUCAUCUUCAAUGAAAAUCUGGUAUGUCUUUUACUCUCUCAUACUCUUUAGAUGGUAAAAUCGUUAUCGUCCUCUUAUGUUUUUGUUUGAAUGUUCUGGUAUUGUUUGGGUGAGAGAUUUCACAAAGUGGGGGGGGAGGGGUACUAACUUUGCUGAUCUGUCAAAAUUUGUUUGUUAAACUAAGAAUGAAUGAGUUUGGGUUGUAGUAUAACACAUGGGGAAGUCUUGAGUACCUAUUUUGUGUUCAAAUAAGUUGAUAAGUAGUGUGCCCGUCCAAGUGUUUAAUGAAUUGUUUGUGAGAAUUCGACAUUGAUCGGUGAAAGUUUUGUGUUGAAAUGUUGUAGUCUUUGAAUUACUUGUUGAUCACUGUGUAGUCGAAAUCGUAUGAGUUGAUGGGUGCAAUAGUCGGAUGGGUAAGUUGGGGACGACAGGCCGCAAUAGCGAACCUUUAGGCGCUAAAGUAACUCUCACUAAAGCGGCCUCCCCUCGCUUUUGUGAUUCCCUCUAACGCGGCACUAAGCCGCUAAAGCGAUGUUCACUUAAGAGGCCUUUGGUCGCUUUUGCGACAUCAAAAGCUAGUUUCUGCAGGUUUUCCUAAUUGCUGAAAUGUGGCAGUUUGGUCCCGAGAUGAUUUUAAACUAAUUUCUUUGGCUUUUAUCAGUAGCAUUGCAUUGUUUAACACAUCUCUCUUAUGUUUUCAUGCUAUUGUGAUAUUUUCAGGUUUUCAAAAAGUCGAGAAUGGUGCAUCAACGUAUUGAUGAAGUAGAAGUCGACGAAGACUAUGAUAGGACUCGAUUCGUUUCUCUUCAGAGUCAGAACAUCUACUAUGGGACUUAGUCAGAAAGAAGUUGUUCCCCGAGAGAGGGAUUUCUCUUGAAAAGGUCUCCAAGACUCUUUCCAGAUUCUACCAAAGACUAGAGGUCACUGGAUGGAUAUGCUUCGCACUUGAACCUUGCAACGCGAAUGAGCAAUGGGUGAGGGAAUUCUAUGCUAAUCUCAUGGUGACAAAACUGGCCAACCCACUGAUGAAUAUUCGGGGAAAAGUUGUUAACUUUGGGCCAGAAGCAAUAAAUGAAAUCUAUGGGUUACAAAAUCAUGGCUUUGAGAAGUUCAUGGAAAAAGACUACACUCCGGGCAGCUGGUUAGUCUCGAAGUUAUGCCCAAGCAAGAAAGUACCUUGGGCCAACACAAAAUCCGAAAUCAUAUCCACAUAGUUCACAGCUGAAUCGAGGAAUUGGAUAUCGAAUGUUUGUAGCCGAGUCUCUCCGUGCGGGAACACUAGUUGCAUUCCAGUGUUGAGGGCACAGAUAGUAGCUUGCAUUCUUGAUGACAUCCCGUUGAAUGUUGGGAAUCUUAUUGUCAAUUGUAAAGAUAUGACACCUGGAAUAACUCAACCCCAAAAGCUAGCCCUCCAAGUCCAUAUAAGGAAACCAAUUUGCCAUCCCUCUACCGAUGUGGGACUUCUUAACACUCCCCUGCACGCCUAGGCCUCAACUGGAGCGUGAACACUUAUAAAUGGGGGCCCAACAUCGAUGAAUAACAAAUUGGAAUGGGUCUGGCCAUGAUAACAUGUAAAGAUAUGGCACAUGGGCCUAACUCAACCCCAAAAUCUAGCUCAUGAGGUGAGGUUUGUCCAAGUCCAUAUAAGGAGACCAAUUUCCCAUCCCUCUACCGAUGUGGGACUUCUUAGCAUUUUUUUGCUUUUCAGAAAAAUCAACCAAGAUCCAUCAGGAUUCCUUCUAUUAGCUCCAAGUCGACCAGCAUAAAUAGUACUCCCUCCGUCCCAUUUUAUAUGAUGUACUUUGAUUUUGGCACAAACUUUAAGAAAAAUGGAAAAGACUUUUUAAAACUUGUGGUCCAAAAUGAAUGAUAGAAAUUUGUGUGGUUGUAAAUCAUUUCAUUAAGGGUAAAAAAGACUAUUUUAUAGGCAAAUUGUUACUUAAAAUAGAAAUGUGUCAUUCUUUUUGGGACUGACUAAAAAGGAAAGUAAGUCAUAUAAAUUGGGACAGAGGGAGUAGCAUUUUCAGACAUACAAGAGGAUGGACAUGAGAGCUUAACUGACAUUCAACCGAAUCAAUCCUGGUUGAUACAUAUAAAUUCUUUGCAAAAAGUUGCCCAGAAGAUGAAUGGGAAAAUAUGUAGACACCCCCCAUUAUCAUUUCCACUUAAGAUCCCUGAUAAUUUUUACAAUAUGCAAUCCUACCAUCAAACUUUGUUUCUACAACUACAACCAGGUCCAGCUGCAGGACAUCGCACAAGCAAACCUAGCUGCUCUAACUGUGUGCAAUGAUAUGAAUGAAAAUCCCAGCACAUGUAUAAGCAAAACUGGUUGAGCAAUUUAUAGGUGCUACAUCUCUCACAUGACUACCAUAACCAAUAACACUUUUAUAGAGAUAACAUCAAAAAUAAUGUUAAGAAUGAGAUGUCUAACUCUUCCAAAAUCAUCGAGACAAGGCACUUCGAUGAUAAAUCUUGAAGUUCUUGAUUGCUGCCAUCCUUCAACCAGAAGGGGACCUUCAUCUUGGAACCUUCAGAUGAAUACACAGUUAAAGACAUCCAUGAAGAAUUCCUGCGCUAAGUGGCCUUUGGCAUCAAUGGCCCACUUUUGAUCCGGAUCCAGAGGAACUAUCGCAAUCGGAAUCACUUGGGGAUGAACCUGAAUCGCUGCUGGAACUGCUUGAACUAAGAGACCUCCUUGCAUUAUCCAUCUGUCUUCCCGCUUCUGCAUUUGUAGCAAGAGCACUAGUGUUAUUUUUACCAGUAUUACUGUUUAGUGCACCAGCAACCAUAGGAGCAGAAUUCAUAACUGGGGCAGUCCGUGCAGUUCCUCUGGCUUGCAGAGCAAGUUCAUCCUUUCUCUUCUGCUUGCUUAAGUUCUUUUUGUAAUUGGUCACAAACCUUUCAAGCUCCCAGAAGCUUUCCGCAUCAACAUUGUCUAUGUCUACUUCAAUCUCAUCAUCAUGUUGAUAAAAUGUUGAGUUCUUCUUCUUAAUAAUCUGAACAACAGCAUCAAGCUUUUUAAAGGUAAACUCUGAAGAUGUGUGUUGAGUCUAUGUUUUUCUUCAUAGGUCAUAUCCCUUUUAUUUGAUACCCCUCCAAUCCAGAUUAAACUCGGCCUCUAUAAUUGCUCACCUGUCUUCAAAAAUCUUUAACAACUAUUUUGACAUAACAUGAACAUCAUGUCCUUUAGGAUUAUAAAUCAUGGCAUUACGGAAGACAAGUCUCACAUCCUCAGCAAACUCCCUGGGAGAUUUGUACAAAUUUUGAGACAGCCUAGCUUUGAUAGUGCCCAAAUCCAUAGGAUGCUUGAUGAUAGCAUGAUAAUCAUGCAGCCCAAGACCCUCCACAUUCACUGGCUCAUCAAACACCCAUCUAUGCUUGUGCUUCAUUAACCUCUGAAACAGGGUGGUGCAUCUCUUAAACACAUGAUUUCUAUGUUUAUCAAAGUCAAAGUCAACGCCAAAUGGAUACCCCUGCUCCGACUCACCAUUGUGUUUCCUCCCAGCGCCAUUUGGCUUAAUUUUUUAUUGCUUUCCGGAGGCAAUCUAUCCUUCCCAAGUAAGAAUCCGGAAUUAGUGUAAUACUGAUUGGCCUUCGGGGUCCUUUUCUCCUUCUCCACAAAUAUAGCAACUACAUUAUUAUUUUCCACAACUGCAACCCUUGGUCACUAGAAUGGUCUCAAUCAAGGGUGCCUCACCAAACCCACCUCUAAAUUCACUCGCACUAAAGCCCUACUAUUCGUCACAUCAUUAUCGAUAUAUCGUGGUUGACUAUAAGAAUUAACAGCACCAGUAGGAAUAGCAGUAAUCCUACCAAUAUUAUUAUAACAACCAUUAGUAUUUGUAUCAUGUGUGGUCAGCUGAAGGUCCUUAGCUUCAAGCUCUGUAACUGAACUCCUAAUCUGAUCAAGCUCACCCACUAAGUCCCUCAUAAUACCUCUAAUCUCAACUCUUGAUGUCGCUCCCCCUAUAUUAAUCCUAAUUCUAUCUCGAACCCUAGAAAUUACAGGCUUAACUGUUGAAUCCAGCUCAGCAUGCUCUCUAUUUAAUCCAUCUGUAUAACUCGCCAUAGAAGCCUCUUCACCCCGAACUUCCCCACCAUUAUUAAGCUUCACAAUUGUGCUGCCACCAACCUCAGCCACGUCUCCACGUCUCUACCAUCUAAAUCUCCCUGUGAUCCAAGGGUAUCUUCCUUCCCUUGCCCACCAUUUAUCAAGUAUGUAAAGAUAUGGCACCUGGGCCUAACUCAACCCCAAAAGCUAGCUUAUGAGGAGAGGUUUGUCCAAGUCCAUUUAAGGAGACCAAUUUCCCAUCUCUUUACCGAUGUUGACUUCUUAACAUCAAUGAAUUCUAUGAGUUCAAACUCUACGACUGCCUCUCUCUCAUAUUUCCUUCUUUGAUAAUUAAACUGUGCAAGCGGGUUGAAGUUGAGGAGUAUUCAGGCGAUAAUUGGAUAAGGCCCAAAAUCCCAAUUUUUCCUUUAAAGAAGUGAGGUGAAGGGACUGCCACCAAAAGCAAGAAGCAGAAGAUGGAUUCAGGGAAGGCGUUGAGUAUUGAGGCUGGCUCUUCUAGACCAUCGGCGGUGGGACCAUUUGAGUCAUUGGCCGAAGAGUUGAGGGUAGUCCGAGAGUUGGCGACCAAGCUGCCUCAAGGGCCAGGUGAGACAUCUGCGGGACCUAAUUUGUUGUCCCAUAACAGGAGUUUGAUGAUUUCUUGGAGGAUCAAAGGAAGCAAAAAGCUCAUCUAUUGAGGUUGGAGAAGGCGUACACUGAUCUUGCUAAAUCACAUGGUGAGUUAAGUCGCUCCCACAAAAAGUUGAAGAAGAGAGAACAAAAGAGAUGAAAUUUUCACCCGGGUGUGGAAGGGGGUUGAAAGGGUUUUGAAAGAUCCUUAAAGCUAAUGAUCCGCUUUCCUCAUCGAGACCGGAUGAGAGUAAUGAUGUUUCGGCACAGUGGUCUGAGGAUGAUGAUGUUGAUGACAAUGAGGUGACCGAGAGUGAUGAUAGCGAGUGAUGCAGUUCAGGGAGCUCCUCAUAUUCUCUUUAUGUUUUCAUGUUUUACUGUGAGGACACAGUACCAUUCUUAGUUGGGGGUGCUCCCCCUAGGAUUCUUUUGAUGUUUUUGUUCAAGUUAGGAUUGUUAUAAUUGGAUUUGGUUUAUUUGUGUUAUUUUUGAGAUUGAUAUGGUGGAAGCUUAGAACAGCUCAUCCAUGGCAGUUACCUGCAGAUUUAGAGAGGAAGAAAUGAGGAAGAAGGGAAGAGAGAAGAGAGAAUAAUUAGGCAAUAAUUGGUUAGGCUCCCUCACUCUAGCUGAUAUCUGUUAUAACAGAUUCCAUUAACCGCUAGGUUAACUAGGACAGUUGAUCACGCCAGUUGUGCUAGAUUAUGAACCGUUUGAUGCAUGCCUCCAUGUGACUCACACGUGCCUCUACUAACUUCCGCUUCCUCCACGUGUAUUCUACCACUGACCUCUUUCUAGAUAUUUCUCUUGCUACUUUCCUAUACUUAUCAGCUACUUCCCCAACUUCAUAGUUCAAAUCUCUAAUUCCCUUUCUUACCUUCUAUACGUUACAACUUCAUCAGUUGGAUUGGUUAUUUUUCCUUCAUUGUAGAAGGUGUUUCUCAAAUUAAUAGAAAAUUACAAAAUUGUGUCCCAAUUUUUGUUUCUGUCAAUUAGUUUGUUACACAUACUCUUAAGGUUAUCGUACUAUUUUUGUCGAGCUAACAAGUAACAACCCUUCAAUACUGAUAAUAAAACAGAAAGUUACCUUCACGGAGCUAAAGGUAAAGUAAGCAAGCAUGAUAACAACAACAUUAACAUAUCAAGUGUAGUCCAACAAAGUGGGGUUUGUAGUGGCUAGAGUGUAUGAAGACCUUACACCUACCUCAAAGAUAGAAAGGCUGCUUUCGAGAUAAGCAAGCAUGAUAAAUGACAAAGCAAUCCCAACUUUGAAAGUCAAAACUAAUUGAUUAACAUAUGAAGUUCUUAAGGUUAAUCACACUUAACCACAUCAUCUUUUUUCAGAUCAACAUUCAUAACCCUCCUCUGAUAGCAAAAUAUACUCAUUACUCAUUUAUAGCUAAAACAAAAGGUUUAAGUUCAUUCAAGCUGAUUAAAAUUUGAAUUAUACAAACUCUUCUUAGGUUCUACUUCAAGAAAUGCACUUAACCUCUUCAAGAACGCAUAUCAGUAAAGCCCAAUUGACCAAAUUAUGAAGGAUAACAAAAUGGAAACACCUUCUUCACAGCCAAUCUUUGCAAUUUGGGAACAUCCUCAAUUAAUCUAGUGUUUAUUCUUUGAUUAUCCGCACUAAUCCUCACAGAAGACACUUUAUUUUUUUCUUUCUUAGUUGUAUCUGCUUUCAACUACCCCCAAUGCCUUCAAAUGUUCAAAUUUAGAAGUAGGAAAUAAAUCUCUAGAUAUUUUAAGCUUUCUGUGACAAAAAAGGAGUAAAUUGAAGAGCACUGAAAAUCAAAUUUAGAAGUAGGAAAUAAAUCUCUAGAUCUUUUAGGCUUUCUGUGACAAAAAAGAAGUAAAUUGAAGAGCACUGAAAAUUGAAGUGACGUGAAGAGCAACUUCAAUGUCAGAAUUGAUGGCGGUGUAAAGAGCAGCUUCAAAAGAAUCAUCGCAUCGCUUGUCGAUAUUGUACUUCUUGCAAAUGGCGGUGUAAAGAGCAGCUUCAACUCUUUUUUGAACAAAGUAAGAGUUGUCCGUGCUAUAUAUACGCUGGAACGGACGGACGGAGAAAACGGUCAAUUUUUUUAUUUUCUUUUUAACUCGGUGUUCGGAACCCACAUUGGAACUCCGCAAGGCUCAUACGGGGGUGGCGCUCCCAACAGAAUUUUCUCCAUACCCUGGGCUCGAACCAAGACCUCUGGUUAAGGGUGAAGCACUCCCACCAGUGCACCACAACCCAUGUUGGUAGAGCCGUCAAUAUGGGCUAGGCCCGUUGGGCCGGCCUGGCCUAACCCGGGAUUUGAUAAGGCUGGGUUACGAUUUUUGGAGCCUAUUUAAGAAAAGGAUUUUUUAGCCUGGCCUGAAUAAGCCUGCCGAUUUGUGGGGCUUGAGAAAUAUGGAUAGGACAGGCCCGUGGCCAAAUAAAAAAUAAUAUAGAGUAUUAAAAAUAAUAAGAGUCUAAACGUUUAAAGUUUGAAAUAUUACAAUUUAAAUACAAAUUAUGUUUAUAAAAUAUGUAUUACGCAAAAUAAAAAUUCCCUAAAAUUUCUAGGAAUCACUACAUAGGCCGUAGCCUAUGGAUUAUUGACAUAGUUUUUUGUGUUUUAUUAUGAUCAUUGGAAAAUAAUUUGGCUUAUAUUUUUAUUUAGCUAUUUAUGCUUUUACUUGAAAUCAAACUUAAUAAAUAUUAUAAGGAUAAUUUUAUUUGUGGAUUUGAUUACUAACAUCAUGUAAUAUUAUCUUGUCGAUAUUUAUGAUAAUAUUUUGAAAUUAUAAUUUAAUUUAAAAAAUUAUAAAAAAUAUAUUUUUACAUAAAGAAGGUUGGCCCGGCAAUCCUGUAGCCCACGUACUUGUGGGCUGGGCCGACCAUUUUCUGGCUCACACCAAAAAUGGGCUAGCUCGGCCUGACCGAUCAAAUUUCAAAGCCUGUAUGGACUAGCCCGGAUGGGGUGGGCCAGCCCAUAUUGAUAGCUCUACAUGUUGGUGAAAACAGUCAAUUAAAAUGUCCAUCUUACUUCAAAAUUAUCUUUUUUGUCAAUAUUUUGGUUUAAACCUGCCCCUAAUAAUUUAGUUCAAAAAUGUCGUUUUUUGCUAUUUUUGGAUUUAAAAUGUUCUUUUCCUAAUAAACAUAUUAUUUUUUCUAUAUAAAUAUUCUUUAUUUGAUAAAAAUAUUGUAACUCAUCAUUAAUUUUCAUAUAAAAUAUCAUAGUAAUCUAUCAUUAUUUUUCAUUUGAAUAACAAUAAAUUUAUUUUCCUAAUAAAUUAAGAAACUUUUUGUUUCUAAAUAUUUUCGAAUUGAAGAAGGAUACACAUUUGCUAGUAUGAUCAUUGGUUUUAAAGUUCAACAUUAAUGCCAUAAAAUAUAAAAUUUAUUACAUUGCUUCAAAUAAACAAAAUAUCAUCGAUGGAGUUAUUGUUGAUCAUUUUUUAUAUUAACUUUAAAAUCAAUGAAUAUUUAAGAAAUGUUUAUCCUAUUUCAAGAAAGAAAGAAUAAAAAAUAAUAAUAUUUUCUAUUUUAUUAGAAUUUUUUGAAUUAUUAUCUAAAUAAAAAUUAGUAAUGAGGUUACUAUGAUAUAUAUACAUAUAUAUAUAUAUAUAUAUAUUAUCUUAUAUUAAUUAGGAAAAUAAUAUGUUUAAAAGGAAAAAGAAAUAAUAUGUGUAUUCGGAAAAGAGAUAUUUUUUACCCAAAAGUAACAAUAUGUAUAUUUUUGGAUCGAUGAAUUAAUGACAAGGCCGUUUUUAGACCAAAAUAUUGACAACAAGUGUAUUUUUAAAACCAAAUUGUUAAUGUGGGUAUUUUUGUUCAAUUUUGUGUAUUUUAAGAAUAUCUUUUUUAUUCUUUUCCAAUGCAAUACUCCCUCCACCCCAUAAUAGUUGAUCAUCUUACUAAAAAUAAUUAUCUCAUCUUAGUUGUCCACCUCUAAAUUAAAAAAGUAUUAAUUAAAUUUUUCCUUUAUCACCGUUGUAAUUAAGUUUUUUUGCAAGUGUUCACAUUUGUUUGUAAAAUUCUCAAGAAGUUUUGAGGGGUAAAUUAGUAAAAUUAUUUUCUUAUUUAUGAUUUCAUAAUAAGCGUGUAAAAAAAAUGAUCAACUAAUAUGUAAAGGAGAGAGUAAUACAUAAUUAUUCAUAAUUAACGUCCAAACAUAUAAAAUGGCCACAACAACCCAAUAAAGCAAAUCAAGAAAAGGAUUAGCUCCGAACAGGCGGCCCAAACCCAACUUAGACAUAAAGAAACAACAAUAAAAGUGCAAAUAUUGUUCCAAAAGAGAAAUGCUAGAAACGCUACUUUUUGUUCUCUCUCAUCUUCUCCGGUUGUGAAGAAAACUAAAAAAGUUAUGAACGAAAAUUUUUACUUUAUGAGUCGCAUAAUCAACAUUACUUAUGCGAGAUAGUUGAUUUAUUUAAAAAUAAAAGACAAUAUUAAAUAUCUAUAUUAUUCCUAAUUAGAAUGCUUAACUAGAGGACAGUAUAAAAAAACUUUAAAAAACUUAAAGUACGAAAAAAUCUCCAUAUAUAUCAAGGAAAAAGAAGGCAUGCCAGCAGUGUUUAUGCAUUUUAAAAAUAAUGUGAUUUUAAAAUGACGCUAUUUUUUUCAAUCAAAUCGUAUCUAUAUAAUAUAACUUUUUAAAAUAAACCAACUAAAUCGUAUCACUAACACUAUGAGUUAGGAGUUAAAAUUAUAUUUUCCUCUUGAUUGAUGGCAUGGAAAGAAGUUGAAAUAUGCAAAUAUAAAAAUUACUCGUACUUUAAAUUAUACUUAAAACAUUUAAAAUAAUAUACUCUAUUAAAAAGAAUGAAUUAUUUUUUUGUAUAUAGUAGGUAUUAUAAUUUUAAAACGGUGCUGAUAUGUCUUUCCUUAUAUUGUCCUCUAGGCAUCCUAAUUAGGAAUAAUAUAGAUUUUCAAUAUUGUCUUUUUUAUAAUUUAUAUUUAAAUAUAAUCUUGUGGGACCUUUCAAUUCACGUGUCAAUUAAUAAAUUGUAUCGCAUAAGUAGGUGACGAGUUCUUCAAAUUAUCGACAUAUAGUGAUUGAUGUGAAUCGGGACAGUCUUUUUGAAACAAAAAAAUUACACGUGUGAAAUGUUUCAAUUGAAUGAAAUGGCAUAUGCAUUGUUUGCAACAAUUUGUAAAGGUGAUAGAAAACAAAUUGUAAUCACAAAUAAAAUAUGAAAGAAACAUGAAUAUUAUUGAUAAACAUUGUGGGUACAAAUUCGUUCCUCCCUUGAUUCUUCUCUCUCUUAAGAAUAUGAUUUGGACUUGAUCUUCAUAAUUUGAGGGUCGUUAAUGGCUUAUUUCUCGAACGUAUGAGGCAACAUCUUGAUCUCUUAAUGAAUAUCCCAUGAAUUUAUGAAAUUUUGAAGAUGUCUUUUCAAGGGAUUUAUAGUAUAUUUUAUAUAGGCAUGAACUAGGCUUUAGGGUUGAUAGCUUCCAAGAACCGGAAUUGAACAUAUAUUUUAGAAUCCAAAUUGAAAUUGGACACGUCUUGUAGAGUCCCACAAAAUUUCAAUGUCUACAAGUGUCCCCUGCUUUAAGGCUUGUCGUAGAGUAGACUUGAUAAAAUUCAAAGACAAAGCUUGAAGUACGCAUUCUUCCACCUUUGAGGUUUUGUGGCUUCAAAUAUGCAGAUUUAAUUUGUGAGAGAAGAGAUGAAUGAUAGAUUUGGUCCCACUAGGCGUGCCAAUUUGUUUGCAACAAAUUUUAAAGGUGACAAAUAAAUUGCAAUGAAACAUGAAUAUUAUUGAUAAGCAUUGUGGUACAAAUUUGUUCCUCCCUUGAUUCUUCUCUCGAACUAGGAUACUUUGGAUUUAAUCUCUUUAUGAAUAUUCGAUGAUAUUGUGAAAUAUUCGAGAUGUCUUUUCAAGGGAAUAUAGUACUCUAUAUAUAGGCAUGAAAUAGAGUUUAAGGUUAAGUAGCUCUAAGAAUCCUAAGAGGCAUGAAAUAGAGUUUAAGGUUAAGUAGUUCUAAGAAUCCUAAGAGGAAUCGAACACAUCUUGUAGAGUCCCACAAAAUUUCAAUAUCUUCACACAUGUUUUGCUUGCAUUGGAACACAAAUAUCUGAAAAUUGAUGACUACUUUUUGACUUAUCUAACGUUUAAAAUCUAACGAUAACAUUUCAAGUAUCAAUUGACCACACUUUUUGAUAAAAGCAAAUGAAGUAUUUUAUCGAAUGUGCUACUAGAACUUGAGUUGCCAUCAAUAGAUCGAAAAACUCCAGGAAGACCCACCCUCCCCUCCUAGAAAAAGGGGGAAAAUAUUGAGUCCCCAAGUCAUUACUUUAUUGAUCUCAUAAUCAAGAUGAUCCUAAUUACACAUUAUAAAUUUUUUCUUUUAAUUUGUUGGUGAUCUAGUUAUUGUAGAAUUAUAUUCAACCUAUGGGAAGUCACACUUAAUGUUUUCAUAUGUCCAUGAAAAUGUCAUAAUAGGAGGGGCUGGGUUUUAGUUGUCAUGCUAAUAUGAUUGAUUCUCAUUUCUCAUUACCUGAACAAAAUUUGGUACUUUGAUGUUACAAGUAAGCAUAAAAUACAUAUUUAAUAAAUUUUUAUCAUCGAAAGAAAACACAACUUUGUGGUUCCACCUAGUAAUGAAAAUUCCAUAUAAAAUAUCUCGUAAAUUAAAUAGUUGUCUAGUAUAAAGGCAGAAAAGAAAUUAAAAAUAGAGCUCAUCCAUCCACUGAUGCCAAAAUCCUAAUAGUUUAGACCUAAUAGAGAUCGGUAAAUGAGGCCUUUCCAAAAGUGAUUAAAGUUAACUUCAGAUGCCUGCACUACAACCUUGUGUAUGAAAAAGUUAACAAUAGAUAAAUGGACAUCUCCGAGACCAACUCAUGUUGUACAACAGAAAUGCUAAAUGAAUCCACGGAAACAAUAACAAAGAAACAUCGGUUAUCUGUUGUUGGAUUACUUCCUCGAUUUCUUCCUGGAAGAUUUGGAUGAAGCCUUUGAUUGCACUGCAUUCUGAGAGGCUCCUUUUGGAUUAGCUGGCUGGUUUGACUUCGUAUCACUACUGCUCGCUGCCUCUUUAGCCACUGCACCUUGAGAACCUCUAAUUUGAGCUGCUCUCUUAUCCUUUCUCUUUGGUCUGUAACUAGACCUCUCCCUCUUGGGAAGCCACCUCUCUGGAUCAGGUGGAGGUCCUGGAUUAGCUGGGUCAAAGCCCUUUGGAUAUUUUGGCUUUCUCUUCCUCUUUUUCUUCACCUUAUCCUUACACUUCCCUUCGUAUGUUUCAGUGGCACCAGCAUUUGGACCUUUCUCGGCUUGCUUGGCACCAGAAGUUUUCUCCAAAUUGUCGACGUCUAUUGCUUUCAAACCAAGUAGUGGUGUUAACUGCUUCUCAUAAGCUUCUGCUUUCUCAAUGUCAGCAUGGGCUGCAGUCUGGAUUAAUCCAACUAAAGCCUCAAUACUUCCAUGGCUUUUCACUAGCUGUUCAUAAAGGCGUGCUGCCUCCUCUUUCCUUCCAUGCCUGAGCUUGAAAGCAGCAGCCUCCUGCAUGAUGGUAUUGAGCUUAUUGUCUUCAGUCAUGGCAUUUGACCACCACUUGAUUGCGGAAUCAAACACAUCAUCGGCACCAUCAGUAUCUCCAGCCCGUUCCUUGAGAGAGACAAUAGUGGAAACAGUUGCAGGCUUGUGUUGAAUGUCAGGUAUUUUCGCCAAGGAAUCAGCUGCAAUCUGCGGAUGGCCAGCAGCUGCAGCAACCUGAGCCCUUGCAAGCAGGAUAACCUUGGACCUGUCAGGAAACUUAUCUGCAUACUGUCCAAGUAUUUCUUCAGCUUUAGCAGCCUUGUUCUCUCUCACAUGUACAGCAGCUUGAAGAAGUACAGGCAUCAAGCUACCAGGGAACAUCCCAGGUAGAGCGCCAACAAGUUCUCUAGCCUGUAACAAUCCAAUGACAAAAAUAAACAUUGGAAAAAGACUCGGGGAAUAAACAGUAGCAAUUGGAUGUCUAUUAAUGGGUCCCCUUGUUUCUAAUGCAUCAAAUGUUCAAAGGAGAACCAUUACAAACACAUGUAAUCUUACAGAUAAUAUACCUGAUCCAUCUUACUAGAAUGAAGUAGCAGCAGC
Molecule: long non-coding RNA, 166064 nt
Filed under: Solanum tuberosum (potato)
Lineage: Eukaryota; Viridiplantae; Streptophyta; Magnoliopsida; Solanales; Solanaceae
Description: long non-coding RNA (STUB_LNC001429)
Source: RNAcentral